UUUGAUUACCGUCAAUCAAGAAAACGACCAAAUUAAUUUCUCUCCAAAAUUUCCAAAAGCUAGAAAAUUUUGUUAUUUGAAAAUAACAUCAUUAAUUAUAGAGUGGAUCAAACCGCGUUAUUGUCUUUUAUAAAAUUGAUGUCUUUUUAAGAGUCAAUGCAUUUUAUUUACACAAACCAGUCGACAUCAACUUGAACUUCCAUAUUUUUAUUAUUAUGUUAUUUAUUUUAAUCCCCGAUUAUUUGAUUAGCCACUAUAUAUAUCAAGAAAGCGACAAAAUUUAUUUCUCAUGACUUCCAAAAACUAGAAAACAACAUCAUUUAUUAUUUUUUUGCAACCCUAAUUGACAUCAACUUUAACUUUAUUAUGUUAUUAUUUCAAUCCCCCAUUAUGACCUUUCUAAUCCUCCAUUAUGCAUCUUUUAUAGUGCAAAUUUAAUUGCACAUCUAAAUAAAUUGAUUAUUGUCACUCCACCACCAAUAUUUCAAAUAGUCACUAGACCAUUUCUGCCUUUAAUUUUCCCUUAACUAUUGACUGUUUUUAGCAUCUUAAAAUAUACAUUUAUUCCUUGAUUAUGUGAUAAAAUUAUGAAAAUAUCCAUUUUAGCUUAAAUUAAUUGAAAUAACCAUAAGCGUAACUUAAAUUAAUAGAACAAAAUUAUCAAGUGUAUGUUCUAUGUUACAUUUUGAAGAAUUUAACAUAUACAAUGCUAUACUAUUAAUUCAUUUAUCAUUUAAUAUAUAUGUUCAAAUAUUUUAUAUAUUUAUUAAUUGUUAUAUAGUCAAAGGAUGAAUGAUUUUUCAGGUCUACAUGAGUUGGUGCAUCUGCAAGACUCAAUUUUGACAACAAUGAUCUAAGGGGUAAUUUACCUUGGCGUUUGACAAAUUUAACCUCUCUUCAAGAUUUACUUCCAAUCUACUUACUGUAAAUAUCUCCUCAUCUCCUCUCAUUUAUAUGAUAACCCUUGAAGAUCUCACAUUUUCAAACAAUCAUAUUAGGGUUUUUAUUAUUAGCAUCAUCGUGUCAAUAAUAUAUGUUGCAGUAAGAUUUUUUCAGACCAAUUCCCUUCUUCAAAUAAUAAUGGAAAAGUAUUAAUUUAAAAAUAAAAUGAAUAUUGUAAAAUAAAGAACAGAGUUUAUGAAUAAAACUCUUGUAUUCCUUGCAUUAACGUUGCUACAUAUAUAUAUAGAUGUACAACCCUAAAGAAUAGAAUCCCAGGUAGAAAAGCAUUACAGAUUCAUAAUAUAUAUACAAAUCUAAUUGCUUUAAAUAUGAAACCGAAUUCUAUACGACUUCUAUAUACAAAACCGAAUGCUAUACGAAUUCUAUACGUUAAUAAAUAUGCAUUGAUUAUAUCCUAAUUUUCAUCAAUUAUAGCGAGAGUUUCUCCAAAUCAACUCCCUUAUUCAAAUAAUACAGAAAAAAUAGUAAUUUAAUAGUAAAAUUAACAAGUGUUGAUUAUAUAUCCUAAGUUUCAUCGAUUAUGUGAUCAAAGUGGCAUUGUUGAUUUAUUUCUUGUUCAAUGUAAAUUUUUAGGUUAUCUAAAUUUCAAGGAUUUAAAAUCUUUGUUCAUGGAUUACACGCUUAUUAAUUUUUCUGCCAUUGACUGUCAUAUUCUAGACUUAAUGGUACCUUCCUUGAUCGAGGAUAAUUACUCUAUGUUCUCCUCUUAUAAAUUCUUCUUCCAUUAACAUCACUAGGAGUAUGUUGAUCUCUCAGACGUUAACUUCAGUGGAGAGUUUCCAAAUUGAUUGUCACAAAACAACACAAAAACUAGACACACUUGAUCUGUCUAAUAAUUCUCUUUCGGUAAAAUUAAUUAAUUUUAGGGGAAUAUUCGACCAACCUAUAUAAUUUUAGAUUGAUCAUUAAUUAAUUGGACGAAAAAAGUACUUGUGCUUUUGUGGCGACAAUUGAACCAGAGAAGUGAAGCUGUAAAGAUUUGGCAGUAGUAAAUUGUUAGAAAGACAUAAAGACAAGUUCCCAUUAUUAUAAUUUUUUCAAAAAACUUUUUUACAACACAUGCACCUGGCCAAAAAUUUUAUUUUGCUAACUAACAAUAAUUGAUUAGCUGACCGAAUUGACUCCACCUACUUGCUAAAGUAAAAAAAUAGAAAUAGAAUUUCCACAAAAUGGCAAACAUGUAAAAUCUAAUAUUUGGCCGUGUGGAACAAAAUACAAAUGAAAAAAAAAAUAGAAAAAAGGCCUAAAGACUUUUAAAAUGUGUGGAAGUCUUUCUGCCCUUUUAUAAUGGUGUGUUUUUCAAAGGAACAAAUAAUAAUAAUGACACUUCAACGGUUUGUUUUGAUAAUCACACCUAUACUCUUUAAUUUGAUAAAUGGUUACACAAAUUUUGUUUACAAAAAUAUAUUAUUCAUGUUCUGUAUUAUUUUUUAACAUCAUAUUUUUAUUUAUUAUAAUUGUUUAAAGUUAAUUGUUGGGUUGAUAUAUAAUAAAAAUGUAUAAUCGUUCUCUUACUAAACACACAUACUCAUAGUUUCUGUUCAUUUGUCAUCUCAAUCUAUCUCAUUUAUCCUUUGUUGAUAGCUCAAAACGCGUCACUGUAGAAAAUUAUAGCAAAACGACAAAUAUGGAAAAAAUGGGAAGAAAAUUAAUGCAUGAAAGAGUUGCAGAAGACAACCAAAUAAGUCAACUAUACGCUAGUUGGGUGUAUAAAUUGUUAGAUGUGUUAUAAACAAAUAGCAUAGAGCCUUGGUUGGUUACAGAGAUAGAAAAAGUGUGUGUUUUUUAGAACUUAAAGAUAUAGUUAGAAUGGGUGGUUCAAAAUCAAAAAUGGUGAUAAUGUUUGUUCUGUUAUUAAUAAUAUUAGAAGGUGGGUGGAGUGAAGGAUGUUUGGAUCACGAGAGAUUUGCUCUUUUGCGACUGCAACAUUUCUUCAAUGAUCCUUAUAAUUAUCUUCCCAACCGGGUAGAUGAUGAGGGAGCUACUGAUUGUUGUCAGUGGGAAAGGGUUGAGUGCAGCAACACCACAGGCCGACUGAUAGCGCUAGACCUUUUUGGCACGUAUUGGCGAGAGUACAGCUGGUAUCUGAAUGCUUCUUUGUUUACUCCCUUCCAACAACUUGAGUCACUUGAUUUACAUGGCAACAACAUAGCCGGUUUUGUUGAGAAUGAAGGUGCUUCGUCUAAUUCAAUUAAAUUACAUUUCGCUCUCCUAAUUUAAGUCGAAUAUCAAGACUGAGCAGCUAUAUGCAUAUUCAUUCAAUUGACAAUUUUUACAUAUUUUUUAAAAUGUUUAAUUUUGAAAUUACACCAAACAUCAUAUGUGAUCUUUGUUUUGAUUUUACUUGCAGGUCUAGAAAGAUUGAGCAACUUGAAGAGGCUUGAUUUAAGUUAUAACUUGUUCAACAAUAGCAUCUUAUCAUCUGUGGCUCGUCUUUCAUCAUUAGCAUUAUUAUAUUUAAGUGGUAAUAGGUUGGAGGGAAGUAUUGAUGUUAAAGGUACAUAAUAAAAACGUCAUCUCUUCUCCCAACUCUUUCAUUAACAUGCUAAAAUAAGAUUCAAGGCUUUGAAUUCAAUUUUUUUUAUGAGUAAAUAUUAGAAAAAUAGUUUUAAGCAAUUCAUAAAUACAAUUUUCAAUGUUUCUCAUAAUUUCAUCUUGUACUUUUGUAUGUCUUGACUUUAAGAUUAAAAAAAAAAUUACUCUAACUGUGAAGCAAAUACCCCAUGACUAAUUUACAAUUUUGUCCAGUUAAAAAUGAUAAAAUUUAUCAUUUGUUCAUAUUGAUUUAUUAACUCUAUUUUAAGUCUUAAGUCUUGGCGUCUUGGCAUGUUUGCAGAAUUUGAUUCCUUGAGCAACUUAGAGGAGUUGGACAUGAGCUACAAUGAAAUAGACAAUUUCGAGGUUCCUCAAGGUACACAAUUAAAAUAUUAUUUAAUUACAUUAAUUUAUUUCGUUUGAUUAGGGAAGGCCCAAAAUGUACAAAAACAUAAUUAAAAAAAAUAAAGAAACAGAGAAUUCAUAUUAUUUCAAAAAACAAAACGUAAUACUAUUAUUUCAAAAAAAGAAUGUAAUAAAGAUUUGAUUUCGGUUCUUUAAUCUUUACAGCAAUUGAAAAACGAUGUUGCUCUUUUCCUAAAGCAUAAAAUAUGAAAUGAGUCAUAAUUGAAUUAGUCAUUUAUUUUGUUUAGAUCUAAAUUUAGACAAUAAAUUUUGAUUUUUUUUUCAAUCAUUUCCUAAUUAUUAUUAUUAAACAGGUUACAGAGGUUUGAGGAAGCUGAAAAGCCUGCAUCUAUCGGGAGUUGGAAUUAGAGAUGGAAGCAAGUUGUUACAGUCAAUGGGAUCAUUCCCAUCCCUCAACACUCUUCACCUUUCGUUUACUAGUUUUACGAAAACAGUGACAACUACUCGAGGUAAGUAAAAGGUACGGAUGUAGCCAAAUUUAUAAAUUAAUUGUUAAUUAAUUAAUUUUUCCGUAUUAUUAAUUAAGCUAAAUUUGUUGCUCCUUCCUUCUAAAUCUAAACAGAGUUGCACAGUUUCACCAACUUGGAAUAUUUGAGAUUGGACGACUCCUCUCUCCAUAUAAGCCUUCUGCAAAGCAUUGCAUCAAUAUUCCCUUCAUUAAAAAAUCUGUCGAUGUUGGGUGGUAAAGUCAACGGUCUCCUACGCGGUCAAGGUAAAAGAAAAGCUUUGAUUGUGAACUCACUCAAUGGUGUCCUACGUGUUCAACAUUUUUAUUUAUUUAUUUUAUUGUUUAAUGUUUCUGCUAGGUUUUCCUCAUUUCAAGAGUUUGGAAUAUUUGAAUAUGGAUUUCACGCGCAUUGCACUCAACACCAACUUUCUUCAAAUCAUCAGUGAAUCGAUGCCUUCUCUUAAGUACUUAUCACUGUCAGAUUCAUAACAGUAAAAAUUUGUUGCUCAACAUGAUGUGUAUUUUUUUUCAAGGCACUUUGGAAACACAAUUGUUACUACAGAUAUUCUUCUCAACUUGGAGAUAAAUACAAAUAUUAAAAUGCAUAUGAUCACACAUAUUACUUCGAGUUUAGUAAGAUUUCAUUAAAAGAAGCAAUCAAACCACUUAUCAAUUGUCGCAGUCGUUCUAUAAACUAAAAUAGCAAUAUAAUACAAGAAAAAGAACAUAUAGAUACUUGGCAAGAGUUCAUUAAGAAGUCGCAUCACAUUCGGGUGAGGAGUUUGCUUCUGAUAUCUUGCUAGCUGGGGCUUUUUCUUGUCUUUCUACGUAUGCCGAGGGAAACCAACCAGCUUGGCCCUUGCAUUCACCUUCCGACCAUCCAAUAGGAGCAACCUUGAGAAGUUAUAACUAAAACGGUGAAUUAAACAAAAGUUGACCGUUCAAAGACCUAAGGGGAAAACUAAUUCUUUUACGUAGAAUGAGUGAACUAGUUGUGAUCACUGAAAUAACAACAUAACUAUGGAAGCAUAACUAGAUAUAAAUUCACAUGGCUAUAAGGGUAAACUGAGUGGUUUAGAACUGAGCUAGCAACCCUACUAUAUUCUGAUUUGCACUUCAAUGUAAAAGGGAAUAUAUGGUAGGAAGAAAGAAAACCAACCAUCAUUUGUUAACUCAUUGCUUUUCAAUCAAAAUUUUAAGAACAAAAUGCCAUGUGCUUUGAACAUCAAAUAAGUAUAAGCAUUAGUUCUAAAUUCCACAUAUCAUAAGUUGUUAGAAGGAUAAGUUAAUAGCAGAGUAGAAAAAUCUAUGUGUUGGUAUUUAGAGGGGAAAGUACCUGGCGAACCACAAUAUAAUCAUCAAUUGAAAGACUUAGCUUUCCAUUUGCUUGAGCAUCAAAUGGAUGUAUAACCUGCAAGAUAAUGGGAUAAAUAGAACUUUAAAAAAGCAUAACAAAAGCAGCAACAGUAGCAGCAACGUUCAUUGUAACCACUAUGAUCAUGGCCAACAAAGAUAUAUUAGAAACAAAAUUCCAUUUUUACUACGACAUUAAUAUGUACUAUACGAUAUCAUGACGAUUGGGUUACUAAGAGCUAUCAAAGUCUAAUAAGUUCUGUAUAACUUUAUGUAGUUAUUUAAAUUAUGGAUCAGAUUUUAAAUUUGAAAUUUUGACUGCUCUCCACAAAACAUGGCCUAUGCACAAGAAAGUCAUAGAUAAUGAGGAUUACAAGUGUCCGACAUCUUUUGAGUGAUGGAUUUAACAUGAGAGCUUAUGGUCAGUCAAUUUCCUCUGCCUAGCAAUAUAAGCUUUCUCGGCCAGAUUUAUCAUCAAAUACAUAGAUUGCCCCCAAGUCACAUCCAUAUAAACAUAGUUUUUCUAGGUAAACCAAGUAAGGAGUAUCAUAAUUCAGACAUAAUCAUAAAAAGGCCCAUCUAACUUAAGAGAAAAUCUCAAAAAUGGCUACAUCGUCUUGUAUCUAUAAGCAAUAUCAAGACUUUACAUCACCUGCUACAUCGUGAGUGGCUACACAACUUUCAAUGGUUUGUCUUUCUUUGGCAUGCCUAACUCAGCUUUGAUGUUGCUGAGAUAUUGAUAGUAGAGACACAUGAUACUUCUAGCUCAUGCAUUCUAUCUAACUCAUCCAACAACUAUCUCUUUUUUAAUUCAUUAGUGUUUGCUAAACCUCAUGCUUAAAAGUCCUGUUCUCCUAAACAAAGUUUCCUAAGAAUGACUUCCUUAGCACCACAUUUGGACACUUUUAGAGCAAUUUUAUUUUGGGGAAAAGAAUUUUCAAGGUGUUAACUAAUAAAUUUUAAAAAAUAAUUACAAUUUUUCCUACGAUCAUAUGACAAUUUAUCUGGGAUGAAAGGAUACAGAUAGACAUCUUCCACUUUCAAGACUAAUCACUACUUCCGUAGAUGUUGUGCAAUAAUACAAAUACUUGAUCAGAUGGUAGUGAUGGUAGAAAAAAAUUUUAUUGCUCCAAAAUUAAAAUAAGAAUGCAAUAUGUUAAGCAAAAGGCUGUGCAACAUCAAAUUAAUUGAUAAGUUUGUAAUUCAGUAAAUUAACAACUUUCAUGGUAAAAUACAACAAAUUUCUUUUGAAAAAAAUAAAUCUUAAAAGACAGCAUUCAAUUUUGUGCGCAUCUUAUUUCUUAAGAUUUUUCAGGAGGAGGGCAAUAGAGGGACUUUCACCUAUGCAAGAGAGCAGAAGCCUUACUUUCCCUAUAAAGUAGACGUCAUUCUGAUUAAUAUGCGUUUGCAAAUCAGCUCCGUUUGAAUCAGUAUUCUGAUAGACACACGAGGCAUUGACAUCCAUUUCCAAAGUCACAUGUUGCGAGGAGGACUCAUUUGAUUGCUCCUAUACGAUCAUCUAAUUCAAGUAGCAAGGGUUGGAAGAGAAUAAAAAGUCACAAUUAUUCUUUUGCAUAAGUGAGACGAAAAUGAUAAAUGCAAUAUUAUCAACAGUAAACAAGAAGAAGAUGAUAGUGGAAGUAUGCGGUGUGGCUGCCAGGUACUUGGAUUGUAUUGUCGGGUAAGGUAAUAGUAGAGAAUUAUAAGUUUGAACAGAGCAUGUUGGACUUUUGUUGACCAAAUUCAAAAGCCCAAUGGCACGGCCCGGAAGCUUUUGAAUAGAAAAACUUGCUAGAAAGCAUCAGUUUAAAUCACUACUUAAACGCUUGCUUUAACUGCACCACUUUGUACUGUUUUAUGUGUGUAGCGGUUGUGCGGUUGUAAUUCACGGCUGACGCUACGUGUUUGUUAGGUCAAAACUAUGAUACAAUAGUGGUACGGUACCAUUGUUACUUUCAAUCAUUGGAUCUAUAGUUGUACAGUUGCAUUAAUAAGAUCUAAUGGCUGAAAACAACAGUGGUACCAUACCACUGUUGCAACAUAACAGGACCCUAUUAGUUAUUUCAAAGGGAUAAAUAAGAUUGCUUACAACAAACCUACUAAUUUUAUAAAAUUCAAGUAAUAUAGAAUAAAAUAAAAAAAUAAAUACAAAAUUGACUUUUAUUUUUUAUGGUUGACUAUAUUUUGUGUUCUCUUCGGGCACUACUACAAUUCUUCCCUAUAUAUCAAUUACACCACAUACUAUCGACACAAGAAAUGAAAUCUAAUAUCACCCGUUUAGUUAAAAAAUCACUCAUGAAAAAAUUUUACCAUUUUGAUUUGAGGAUCCAUAUUUUAAACUGCAAGCUAAUGUUCAUCAAGAAUUACUGAUGGCCGUUGAGUAGAAAAAUUAUUUUUGGACAAAUUAUUUUUGUUGAUAGAAGAAUUUCUUUAGGGACUACUAAAUUAUUAAUAAAAAUGUCGAACACACCCACAUAUCAUCGACACAAUUGAUUUUGAGGAUCCAUGCUUUGAACUGCAGCCUAAUGUUCAUCAAGAAUAGAGUAUGGCUUGUGAGUAGAAAAUUUUCUUAUUUUGGCCCGAAAUAAAAAGAAAUUAAAUUGGAUGAGAAUCUGCCACUUUCUCAUGAAGAAAGGCAUACGGAGCAUACCAUGGUACCAUACAAAAUAAGGAGCCUCUAUUCUUUGGUUUUUCAAACUCUAAAGGGGCCAAUAUUGCCAAAUUCCCCCUUGAAAAUUCUGAUUACGACAUUAUUCAUCGCUUGAUGCAAUCAAAGUAGUGACAAAGUUAGGAAAAAUAUGAGUCCUAAGUAAUUGCUAGGCAGGGUUCCUGAGAGCAAAAUUGUCCUAAGCAUUAUAUGCAUACAUGGUGCGGUACAUAGAGCACGUUGAAUUCCCCACUAUAACACAAACCCAGAAAGACAAGUAAUAACUCAACUGAUAUAAAGACAAAAAGAAGAUAAAAUGAUAUAGAAAAAAGAAUUCAAAGAGACAGCAACAUACGAUAGACUGAAGCCACUUGAUCUGCUCAUUGAUUGCAGCCUUAAACUUGCAAAUAGUUACUGUACGCUAGUGCUCUAAGAAGUGAAAAUGAUGCCAGCCCUGAUUCCCUUUUGACUUCCAUUUACUGUCAAACAUUCUAGUAAUACAAAAAAUUGUUUAGAUAUCUUGCUAUAAAUAUAGCCGUUUGACUGUCAUAAUAAAGUCACAAAUAACCAUUCAUAUUGAUCUACUGUCACACAGCAUGCUUUAUGCAUACAACAGCUGUAUGUAUACCAACUCCUAACCUUAUCAAUACAUUUGGCAAAAACUUAAGAAGAAAGCUAUUUCUCCAUCUCUUUUUUGAAAUUUCACAAUAACCAGCACAAUGUGAAAGCUAUGUUCUAACCUUAUGAUAAAUGCUCCAGACUCCAAAAGGAUUUUAUAUAUGAGAGUUUGUUGCAGCAGAUAUAUUGACUUAUCAAGUAUGAAUCAUUGUCUGGAUGAACUAUCUUUAGAUAAAAGAAUAUUAGAACCACUGUAGAAUAUCUUUACGCUGCUGGUUCUAACAGGAAUCUGCAUGUGGCAACAAUUGCUAGAUCCACAAUUCCCCAACUUGAAAUACAUAGUUGCACACCAUGAGAUAGUGCUACAAUCUACUGAGAUCUAACUUAUAUGGUACUUUAAGCUACUAAUGUUUGCAUAUUUCUACAUGUUAAAUUAACACUAUCAUCUAUAAUCACUCCAAAACAACAAAUGAUAAGCAGCUUUUGGCCACUUAUUACUAGCAUCCACAAUUAUAAAUAAGAGAUCAUGGGUUUACUUGUUGCACCUACUUAAUUAUCUGCAGUUGACAUCCUGAAGCAAGGUUUAAAUAGUGACUGCUUAGAACCCUUGUAGUUGGAUCUUGACCUCUCCCAUUGUAGCCAAGAUUGGUUACUCUGGUAAUGAAUCAACACUCUCCUGCUCAGGGCCAUGAAGAUCUGAAAGCUCAGCACUAGUGGAGAACUUCAUCAAUCUCUUCUUCUCAGCACACUUGAGACAAGGCUGCAUUACGAGACCAAUCACCACAGCACCAACGCUUAAAACUGCAACUUUUAAAGAAGAAAGAGCCAACACAACACAACACAACACAACACAAAUCAAUAUGGUUGGAGGAAUACACAUGAUAAUGGCUCCAACAGUGCCAGUGGGUAUCUUGUAGGGACGAGAUGCAGCAGGAUAUUGUAUCCUUAACCAUACAAAUGCUAUGAACUCCAUAACCAUUCCAAAACAGUACAGGAAGUUCUCUGCAGCUACAAUAUCUCGAAAGCUCAGCCAUGAUAGCAAAACCACACCAGAUGCUGAGAAUAUGAUUCCAAUCAAAGGAGUCCCAUAACAAGACCUCUUAGCAAAAAACUCAGGUAGCAUUCCACACUCAGCCAUCCCCAAAAGUUGGAAAGAGUUGCUGCUCAUCUCAGCCACAAACAUGCCCAUAUUGGACAUUGCUGCAGCCCCCUGGAUGCAUUAUCUCAACCAAACUCCUCCAAGCACUUUAGCGAUAUCUGAAAAGUAACCAUCGGUCCACAAGUCGCGAUCUAAUGGAAUAGCUCCAGUUCCAACUAGAAGGGGAAAGAAAUACCCAAAAAUGACCAAGAUCAAAGCAUAAAACAAAGCCUUUGGAAGAGUCUUCUUGGGGUUAUCCACCUCUCCAGCUAGUGUACUUAUUGAGUCCCAGUAGUUGAGAUUCCAAAACAGGGUGUUCAAAUACAAAUUCCAAUCCACUUCACCUAAAUUUACUACAAGCCAUCUUGAAGGCUCUAACUUGGGAAGGGACACAAGUCCCAUAACCACAAAAGGAAGGAGUGAGAAAAUCCCUAAAAGAACAGCAGCCCAUCCCACAAUGGUUAGACCCCUAUAGUUCAUGAAAGUGAGAACAAAAGUCAAAGCUAACGCCGCAAAGGCUCUAGGUAACCCAUUGCCCAACGCAGGGAUACCAGACUUCAAGUAGUCAAGAAACAGAACUGGGUAUAAAGCAUUAUCAAUAACCCCACUUAGCCAUUUCAUCCAACCUUGCUGAAAACCCCAAUAUGGGCCUAAGGCAGAUGAAACCCAAACCACAUAACCACAAUUUUCAGAAAACACGGUACCCAUCUCGGCAGUAAUUAAAGCUUCAGGGACACUCCAUAUAAUCGGAAACACCAAGAAACCAAGAAGUGCUAAAAGAGGACCAGCUGCCUUUACACUAUCCUCAACACCAAACGGCCCCCCAGAAACCUCAUAGAAUAUAAGGAAAAUAAGUGGCAAGAUUGAUACUUUUUUAGUGCCAUGGACUCUAGGAGAAGAUGGUUGGUCAUUGAUAUUAACAUAUUCAACAGCAUCAGACUGCCCCAUUUCUACUGAAACUUGCCUAUUUACAGUGUUCCUCAAUUUCUGCAUCAAGUUUUAGCAUAACUAUCAAAAGGGUAUCCGCAUGUAAAUUAUGAAACAAAAUGAGCAUUUACUUUUUAAAAAAAAAUCAAAAAACAGAAAUGGAUUUCGCAGAGCACAUGAAUUUAAGUUCAACAUUAAACAGGCGCUUAAGAAAACAAAAGGGUCUGUUCGUAAAGCCAUCAGAUUGCAAGAUUGAACAACAUUAACGGAAUCAAUAGAAUAGAUGUAAAGAGAUCUGAAAAGAAAAUAAAAUAAAAGAUGAAGAGAGAUAAAACGAACCAUCAAAUAAGUGCAUGCAGAGCAGAGAGGCAGAUACUAGAGAAGCUCCGUCAUGUUAGAGAGAGCCUAAAUCAAUCAGAGCUCACUGAGUUUCUUUUCAACCGACCGGCAAAUUUGGAGUGGCACAAAAUAAUAUUUUUGCUUUUAAUUUUUGGAACACUUUUGAAUGGAAUUUUUUGUUUUUAAAAAAGGUAAGGGAGAUUAGGGCAUCAUAAAAAGAUUUUUUAAAUAAAAUUUUAUUAAUUAUUUAAAAAAUUAUUUUAAUAUUUAAUAUUUUAAAAAAUAUUUUAAUUAAAAUUUUUUAAAUAAAAAAUAAUUUUUUUUAAAUUUAGAGAAUUAAUUUUUUUUAUAAUUUUUUUUAUUAUUUUUUAUUGAAAAAAAAGAGAUAAAUACUUUAAUUGUUAUUAUUUUUUUUAAAUAAUUAUUUGAUUAAAAUAAUAUUAAAUUAUUUUUAUUUGAAGAGUUUUUUAAAAAAUAUCAUAUUUUUUUAUCCUUCUAUUUGCCACAUGAGUAAACAAAUAGAUAUUUAAAGAAUAAAAUUUAUAUAAUCUUUUGGAAAUGCUCUUAAUAUUUAUUUAGUCUUAUAUUUUUUAAAAUAUUUUUAAAAUAUUUUUGUCGUUAAAAUAUUGAUAUUAUUAUUAUUUUUUUAUAUUUUUUAAUUUAUUUUUAUAAUAUUAUUUUUAUAAUAAUUUUUUAUUUAGAUAUUAAUAAAAAAAUAAUUUAAUUAAUAAUUUAAUCCUAAAAUAAAUAAACACGUGUUUGGUUUUGGGCCUUUUCUUUUGUUCGUUUAAUAUCAUCUGGCUCGCUGAUUUGUGACUAAUUAUCAACGGAAUCCCGUUGGUUUCUAAAUUGAAAUAAUAGAAGGUCAUGAGACUAUUUACUCCAUUUAGCACUGCAGACUUAGAGUAUAUUGAAAAAGCUUUGUCAAAUAGUAGUAAUAGGGGCAUAAGAAAUAAAUUAUAGCUAUCACAAAUUCGUUAGGAGAAUUUCAAUUUUUUCCGUCAAUAAUGGCUAUGAAGCAAAAUUACCUUAGGUUAUAUUGCAACACUAAUACUUCAAAUCCUGAUAAGGGGUGAUAAAAUUAAGGUUGUUCAAAUCCCUUAAAAUGCUCCUUUGUUUAGUUUAAAAGUUGUUCUUAAAAUGGAAACGAUGACUUAUUUAGAAGAAAUGGUAAAUUUAUAAUUUGUAAUAUUAUUUGCACAAACAAUAAUAAUGAAGUGUUAAUUACCACUUAACAUUUUUAAUUAAUUUCUAAAUUUAAAACAAAUAUGAAAGUUGAUUGCUUCGAAGGUUGGAUCGACAAAUUGACAUUUGAAAAGAGAAGUAGGGAAUGUAUAUUCUGAUGAAAGGGACAAGAUUAAGUAAGGGGACAAUAUUCUCUAUUGGACCUACAAAUGGGGGGAAAGAUAUAUAUAUAUAUAUAUAUAUUCUUAUUUGUGGAUUGGGCAUCACGUGUAACUAAUAUAAAAGGAGAAAAUUUAGCAUGGUUUUAACAUAUAUAAGAAGAGAAAAUUAAUUGUUCAAACAAAUUAGAAGCAAAUUCUUUCAUAUCUUUCUUUAUUUUUCCGCUUACUUUCUUAGCAUCCAAACAAGUUAAAGUUAAAACGCUGUUGAGCCAACAAUAUGCAGGCAUCAAUAAGCAUAGUAGUUUUGUAUAUGUAUUCUAUACGAUAUUCUGGGGAUGUCAAUUGUAGAACAUUUUGUGGUAACUUUUUUACAUUAAUUAAUGUUUGAAGAACUUGUUAAAAAGAAAAUGGUAAUUUUAUUAUUUUGAAAGACAAAAAAAAAUAAAAAUAAAAGAGUGAAAGUGGCGUUACCUCAUGGUCAUUAGAGACUUGUUGCAAUGAUAGCUCAAAAUUAAAAAUUUGUGAAGAAUUAGUAGACAACGACGAUACUAUAUUUAUAUAGUCACCAACAUGUUGAUUUUUGUUUAAUGUUUGAUCGAUAGAAACUUUUGUCGUCGUCGUCGCCGUUGUUGAAUUCAUGCUUAGAAUACCACAAGAGAAGAAGAAGGGAUGAAAGGGAAGAGAAGAAGAGAGAAGUAGUGGAUAGCAAAUAUGAUAUGCUAGCUACACACAGGCCUUAGAGAGUUUUUUUUUUAAUAUUUAUUGUAUUUUUGUUUUUGUUAUUGGUUUGUCAUAUGCUUCCAAGGCAGCAAUGUGUUACAUCAUAAAUUGCACCUUUUAGGGGAGGUGGUAAAAAACAUGAGAGGAAUGCAUUCUAGCGCAUACAUGCAGAAAGAGUUUCCAAAUUUUCAAAAGUUUGUUAUUUCUUCCACCUUUUUUUUGCUUAAAAUAAAUUUUAAUUGUAUUUUGCAUUAACUUAGAGAAAAAAAAAAUCAAGUUCUAUGCAUAAACGCAUACAUUGAUUAGAAAAUGAGUUUUAUGGACACAAAGGGACAAUAUAAGAGAUUCUUUUUGUUUAUUAGAAGUAACAUAACUAGUUAGUGUAACAUGUAAUUAUAAGCUACCAAGAAUUUGCACUGAUGAUAAUUAACGGUAUAGAUUUUGAGCUAUGAAUGUCUUGUGGCUAGUUUAAUUGGAUUUUCGAGUUUUCAGCAGAUCUAUUUUAAUGAUUAUUAAAUUAUUUUCACUUCUUAUGCUUUAAUAAAAAAAAUUCAAUAUUUUUUGCUGUAUUCUAUAUUUUAAAACUUAAUUUUUAAUUCUUUAUAUUGCAAACCAAACUGAGUCAAAUAGAGUAUGCUCGAAUUUUUCCAAUGCCUUCAAGAAGAAUUCAUUUUAUUUUUAUAUAUUAAUUUAACACAUGUAAACCGGGCCGUUGGAUUGCACAUAAAGCAAAUGAUCAAACCGUUACAAGACCGGCCCAGGCCCACCGACUCUAUUUUCUUUCAUUUGACCAUUAAAAAGCUUUUGGCCACCCCCACCAAAUAAAUAAGCUCUUGUUCUCUUUUGUUUCCCUCUCAAAGGAAAAUAUCUGAUCACCGGAUAAUGAUUCCGGUGACACAAAAGAUCGAAACACCCCCCUAAAUUCCCUAAAUUUACAAUAAUACCCCACCAUGGAUGAUUCCGUUGAAAUGCCGCCUUACGAUGAAAGGCCUAAAAAGGGUUUUAACUUCACCUCCAUGCGCUUGAUCUUAACCCUCGUUUUCCCAAUUUUAACUUGCUUUUUGUUGGCAUUUUUUAUUGGAAUCGUAGCUGUUUUAUUCGGCGAAUCAUCAGUUUCCAGUUCCAUUUUUGUCCCUUCCUAGUGCAAAAUAGUGUCCAGCAGUAAGCUUUUUUUAACAUUUUCAAUUUUUUUUCCAUUUAUGAAGUCCAAAAAUUUUAUUAAUUUUGAUUUUUUUGAAUGAUUUUGCAGGUGUUGAUAUAAGGUCAUCAAAAGUUCGUGAACUUGGGGUGUUGAAUUAUAAGGCGAAGCGUGCGUUUUAUCCAUUUGAAGCAAUUAAAUUUCGCUGUCGGUAUGAUUACUAUUGGGCUUCUAUCUUCAAGGUAUUCAUACAUUUUCCCCUGUACUAUAAGCUUCUUAGUGGCGGUCUUGUGAGCGGAAGUGAGCGGUGUGGCUGACAGCUUCUUGAAAAUUAUGAACAGAGCAUGUUAGACUUUUGUUGACCAAAUUCAAAAGCCAAAUGGCACAACUCAGAAGCUUUUGAAUUGAAUAACUUACUAGAAAGCUCCAAUUUUUUGUUGGCUACAGUAAAAGGAUGUUGUUUUAUUCUUCUUAUACUUUACGCUUGCAUCAGCUUAAAUCACUUCUUAAACGCUUUGCUUUAACUCUACCGCUUCAUACUGUUCUAUAUAUGUAUCGGGUAUGCGGUUGUAGUUCAUUGCUGAGACUACGUGUUUGUUUGACGUGGUAGUUACGUUCCGAGUCUGUUAAACAUUCGGUGAUUAAAGUAUUAUCAGUUAUUUCAAAGGGGCAAAUAAGAUUAGCUACAACACACCCACUAGUUUUAUAAAAUUCGAAUAAGAUGGAAUAAAAUAAAAAAAUAAAUAAGUAAAUUGACUUUUAAUUUUUGUGGUUGAAUAUAUUUUGUAUUCUCUCAGGGCACUGCUGUAAUUGUUCCUUAAAUGUCAGUCACACCCACAUGUUACAGACACAAGAAAUGAAAUCUAAGAUCACCUGUUUAAUUAAAGAAUCACUCAUAAAAAAAUUUUGCCAUUUUGAUUUGAGGAUCCACAUUUUGAACAACCAACUUAUCUUCAUCAAGAACAGAUCAUGGCCUUUGAGUAGAAAAAUUAUUUUUGGACAAACUAUUUUUAUUAAUAGAAGAAUUUCUCAAGGGACUAUUAAAAUUACUAAUGAAAAUGUCAGACACACCCACGUACCAUCGACACAAUUGACUAUGAGGAUCCAUGUUUUGAACUGCCACUUAAUGUUAAUCAAGAACAGAGUAUGGCUUGUGAGAAGAAAAAUUUCUGAUUUUGGCCUGGAACAAAAAGAAAUUAAAUUGAAGGAGAAUCUGGUACUUUCUCAUUAAGAAAGGCAGACGGGGCAUACUAUGGUACCAUACAAUACGAAAAGUCUCCGUUCUCUGGCUUUUAAACUCUAAAGGGGGCAAUAUUCCCCAAUUACCCCGUGAAAAUUCUGAUUACGACAUUAUUUAUUGCUUGAUACAUAAGUAAAAGUAGUGACAAAAUUAGGAAAAAUAUGACUCAUAAGUAAUUACUAGGCAGGGCUCUUGAGAGCAACAUUGUACUAGGCUUUAUAUGCAUACAUGGUGUGGUACAUAGAGCACGUUGAAUUCCACACUAUAACAUAAACCCAGAAAGACAAGUAAUAUCUCAACAUAUAUAAAGACAAAAAGAAGAUAAAAUGAUACAGAACAAAGAAUUUCUAAGAGACAGCAACAUACAAUAGACUGAAGCCAGUUGAUCUGCUCAUUGAUUGCAGCCUUAAACUUGCAAAUGUUUACUGUAGCCUGGUGCUCAAAGAAGUGAAAAUGAUGCAAACCUUGAUUCCCUAUUUACUUCCAUUUACCAUCAAACAUUCUAUUCAUAAGAAAAAAAAUGUUUAGAUAUCUUGCCGUAAAUAUAGCCAUUUGAUUGUUUUAAUAAAGCCACACACAACCAUUCAUAUUGAUCCACAUUGCCACAUAGCCUGAUUUAAGCAUACAACAGCUGAAUGUAUACCUGACUCCUAACCUUAUCAAUACAUUGGCGACAACUUAAGAAGAAAACUAUUUCUCCAUCUCUUUUUUGAAAUUUCACAAUAAAACAGCACAAUGUAAGAGCUGCAAUGAAAAUGGACCGUCUGGAACUAUGGCGGAAGCUUCAACUAGUGUAGUGAUUUGACCUUCUUAUUAACCUGGCAAGAUCAAACACUGCCCUUGAUCUUGAACAGAUCAAUACGAUACGCACAACUUAUGAUUGAAUCCAGAAACCAUCAAAUCUUUAGCAAGAAUAAUUAAUCAGAAUCAAGAAACAAGUUUAAUGAAUAUAAACCUAUAAUUGGAACAAACACAGCCAAAGAACCCAAGAAUGACACAACGUACACCAAGGGAGAAGCUUUCCAGUGAGAUUAUAUUGAUGAUCAAAGAAGAAUCUUUUUACAAAGGUAACAAAAGUGAUUUCAGAGAAUAAGCUAUGACCCUCUCUCUUUUCAAUCUCUGUCUAGUUUGUUAACAGUGAUGACCCCAAUCUGCUUCGUUAGCCAGGUUCAUAACUGCGUCAGUGACAAACUAGCAAACCUAGAUUGAGCAGACUAACGACACGUGCAUAACGGCUUUAACGAACUUGGUUAAAGAACUGCUCACAUGUUCGUCACGCGUGUUGCUUAAAUGAUAGCCAAAACGACUUCAACCAGAUGCCGUUUUGAAGCUUAUGAAUUAUAAGUGAAAACACGUGCUUGUCUCGUGACAUUUAAAUGCAACAACAAGCCCAAAACACUGUCGUUUCACUAUGUUGAGUUUGCCAUCUCCAAGCUUCACAACUAGCAGCGAACAAGAUGAUAAUUUAAUUGACAUGGAGAGCUUUUAUAUCACUUUUACAACAUUCUAUAUAAUUGUGAUAUUGGGAAUCGUCGGUGCUGUAUAUGUGAACCCUCAUUGGCGACACUGGUGGUUUUAUCUUUGUUAAAAUAUGGAUGACUUUUCGUUACUAUUUUGUUGUACAUAACCUUAUUCCUACGAGAUUUAAUCAUUGAAAUUAUGUUAGUUUCAUUAGAAGGCUGAGUGGUUAGUGCUGCUACCCUCCAAUUUGGAGGGCAGUAGUUUGAACCCCCACAAGCGCAAUGUGGGGGUAUUUCCUUCUUUAAUUACAUUGUAUAAUUGAGUAAAGGUAAUUUUCUCUCUUACCCAAGUGUGAGUGGAGUAGACAUCCCUCGAUGGUUAAAACCUGGGCAGAGCUUCAUAAGUAUUGAUGUAAGUUGGUCCCAGUAAUAGUCUGAUUUGUAAAUAUCAGUUAUAGUCUCAUGUUUCCUUCCUUAAUUAUAUUGUAUAAUUAAGUAAAGGUACUCUUUUCCCCUACCCAAGUGUGAGUGGAGUAAAUAUCCAUCGAAUAUUAGUGAGGGUUAAAAUCUGGGCAAAGCUCCAUAAGUAUUGAUGUAAGUUGAUCCCAGUAAUAGUAUGAUUUGUAAAUAUCAGUUAUAGUCUCAUGUAAUAUGAGUUGUAAUUUGAGCAAUAGUUUCAUGUAAUUAAAAAAAAUGUUACUUUCAUUACAUUUUUCUUCGUUAAAAUUCUCAAGUAUCAAUUAUGUUUGCUUAAGAAAUAAAAUUUUGUCAUUAAAGUUGUAGUAGUAUUUCUAAGCAUCUCACAUUUUCAAUGAUUUUUCAUAAAUCAAUUAAUAUGUCGUACCAAUAUCAUGUUUAGUUUUUCAGACUAAAUAAUCAAGAAAGCAAACAAAUUCACAGUUUAGAGGGGUAAACUAGCUUUUAGAUUUUAGAACUAGGCUAGCUACCUCACCAAAUUCCAGUUUGUACAGUGAACUACAAGAUUGAGAAAAUAAUGUAUUUAUAGUUUAAUUGAAUCAUGACAAACAAUGUAGUCAUAGCUCAAUCGGACAUGAUCACGGAGAGGCAUAUUCUUUUCAAGUUAAUUUGAUCCAUUUAUAAGAAAUGAAGUGGAUCGAAGUUAAAAGUUCAAAUAAAAAAUCCUUGUUCUUGAGUUUUACGACGUCGUUACUCCUUCAAGAGGCUGAUUAUGCAAGUGAAUGGAGAAACAUAAUGCAUUUAUAAUUUUUUUAAUAAUUAUAAAAAUAAUUAACCAUAACAAAUCCCUUGCGUAAAUAAUAAUCAUUAUUUAAAAGGUCCAAAGAUGGUUAGUGCACAAUCAAAUUUUAAGCCCCUACCUCCUCGGCCCAAGAUUCAAACUUAGAUGAUAAGCCAAAUAAAAUUAUUUGAAAAUCAUUCAAUCAAGUUCCGGGGCAAAAAUACAAGAUCCUUAUUUACAUGAUAUAUAUGAAUUAAUGUAAUUUAUUUGAAUUGUCCAAAUUCAUUAGAGAUAAAACUAUAAAAUAUACCAAAAAAGUUAGAAGGAAGGCUGUGUUGGGAUAUUUUACAAACUAUAGGGAUCUGGUGAGAUUUUGAGCCAAACUGUAGGGAGUUGAAGGCAUUUGCCCAAUAUGUUUAGACGUACACUAACCGUUAUUUGAUCUUGUUGUUGGUCCCGGAUGAGCUGUAGUCUUAUUUUAAUUUUAUUUAAACUCACCAUAAGAUUCGCGGAGCUCCUAACUAACUUAAAUGACUCUGCAGAGCAUGUCAACACAUACCAUGUUUAACCGUUUUAUUUGUAGAAGAAUUUAUGAUUUCCCAUUAGCAUUAUUAUUGAAGUGGGGCAGGUCAAAUCUCAAUUGCUUGAAAAUUUUAUUUAUUAUUAUUAGUCUUGAAGUGGGGUGGGUAACGGUUCGCUCAAUUCGAGGGGAAUCAAAUAUAUCAUCCAAGGUAGAAUUGUGGAAAAUUAAAGCAAAAUAAGAAAUAUGGAAAGACAAGAAGAAAGUUAAGGCAUGAAAGACAUAUACAGUUGAAAUUGAUAAUCAUGUUUCUAUUUUGUUAACUAAUCAAAUGGAAAGCUGAACUGUAAACAAACAUUAAAACGUGUGGACCAAGCUCGCUGUCCUACAAGUCUACAAUAAUAAUUGAGUACUUUGAUUCAUCCUUCUAUGAAUUUCUACCCAUAUUGACUCCACCGAAAUUUCCACAAAAUAAAAUUAAAAAAAAAAACUGAAUUUCCACAAAAUACAAAACCCGUUGAACUUAAUUUUUGGUCAUGUGAACUAAGAUGUAAAUUAUAAAAAAAAGUAUAAAAUUAAAAAAGAUGAGAUUUCUAAAAUGUGUGGAAAGUGAUUCAUGAUUCACUGAAAUUACUUACCCCAGAUAUAAAGGUAAACCUAUCUAAUUUCAUUAAAAAUAGUUGAAAAACAUUAACUAAUAGAAAGCUACGGAAAUUAACCCCCCACAAAAAUGACUUUUUAUAGAAGAAUUUAUGUUUUUUAAAAUAUGUUAUCAAAGUGUAUUUGAUCAAAUCUGAAUUGCUUAGUAUGGUUAGGAUUUUGUGAACAUCACUAAAAAGUGAAAACUAUGAAUGAUAGGGGUGAUGCUUGCAAUAUGAAUAAAUAAUGGACUGAUUCAAUUUCUGAUUACAUUUAUAUAUUAUUGAUUAUUUAUGAAUUUUCAGACUUGUUAUGAUGUAUAACUAUGUGAUUUUGAAACUUGAAACCGUGGCAAACAUUGAAAGGAAUUAUAACUUGAAAGCAUGACUCACGGGGUAUGUCAUGAUUCACGUGCACAAAAAAGGUAGAAUUGUGGAAAUUUACAACCCAACGACAAGUACGGAAAGAAAGGAAGAAAAUUAAAAGACUUUGGGCCUAGCUGCGUGUAUAAAUUAUUAGAUUACUUUUUUUUUUAUAAGGGUAAUCAUCAAUUUACUCCAUAAAAAUCUUUAAUUCAAUUAAAAUUUAUGGUAUUUUAUAUAUUAAAAAUUCUAAAAUAAUUAUGUAUUCACUUGAAUAUAGUUUUAGUUAUAAAUGUUAAAAUAUUGUGGUAUUUAAUAUAUUAUUUAUUUGACAUUCAAAUUUAAUAAGGAUACAAAUGUAAAAGUAUAUAUUUUUCAGCUUUUUAAGUUGAAAAAAACAAACAACUUAAUACUUAUUUUUUGAGAUUCAGACAAAAAAAUAAACAUAUUAUUCAGAUUCAGACAUUCAGAUCUAUUCAGAAUUCUCACUAAUUCAGAUCUAUUCAGAUUUCAGAUAAAAAAAAAAAAAACAAAACGCCACCUAAGUAUAGUUAGGAUUGUGUGAACAUCACUGAAAACUAUGAUUGAUAGAAGUGAUCUUGGCAAUAUGAAUAAAUAAUUAACUGAAUCAAUUGAUUUAUAUAUUAAUGAUUGUUUAUGAAUUUGCGGACUUGUUGCGAUAUAAUAAUAGCAUAUGAUUUUGAAACUUGAAACAGUGGUAAAUAUUGAAAGGAAUUAAUUUGAAAGCAUGAUCCGUGGGGAAUGUGAUGAAUCGUGUUUACAAAAAAGGUAGAAUUGUGGAAAUUUAUAAUAGAACGAUAAAUAUGGUAAAAAGGAAGAAAAUUGAAAGACUUGGGGCUUGGCCUGGGUGUAUUUUCUAACAGUCCAAUGGACAAAAUUAUAUUUGUAUACUUUCUUUUCAGGAAAAAGUUAUUCUCAUCCCUAGGUUUCAUGCAAUAGCUCAUUCCAUCCUUAUUUUUUAAAUAAUAGACCAAAACAUUCUUCCGUUAACUCACUGUUAGUUGAAUGUCGUUUGUUAGUUAUUCAUUAAGAGUAAAAAAUGAUUUUCUAUCAAAGAGAAAAUUAGAAAAAUAAAUAAAAGUUGACAUAUAACUAAAAAUGAUUUUAUCUAAUCCCACUAAAUAAGAAAUACCAAAAAAGAUGAAAAUUUUAUAUUUCAAGCAGUUCUUUUUUCACUUAUUUCUAUUUUGGCGGUAUGAAAGCCCUAUAAACCCUAGAUCUAAGUACCAAAAAUAUUGCAAUUUUCUUAUUCAUAUAAGUAUACUCUCUAAUUGCACUAUAAAAUGACUUGAAUUGAAUUGAAGAUAAAGAAUAUAUUCAGCACAUACAAAGCACAUAAAAAUUGGUGGCAUUUUUGAGUUUUUCUUCCAAUGAUUUAAAUAUAUUAUUUUAAUUACAGUUUGUUCCUUAUGACAAUUAUUAAAUGGCUAUAUCAAACUAUAUCAUCGUUGAUUUCAUUUAAAAAAAAAAGUUAAUGAAUUUUGCAUACUUUGUAGUGUUAUUUAAUUGUGUAAAAAAAUUAUUUUAAUAUAGUUUGUAUCACUUUAAUGAAAAAUUCUAUUUUGCCCUCAAUGAAUUACUAGUUAACAGUUUUACACUAACGGUGAAUUAACAUAAGGAUAUUUUAGGCUAUUGUUUGAAAAGGAGGGAUAAAAUGGGCUAUUACAUUAAACUCUAAGGAUGAAAAAUGCUUUUUCCCCUUUCUUAUCAAUCAACUAACUGAUAAAAGUCAAAACUCAUAUUUUUUUUUCCUUGUUUCAAUCCCCUCUCAAUCAAAAAAGUUUCAUUGUCUAAGCAAUGAGGAAUAUGGCUAGAAAGAUUGUUAUUAGAAAGAUUUAUCAAUAGUAAUUGGUUCACAAUUGAACCGUUUUAGAUUAUUGUGAGUCAAUAUAGGUCCUGUUUGGAAUUGAAGUGUUGCAGCUCUUAAGUUAUAGAUGCUUUGGAAAAAAAACUAAAAUUAUGAAAUAAGAGUUAAUAAUAUAUAAUAAAUAUAAAUUUUAAAUAAUAAUUGUGACAAAAUUAUUAAAAAUAUAAUAGAUUUUUGAUAAUACAAGUAAAAAAAUCAUAACAACAUAGCUUGCAAGCUACAACAGUUAGUGUUUAACAAAUACUUUAAUACUGUGGCUUUUAAGUUACAGCUGUUCAAUACCUCAAUUCCAAACGCACCUAUAAAAUGGCUUGCUUCAAAAGUCUAUCAACCCAACUUGGAAUGCUCUCAUUCAAGUGGCUAUAACUAAGAUAAAACUUCGCUAAGGAAGAGUAAUUAAAAAAUGUAACUUUAACAUGUCCAUAUAGCAUUUUUGUUUACAAGUGAAUUUGUGUGAUAGAGAGAGGAUGUAAGCAAGAUAGUAAAGUCCUAAAUAUAUUAUUGUGUAUAAUGUCUAAAAUUUAAAGAGAAUCAAGCUGAUAAAACUCCAUUGAAAUUAGACCUUCAAGAAUACGGUUCUUGGGCAUUAUAAAAUGUUGUAAUGUUGAGAGAUUACCCAACCAUUAUGGAAUCCUACCAAGAUGAUUGUUACCACUAAGAUACAAUCCUUCUAGUGAACAACAAUCAGAUAAAUUUUUUGGGGAUCUCUCUUACAAAGUGAUUACCAUCCAAUCGCAAUUUUGAAUGAAAAUAAAUUUUUUUUAUUGGGAGUUUAACCUUAACAUUAAAUUUAGACAAUGAAUUUUAACUUUCUACAGUUAUUAAGCAGAUUACGGACAUUUGAGGAAUUUGAAAACAUUUCAUCCAUCGAAAGUUAAAAUUAGAGAUGGAAGAUAGGUGCUACAGCUAAUGGGAACAUUACUUCCUGUCCCUCAUCACACUUUAUUUUGGGUCUAAUAAUUUUACGGUAGCAUUGACCACUGCUCAAGGUAAGUAAAACUUACAAAUGUGUGGCAAAAUAAAUAAUUAAGUACAUAAACUGUUAACCAAUUUUCUUGAUAUAUACAGCUAAAGUAGUUGUAUAUUAGUGUCCUGAAACAUGUUUAUUAUGAUAGACACCUCCACCGUACCUCAAACAAAUCUGUCAUUAUUAGUGUCCUGAAACAUGUUUCGGCCGUCAAAGUCAUGAGAGGGUUGAUGACGCUACUACGUAUGAUGACACACCAGCCGACAGUGUAGUAACAGCUCAAAAACAAAAUCUACCAAAAUCAACGGAAGUUAAUAAAAAAAUAUUUUAUUAAUAAAAAAACUUAUUAUUUGUGGAGAUAUGUGUAUUUGAGUCUGUGGACUGAAAUGGAAAAUAUGAAGAAGUUCAGAGUCGUUGUGCAGAUUGACUUCAGUUGAGCGGGUCUAAUAGAUAUUUUAUGCUGACGUGGCACGAAUUAGUUAUAAUCUGUUAUAACGAUUCCAGAAAUAUCGGUAUAAAUAGAAGUUGAUGAGCAGUGCCUGUUGUACGAUCCUUUUCUUCUUCAGCAGUUCGUCAAUUUGCAUAGAAUCUGUUUCACUUAUGUUUGAUUAGUUGUUGAUCGAUAACGAGAGUAAAUUUUUCCUUCAAAUCUUGCUGGUUCGUGCCCCUGUUUCAGUUUUGGGUUUUUUUUUUUUUUUAGUUCUGGUUUCUUAAUUCAAUUGAAUUUCUUGGUGCUUAAUUCAUCAAGAUUCAGUGGAAUUGACUUGAAAAGGACUCAAUAGACUCAACAUUAUUUAACGACACUCGGACCGUGGGGUACCGUAAUCAUAAUAUUAAAAGAUUUAAAAUUUUAUGCAUUUAUUAAUUGUUAUAAUCUAAAAAAAAAUUAAUUAAUUCAGGUCAAUCUGAGUUGGUGCAUCUGCAGAGCCUUUUUUUUUUUUCCCCUUAUUGACCAUAACUUUCGACUUAUUAAUAGUUAUAUCAAAGGGUGUGGGUGUUUUACCUCAUCAUGUCUUCAAGCGGAAGAUGAAGACUAUGCAAGUGAAUACAGUGCAUUUCAACAUAGCAUAUUUAACCGUUUUAACAGUUAUUUGGACCGUCUUCAGAGCUAACAUCAACAUACUCAUUCAUAUGCUUAAUAAUGAACGAAUAGUCAUGGAUCGAUGUUUUGCAGCAAGAGCAACUCGACACAAUCUGGAUUCAACCUCCUCCUUUCUAACAGGGUGAUACGCCGCGGAGGUCGUCAAGGAUUCCAAAGCCUAGCAACAAGUAUGCUGGGUACAUUUGAAUUAUGCAUGGAUGCUUGGAAGUCGAACGGUCACAUGGCUCAAGACUUAUGCAUACGUUACAUGCAACAUGCAGCACGUUGGAAGAAUGGUCAUUGGAGCAGUCUACAUGGAUCAUGGGGGGGAUUCGGUCAACAUGGGAUCACUUGCUGAUUUAAUGGAGAUUUAUCAUUUGGUUUAAUUCAUUUUCGGUUGUUUAGUUAAGCUAAAAGAAUAAGUUAAGUUGUUAGCUUAGGACCUGCCUACAAUCUCGAGUGAUAGUUAGAUUGUUUGGCUAAGUUGUUUUAAGUAUAAAUAAGCUCCAACGGACUUGAAUAAAGGGCAUUGACUAUUAUCCAAAAAUCAAAUAUCUUGUGGUCUUAUUUCUCACCCUAAGUAGAAAUAUAUUCAACCACUUACGCUUUGACUGGGACCCCUAUCAGUGGUAUCAGAGCGAGGUUACUAUGUCAACCAACAAGGAACGCAUAGAGCGUGUGGAAGCCGAGAUCGGAAGCUUGCAAGAUGGAAUGAAGCGUAUGGAACUAGGGCUUACUGACAGAUUGCACCGCCUAGAAGAAACAAUGAGCAAACUGGUAGAUUCACUUCCAACUUCAAAAGGGAUGCCAAGUCACAACAAUUCUGAUCACGUUGGAUCCUCACAGCCUAGCCGUGGAGAUAGUGAAGGGAGCCGCCAUCAGCUAGCAUCAAGACUUACCAAACUGGAGUGUCCACGAUAUUCCGGCGACGACCCAACGGAGUGGUAUAAUAGGAUCAUGCAAUUUUUCGAGUACCAGAAAGCAACCAAUGAACAGAAAGUCUCCUUAGCUUCUUUUCACCUCGAAGGAGAGGCCAACCAAUGGUGGCAGUAGAUGCGACGAACUUAUCAAGAAGACGAAAAAAUAGUAACGUGGGAAAUUUUUGUGGAGGAGCUUUGGGCACGGUUUGGCCCUACUGAGUGCGAAGAUUAUGAUGAGGCGUUGUCCAGGGUUAAGCAGACAGGGUCACUACGUGAUUAUCAGAGGGAAUUCGAAAGGCUUGGGAACUGGGUACGAGGCUGGACGCAAAAGGCCUUGGUCGGGACCUUUAUGGGAGGAUUGAAGCCGGCAAUCUCAGAGGAAAUUCGGAUGUUUCGGCCCAAAACUUUAAAAGAAGCUAUAAGCCUCGCACGUAUGAAGGAUGAUCAAUUAACGCGACAAAGGAAGUUGCUACGACCACAGUACCUCAACCGUACACCACCAACACCAACAAACAAUACCCGUGCCCAACCAACGAGACCCAUCAAACGGCUGACUUGGGACGAAAUGCAGCGGCAUCGAGUAAUGGGACUUUGCUUCAAUUGCAACGAUCGGUUUACAGCAGGUCAUAAGUGCACCCAACCUCAGCUAUUGCUCCUUGAAAGUGAGACAAUGAAUGAUGAAACUACAUAUGAGGGAAUUCCUGAAGUCUUAUGAACAAAACCUGACACUAAAGAGCCUACCGAUCCAAAAAUCACUUUCUAUGCCCUCACUGGAUGGGCAGCCCCAAGAACCAUGCGGGUCACGGCAACGGUAGGACCAUAUGAGAUUAUGGUUCUGAUCGAUAGCGGUUCAACUCACAAUUUCAUCAGCUCCCGAAUGGCCAACAUGUUACGGCUGCCAAUCAUUCCCACAGCAGGAUUUUUGGUGCGAGUGGCAAACGGAGAAACGCUAUCGUGCAAGGGAAAAUUCGAACGGGUUCAGGUAUUAUUACAAGAAGUUCCAUUCACUUUGACUCUUUAUUCACUUCCAAUUACAGGGUUGGAUAUGGUGCUUGGAGUCUAGUGGCUUGAGAUGCUAGGCUCAGUGGUUUGCAAUUGGAAACAACUUACCAUGGAUUUCACUUGGGAGAACAAAAGUUGCCGGUUACAAGUCAUCGGGCCUCAAUCAAUCCAAACAGCAUCCUUGACCGAAAUUACCAAAGAGCUGAGACAAGGGCAGUCCGGUUUUGCUAUUUGUUUCCAUGUGAAUGUAGAAGACUCUCUCAACACAACAACUCCAGAUAUGCAAGACUUGUUAAAGGAAUACAACACUUUAUUUCAAAAGCCAACAAAACUGCCACCUAGACGAGAAAUCGACCAUAACAUCACAUUGAAAGAGGGAACUGAGCCAGUCAACGUACGGCCAUACCGUUAUGCCUAUUUCCAGAAAGCCGAAAUUAAAAAACAAGUCCAGGAGAUGCUGAAUUCGGGACUCAUUCGGCCUAGUACCAGCCCUUUUUCAUCACCAGUACUACUUGUCAAAAAAAAAGAUGGAAGUUGGCGAUUUUGCACCGACUAUCGGUCUCUCAAUAACGCCACUGUUAAAGACCGAUUUCCAAUCCCUACAGUCGAUGACAUGCUGGACGAGUUACAUGGAGCAGCAUACUUCACUAAAUUGGACCUAAGGGCCGGAUACCAUCAGGUACGUGUAAACCCAGCCGAUAUCCACAAAACGGCUUUUCGUACAUACAAUGGACAUUACGAAUACUUAGUAAUGCCGUUUGGCUUAUGCAAUGCACCAUCGACAUUCCAGGCCAUCAUGAACUCUAUCUUCCGUCCCUAUCUCAGGAAAUUUAUCCUUGUUUUCUUUGACGAUAUAUUGAUAUACAGUCCCUCUUGGUGUAGCCACCUUACUCAUGUUAAGCAGGCAAUGGAGGUUCUUAAACAACAUCAAUUUUUUCUUAAAGCAAGCAAGUGCACUUUUGGCCAACAAGAACUCGAGUACCUUGGCCACAUAAUUACCAGCCAAGGGGUAAAAGUAGAUGAGACAAAAAUUGCGGCCAUGGUCUCCUGGCCUCAACCGAAGAACAUCUCAGAGUUACGGGGAUUCCUUGGCCUUACAGGUUACUAUAGAAAGUUCGUCCAAGGAUAUGGAGUUUUAGCUCGGCCACUCACGAAUCUUCUAAAAAAAGGACAGUUUGAAUGGAAUGCAGAAGCGGACAAAGCUUUUAUCAAUUUAAAAAAGGCAAUGACAAGUACACCCACAUUAGCCAUGCCUAAUUUUAAUGAAACUUUUAUUAUUGUGACAGAUGCAUCCGGUGACGGCAUCGGCGCAAUACUCCAGCAACAAGGGCAUCCCAUCGCAUUUAUGAGUCGUGCCUUGGGAGUCACAAAAAAAUCUUAGUCCACAUACGCAAAAGAGAUGUUGGCGAUUAUAGAAGCUAUCCGUGUGUGGCGACCUUAUCUGGUGGGACGAAAGUUUAUCAUCCAAACCGAUCAACGCAGCCUUAAGUACCUUUUGGAACAAAAAAUAACGACACCCGAAUAGCAACAGUGGCUGGCCAAAUUGAUGGGGAUUGAAUAUGAAAUCCAAUAUAGGCCCGGCCGUGAGAAUGUUGCCGCCGACGCCCUUUCACGACGACCUGACAGUUCUGCUCUUAACAGUUUAUUUGUGGCGCAGGUAUCUAUUUGGAAUGAAAUAAAAACGGCUGCCCAAGAUGAUGAUUACAUGCAGCAAAUUACACAUCAGGCUCUGACUCAACCUACUGGCCCUUAUUUCAUGCGUAACGGGCUAAUUUUCUUCAAGGGCCGAGUUGUAGUUCCUCUUCGACUCCGUCAAUCUUUAAUUUUUUAAGCCCAUGACACUAAGAUGGGAGGUCAUUCAUGAGUUCUACGUACUUACAAACGUUUGAAACAACAAUUCUAUUGGCCUUCAAUGUUUCAAACGGUUCAUGACUAUGUAGGUAAAUGCGAGAUUUGUCAAAAAACGAAAGCAUCAACCCUUAAGCCUGCGGGUCUCCUCCAGCCCUUGCCAAUUCCUUGCCAAGUGUGGGAUGAUAUCACGCUCGACUUCAUUGAAGGGCUGCCAAACUCACACGGUAAAAAUUCUAUUCUAGUGGUGGUGGAUCGGCUCAGCAAGAGUGCACACUUUAUGGCCUUGACUCACCCAUUCACAGCAAAAACAGUGGCUGAGAAGUUUAUUGAUGGAGUGGUAAAAUUACAUGGCAUGCCGAAAUCAAUAAUCAGUGACCGAGACCCUAUUUUUAUUAGCAAGUUUUGGCAGGAGUUUUUUCAUAUGUCCGGUACACAACUCAAUAUGAGUUCUGCGUACCAUCCGCAAACCGACGGUCAAACGGAAGUUAUUAAUAGAUGUCUUGAACAAUACCUGCGAAGCUUUGUUCACCAAUGGCAGAAGCAAUGGAACUCUUACCUACCUUGGGCAGAAUACUGGUACAACACAACGUACCAUGAGUCCACAAGCAUGACUCCUUUUUUGGCUUUGUAUGGGCGACAUCCACUGGUAGUACCAAUGUAUCAUGUGGAAUCUUCUCCAGUGCACAAGGUAGAUCAAGCUUUGUUGUCUAGGGAUGAGCUGCUGCGACAAUUAAAACAGAAUUUGAAAAUGGCAACCAAUCGCAUGAAACAAUUUGCGGAUACAAAAACGCGCGACGUGGAGUUUAAGGAGGGUGACAUGGUAUUCCUAAGACUUCCACCGUAUAGGCAGACUACUGUAUUCCGUCGUGCUCAUCAGAAGUUGACCAGCAAAUACUCUGGGCCAUAUCCAAUUCUGCGAAGAGUGGGACAAGUGGCUUAUGAGCUUAAACUACCGACGGGAUCUCGAGUGCAUCCGGUAUUUCAUGUGUCCUUACUCAAAAAAUACGUUGGUGAGAUGCCUCAAUUCAGUGCAGAUCUUCCAUAUGUCAAUGACGACGGAGUACUCGUUUUAGAACCGGACAAAAUUAUUGAUGUUCGUUGGCUUAAAAGAGGUGGCAAGUUGGUGGAACAAAGUCUUGUCCGUUGGAAACGCCUUCCACAUGAGGACGCAACAUGGGAAGAUUCAGAGUUCCUGGCAAAGCAAUUCCCUCACCUGACCCUUGAGGACAAGGGUCCUCUUCGUGGAGGCGGUAUUGAUACACCGCGGAGGUCGUCAAGGAUUCCAAAGCCUAGCAACAAGUAUGCUGGGUACAUUUGAAUUAUGCAUGGAUGCUUGGAAGUCGAACGGUCACAUGGCUCAAGACUUAUACGUUACAUGCAACAUGCAGCACCUUGGAAGAAUGGUCGUUGGAGCAGUCUACAUGGAUCAUGGGGGGGAUUCGGUCAACAUGGGAUCACUUGCUGAUUUAAUGGAGAUUUAUCAUUUGGUUUAAUUCAUUUUCGGUUGUUUAGUUAAGCUAAAAGAAUAAGUCAAGUUGUUAGCUUAGGACCUGCCUACAAUCUCGAGUGAUAGUUAGAUUGUUUGGCUAAGUUGUUUUAAGUAUAAAUAAGCUCCAACGGACUUGAAUAAAGGGUAUUGACUAUUAUCCAAAAAUCAAAUAUCUUGUGGUCUUAUUUCUCACCCUAAGUAGAAAUAUAUUCAAUCACUUACGCUUUGACUGGGACCCCUAUCACAGGGGAUUUCGAUUUGAGUUACUUUGUGCUCAAGCAAAUUCACAUCAUAGUUUUGAUUCUUUAGAUAUGAAUUCAUCACAUUACAUAUAUCAGAUUAAGUGUAACAAAAUUUUUAAUUUACUGCGAAAAGAAUAUGCACUAAACAAUGAUUUCAAGACGAUUUGACUACCAAAAGCAGCUGUCAGAGUGCACUAAAAAUUUCUGUAGGAUAUUUUGUAGCUGUUUAAUAUGUUAUGAUGGGCAUAUAAUUCUCAAAUUUUGAUGCCUCUCAGCGAAAAAUAUAUCAAAGUUUAGAUUAUGUGUUCGAGCUUUAAUAAAUGGUCGGAAAAAAAGCUGCUGUCAGAGUGCACUGAGUGAAUAAUAAUAACGACAAUAAUAAUAAACUAAAAAACAGAAUUAAUUACUAUUGAAUGGUCGGAAAAAAAUUUGAAAACGUGUGAACUCCAAUAAUCACCCCACAAAUUCAGUGGCGAAUUUUGGAGAGGGCAAGGCCGGGCUUCUCAGAAAAAAAUUUAUUUAGUUACAAAAUUAUCUUUAUUGAAACCUAUAUAAAUUUUUUUUUAUAUUAAUUAGUUAUGUUACCUCUUCAAUUAUCAUCAAAUUUUUGUCUGUUCAUCAUUUGGUGAAUAAAUGUGUGUCUAAAUAAUUUCAAAUAACAUUUAGAACAAAUAUUUUGAGAGGUAAAGUUUAUUUUGUCUCCCAUUAUUAGGUGCAUCUAUAAUUUCUUAUUUACAAAAUUAUAUUGUACGAUAAAAAUUUAUUGAAUUAGGGGGAAAAAAAAAGUUCAGCUCACUCAAAAACAAAAAAUGGUAUUAACUUCGCCACCGCACAAAUCUAGAAUAAUAAUUAUUCCUUAUCAUGCUGGGGAUCCUUUACUUUCUAGCCGUAUUGACAGCACCAGGUAAAGCUUUGUAAAAUAAUAAGUUACUCAUUAGUGGUUUUUAAUCUUUUUAAUUCUUUUUACCGCACACCUGAUCAAGAAUUUUAUUUUGUUAACUAAUCAAUUGCAAAGCAUAUAUAAGUGUUGAACGGUACGCAAGAUUGGAAAAAAAAAUCUUAAAAAACGUGUGGAUUCGGGUGGCCACACCAGAAAUCUAUUACAAUAAUUAGCUUUGAUGCUGGGAAUCUUUUAAUUUCUGGCCGUAUUGAAAUUUUUAAAAUAACAAGUUCCCCUUCUCGUUUUUUUUUUUAUAAAUAUAUAAGCUUAUAACAAUUUUAGAAUAAUGACUCAUUUGUAGAAGAAUUUAUGAUUUCCCAUUAAUAUUAAUAUUGAAGUGGGGUGGGUCAAAUCUCAAUUGCUUGAAGAAUUUAUUUAUUAUUAUUAAUAUUAUUAGUAUUGAAGUGGGGUAGGGAACGGACCAGCAGUUCACUCAAUUCGUGGCGAAUUAAAUAUUACCAUCCAAGGUAGGAUUGUGGAAAAUUAAAGCAAAAUGACAAGUAUGGAAAGGAAGGCUGAAAGUAAGGCAUGACGAAAGGCUUUGAGAAGGCUGAAGACUUACCAAAGAAGUCAACUGAAAACUAGCUGGGGCCUGAGUGUAUAAAUUGUUAGAUGCGUUUGUUAUAAAUAACAUAGAGCCCUUUUGUUAUUUAUAGUUAUAGAGAAAGAGAGAAUGUGUGUCUUUUAAGAGUUAGAGAUAUAGCUAGAAUGGGCGGCUCAAAAUCCAAAAUGGUGACAAUGUUAGUUCUCGUAUUGGUAAUAUUUUGGGUGGGGGGGGGGGGGGGGGGGGGGGGGGGUUGUGAGGGAAGGAAGGUCCACAGGCCGAGUGGUACAACUACACCUUGGCCUUACUAGGAAUAUCGAUCUGGGAGAGUGGUAUCUGAAUGCUUCUCUAUUUACUUCCUUUCAACAACUUGGUAACAAAAUAGCCGGCUGCAUGCGUUGAGAAUGAAGGUCCUUCAUUUAAUUUAAUUUACUUAAUUUCUCCCUCCCAAUUAAUGUCUAAUGGAGCUCAUUCUUUGGUUUUACUUGCAGGUCUAGAAGCAGGUGUCAUCUAACAGCUGCUUUGAUAAUUUCCCACCCCUUCAUCUUUGAUGGAAAGAUGAAAUAAAAACAAAAUGGUGAAAAUGGUAUUGGUACCUGAGGCUAUGUAAUCUAAUUCAACAACUGCACCAUCAAAACGAUUACAUAAGUCCCAGAAGAAUCAAACAUUAGUUUGCAAAAUAUCAAUUGCUGGAGGUUAGAUUCUAACUUCCGCUCUUGAUUUUUAUGGGCAUGUUGUAUUGUACUUGCAUACGAAAAUCAUAUUUUAGUUUACUUACACUCAAUGCUUGGAUUAAAGUUUCAGGUGGGGAAAAUUGAAGGAGACUAAAAUGACUCAAAAAAAUAGUUGAAUGAGUGAGGGUUUUGUCUUCAUUUGAGGAGCUCUUUAUAAAUUUUAGGAUUUUUUUUCCCGAGAAAAUUUAUGCCAACUUAUUCUUUGCUUCUUUUCUGAAGGGACAAAUGCAACUGAAAGUGUAUUCUUGAAUUCUCCAGGAUAAGAGACAUAUGUUUAAUUAGAUUCUCGAGCCUUCAAAACAAUAUAAAAUUUUAUAUAUCUGAGCAUGAUGGUGUUUGACAUGACUUAAAAUUGUUUAAUUUACUCUCACGUACAAGAAUGCCUAGUUAUAUUGUCGCUCAGAGUCCGAGGUUAAUCCAUAAAGAAAUGAUUUAAUUUGUUUAUUUAAGAUUAUCCCAAAAAAUAAAAAUAAAAUUUAAAUAUAUGUAAUUUAAUUUGAAAAAAGUUAUGAAAUUAAAUUAUUUAGAGUCAUGGAUCCACUCUUAGUAAUAAAUACAAUUUAAUAAAUUCUUUUUAUUUUUAUUUUAUUGCCCAAAAGAUUAAUUAUAUAAAUUAUAAUUAUUUUUCCAUUAAUUUUAUUAUGGAUUAAGUACUUAAUGUGCCAAAACUUAACUUGUCUACAAUAUGUCAAAAUACCAUUUUACCAUACUUUAUGCUAAGAUAUUAAGAAUUCAUGUGCCAAACUCCCAUGUUUGUCUACAAUAAAUCCAAAUUUCAAAACAUAAAAUAUGGAUCAAAUUAAAUAAAAAAUAAUUUAAUUUAUAUAAUUAAAAAUAGAAUUUGAUUAAAUCAUAUUUUUCUACUUAGAGUUUUACCUCACCCUAACUAUUAGUAUUUAGCUAAACAUAUUUGAAAUAAAUGAAAUUAUUAAAAUUGAAAAAUACAUAAUUAAAAAAAUGGUAUUUGAAAAUUAGAAAUAAAACUAAUUUUAUUUAUUGAAAAUGUAUUACAAAGAGAGAUGAGAAGAAGAAUUUGAGGGAAAAGAAGAGAAGAAAAUGUGUGGAGAGGUGUGUGAAAUUAUAUUGUAAAGAUGUUACACAAACAAAUGAAUAAAAAAAAACUAAAUGAAAAUUACACAAAUUAAAAAGAAAAUGAAAAUUAAAUAAAAAAGAUAAAUGUGUAAGAAAAAAAUGCGCAAUAAAAAUAAAUAAACUGAAAAGUAAUUAACUAAAAUUAAAAUAACUAAAUAGGCGGUAAACAAAGUAAAUGCCAAAAAUAAAAUAAGUGCGAAAAUUAAAUUACAGAAAUUAAAAGAAGAAAGAAAGAAAAAAAUAAUUAUCUCAAAGUGUAAACUCUUUUUCUUUUUCUUUUCAAAUUUUAAAUAUUACCAGCCAAUUAAGUGAUUAAUUCAAAUUAUUAGGCUUUAAUAGUAAUUUUUAAAAUCAAUAUUCAGUUUAUUGAGUCCAAAUAAGGUCCAAAGAAGUUCAAGUUGUUGGUCUAAAAUUGAGAAUUUUGGGAAAUAUUGGCAACGGACCUAUUCAAAAAGCUCUAUAAUUUUGUGGUCAAACUGCAAUUAUGAGAAGAAUGAUCCAAAAAUUAGAAUUUUUGGGGUGAGUGAGAUUUAGAAAGAUUUUGUGGAUAUAACAUAAUUUAAGAAAGAAAAAGGAGGUAAAUGAAAAUUUACACAAAAAGUAUAAAAAGAAAGAAAAAAGAAAACAAAAUAAAUACCUCUCCCAGCAAUGGCGGUAAAAACUUAACACGACUUAAAAGCAUUUAAUUUACUCUAAAGUAUAAGAGUACCUAGUUAUAUUAUAUCGCGAGAAGUCCGAGAUCGAUCUACAGAAAAAUGAUUUAAUUUAUUUAUUUAAGUUUAUCUAAAAAAUAAAAAUAAAAUUAAAUACAUGCAAUUUAAUUUGAGAAAAACUAUGAAAUUGAAGUAGUUAGGAUUAUGGAUCUACUCCUAGUAAUAAAUGUAAUUUAAUAAAUUCUUUUUAUUUUUAUUUUAUUGACCAAAAGAUUACUUGUAUAAAUUACAAUUAUUUUCCCAUUAAUUUUAUUAUGGAUUAAGUACUUAAUGUGCCAAAGCUUAACUUGUCUACAAUAAGUCAAAAUACUAUUUUACCAUACUUUAUACUAAGAUAUUAACAAUUCAUUGUGCCAAACUCCCAUGUUUGUCUACAAUAAAUCAAAAUUUCAAAAUAUAAAAUAUAGAUAAAAUUAAAUAAAAAAUAAUUUAAUUUAUAUAAUUAAAAAUAGAAUUUGAUUAAAUCAUAUUUUUCUACUCAGAGUUUUACCUCACCCUAACUAUUAGUAUUUAGCUAAACCUAUUUGAAGUAAAUGAAAUUAUUAAAAUUGAAAAAUACAUAAUUAAAAAAAUAGUAUUUGAAAAUUAGAAAUAAAACUAAUUUUAUUUAUUGAAAAUAUACUACAAAAAGAGAUGAGAAGAAAAAGUUGAGGGGAAUGAAGAGAAAAUAAGGUGUGGAGAGGUGUGUUCCUCCCCCCACUUCUCUAUUUAUACUAAUACAUGAUUAAUCUAUACCACACAAAUAAAUAAAACUAAUUACAUCUUAGGCAUACAUUUGUCCCACUAACAAAAUAUAAACCUAAGUUAAUCCACUUAAGCACAUCCAACACAUUUCACUAACAAUUACCACACCUAACAUGAUAAAAACUUAUAAUUUCACAAUUACCACAUUUACUUUUACAACAAAAACCACGAAUCUUCUCGACAAUAACCUAAUUUCUCGGACUUUCGGAAUCUAAAAAUUUAAAUAAUAUUAAAUUUAUCUAAUAUAAUUAAAUGUAUUAAAUAAAAUAAUGUUUCAUUUUAUAUUUACCCUCCUUUUAUUAAAUUUACUAUAAUUAUAUUUAAUAAAAUAAAUAAUAUUAUAUAUUUAAAUAAUAUUAGUUAUAUUUAACUAAAUUAAAGCAAAAUGACAAGUAUGGAAAGGAAGGCUGAAAGGAAGGCAUGACAAAAGGCUUUGAGAAGGCUGAAGACUACCAAAGAAGUCAACUGAAAGCUAGCGGGGGCGUGAGUGUAUAAAUUGUUAGAUGUGUUUGUUAUAAAUAACAUAGAGCCCUUUUGUUAUUUAUAAUUAUAGAGAAAGAGAAUGUGUGUUUUUUAAUAGUUAGAGAUAUAGCUAGAAUGGGUGGCACAAAAUCCAAAAUGGUGACAAUGUUAGUUCUCGUAUUGAUAGGGGGGGGGGGAGAGGUCGAGUGAGGGAUGUUUGGAGCAUGAGAAAUUUGAUCUUUUGCGGCUGGAUGUUUGGAGCAUGAGAAAUUUGAUCUUUUGCGGCUUAAACAUUUCUUCAAUUCCCCUUAUACACUUCAAAACUGGGUAGGUGAACAAAGGGAAAGGGUUGAGUGCAGCAACUCCACAGGCCAAGUGGUACAACUACACCAUGGCCUUACUAGGAAUAUUGAUCUGGGAGAGUGGUAUCUGAAUGCUUCUCUAUUUACUUCCUUUCAACAAUUUGGUAACAAAAUAGCCGGCUGCAUGCGUUGAGAAUGAAGGUCCUUCAUUUAAUUUAAUUUACUUAAUUUCUCCCUCCCAAUUAAUGUCUAAUGGAGCUCAUUCUUUUGUUUUAUUUGCAGGUCUAGAAGCAGGUGUCAUCUAACAGUUGAUUUGAUAAUUUCCCACCCCUUCAUCUUUGAUGAAAAGAUGAAAUAAAAACAAAAUGGUGAAAAUGGUAUUGGUACCUGAGGCUAUGUAAUCUAAUUCAAAAACUGCACCAUCAAAACGAUUACAUAAGUCCCAGAAGAAUCAAACAUUAGUUUGCAAAAUAUCAAUUGCUGGAGGUUUGAUUCUAACUUCUGCUCUUCAUUUUUAUGGGCAUAUUGUGUUGUACUUGCAUCCGAAAAUCAUAUUUUAGUUUACUUACACUCAACGCUUGGAUUAAAGUUUUAGGGGGGGCAUUGAAGAAGACUAAAAUGACACAAAAAAAGAGUUGAGCGAGUGCGGGUUUUGUCUUCAUUUAAGGAGCUCUUUGUAAAUUUUAGGAUUUUUUUCCUAAGAAAAUUUAUGCCAACUCAUUCUUUGCUUCUUUUCUGAACGGACAGAUGCAACCGAAAGUAUAUUCUUGAAUUCUUUAGGAUGAGAGACAUACGUUUAGAUUCAUCGAGCCUUUAAAACAAUAUCAAAUUUUAGAUUGCUGAAAUUUUAUAUAUCUGAGUAUGAUGGUGUUCCAAUUAUAAGCUCCAGGGUGCAACUUCACUAAGGUUUAGAAUACCUUCCUAUAGAAUUGAGAAAUCUCCAUUGGCAUAAAUAUCCUUUGAAAAUAUUGCCAUCAGAUGUUGAAUUGGAGAACCUGAUUGAACUCAGCUUGCCUUGUAGUAAGGUUAAGCAAAUUUGGAAAAGAGAAAAGGUAUAAUGUAUUACUAUUACCAAAGUAUCUAUUUUUCUUUCUUUAAGUAUUUAUAAUGAAUAACUUUGAAAUUGAAUGAUGCUCAUUUAGUAUAGUUGUGUAUCUUUGGUUAUAGGAAGCUGUCAAGUUAAAAUCUAUAGAUCUUCACCACCCUCUGUAUCUCAAUAGGAUCCCAAAAAUACUAAAUCUUAAAAAAAUAAAUCUUUCAAAAUGUGAAAGCAUGCUUACGUUACCCGCGUAUAUCCACAAUUUCAACUAGCUCAGUAUGUUGUGUUUCAUGGGAUGCAAAAUUCAUUUUGUUUCUCAUGAAAGGAUUGACUUGUUCGGAUGUAUUAGGGUUAAUAAACCAACUAAUCCCAUAAUUUGUUGAUGUCGGGUCCUAACAAAUUACUGCAGUAUAUUGUAGAUCAAUACACUAUUUGAAAACGUAUUUGAUCCACACAGUGAAUGUUUGAGGGUGCAUUUCUCGCGAACCAGCCAUACCCUAAACGAGGAGCCGGUCUCCUUGUAAUUGAGCAGGCAGGUGAAGUCUGGUAGCAAAUAUCCAAGAGCAGGAAUUCUAUGCUCAAUCACAAGGACAUCCUCUUUUGGACUAUAAUUCGAACAAGGUUCCUGCUAGGAGCCGAGAGCCUUUCCUGCUGGAGAGCGGGGUCGGCAGGCCUAGUCUAUAACGGUUAGCGAGACGUGCACUCCUAUUCGAGAAUCUAGGCACGAAACCAACUCAGCUGCAACUACGACAUUCAGGCAUCCACUUCCGUAAGCUGAGGGAGGUGAUGGACGUGGAUCGUAGGGCGUCGGAUUUGUAAGACGGCUAUAAAACGGUAAUCAACGAAGGUAAAGGGGUUAGACACUUUUACACUAGAACUUAAGAAAUAAGACCAUUUACUAAAAAAGGAGAGAAACACUCAUAGGUGUUCCACUGCCUAAGAGAUCAUGAGAGAGCCACGAGAUCAGUGGCCGAGUUUCCCAAAAAGUAAACCUAAAUUUCUGACUUGAGCGUAGGAGGAUUUUUCCGGCGUGCUCUGACAAGUUUUUGUGUGCGCAUGAGUCUGCUAAGUCAUACAAGGCAUAGCUUUGCUCGGUUAGAAGAGUUACGUGAAGUAUCCUAGGUUGGUCGUGAGUUCGGGAGUUAAGGAGAGAUCCUGGUUGCAGACGAGCAGACACCAGAAUCUCGCAUCAACAGUGAAGAUGAUUCAAUAUUAAGCAUGUCAUAUAAUCUAGAAGUGGAUAUUGGACCAAUUUGAUGAUAAUGAAUUUCUUUCAAUCUCAAUCUUUUUCUUUUUAGCAACAUGACUAGUAAUUGUGCAAAUUUAAACUCUGAGAAUGAUUUCUCAAUCGGUUUCUAAAAUGAUGACCAUGCAUGUAUACGUGUGUGUGUGUAGAGAGAGAGAGAGAGAGAUCACACGUGUGUGAUUUCCUUUUGCCAAUAGGAUAUGCAGAGAGCUUGAUCUUACCCAAUAGCGAAACAAACUUCCUAAUAAGUGAAGGUAUAGUAUAAAUACUUAUACUUUCAUGUUAUUUUGUUCAUCGGUAGCUUGAUUAUUUUAUAUGCGUCUUCGAUUUUAAUUUUCUUUCCCUAUAAUCGCUAUUAUCUUUGAACUGGUCAUGAUUUGCCUAUUAGAUUUCUCAUGUUGUUUUGAGGUGCAAUGGAUUUUGAAUUUAGUGACGAGCAGUGGAAGCCAGAAGGCAAAUUAUGAAAAUGGAUAAAGAUCUAUAAUUAGCUGUUAUGGGAUGUCACAUAUCAUAUUGAUGGUAACAUUAUAUAUAUGUACAUAUAAUUAAUGGGGUUGGCUCACGAGCCCAUUAAUAAUCGUAUAUUAGCUUAUAUACUUCAAACAAUGUACUAUGAAGUAAUUUCACAAAUACUUGUUAGCUUAUGUGGAGCUUUAUUGAAUCAGUAGUUCACAGUUCAAUAAAAUGCAGGUUUGCUAUUUGAAGUACAUGGUCAUGGUGCGUACAUUCUUCAUAAGGCUAACUACUAAUUUAUCAUUGAAACUUGAAAAAUGUGAUAGAGAGAUGUAGAUAACAGCCGCAAAACACUGAGAUUGAAAAUCAGGGCUACUAAAUUCUAUUAAAAGCCCUUAAAAUAGACAGCGAUCAUCCUAAAAUAUUAAUUGCAAAGUUAUGCACUAAUAGAACUAUUGACUACUUAUCUUUAGCAGAAGGUAUAUUUUUAACUACAGCUUUCUGCUUUGUUCUAAGAACUAGGCAAAAGUGGUAUAUCUUCAAUCCAAUCAACAUAUAUACCACUUAUUUUCCCCUUCACUUCUGUCCAUUUUGAUUUGCACUUCAUAUCCUGCACUUGCUGCUUAGAAAUAGUCUUAGUCUGGACAUUGAAAGUAGAAAAAGUACUUGAAACAAUCAUUGGCACAGCCCGAGAUUCCAUUGAAUCGUGGACUCCAAGCUUUCAUAGUUCUAUAAAGAAAAUGACAAAACAUCAUACAACUGGCAUUCGGCUUUUAACAUUUGCACAACCUGAGCGCGUUAGCAAGCCCCUUAUUGCGUUCCCAUUGAAUAGACCUACUUCUGUUAUCCACAGAAGAUCCACCUCUCAAAAUGUUUAUCACCAGGCUAUUCUUAAACUGAGCCUAAACUGAGUAGAAACUUCCGCACAUCUCUCAGCAUUUACAUGAAGAAAGCGACAACUAUCCUCAUCUCUCAGCACAUCUCUCAGCAUUCUACAAAGUUGCAUUUCACUAAGCAAUCUAUCCUCUCCAUUCCUAGCAAAGUGACAUUGAUUCCCGUAUUUGUAAUCGCCUAACUUGGGUUUUGGGCAUAGCGUGGUCUUAAAAUUACCACCCAAUACUUUGUUCAGUGCCACUGGCAUCCACAAGCUCUAGCCUUGUUAGCUGAAUCAUAUUCAAUAGGACAGUGAGACAGCAUUUCACUGACAUAUUCAAUUUGACUACUUAUAUUGACGCAAAUAUUAGAAUUUGAAAUCACUUCUUUUAUUGGAAUAUUAUAUUAAAAUGACCCCAAAUGAAAGUUCUUGAAUGGAAAUGAUUUUUAUUUAAUUUUCCAACAGAUUCAAGAAAACCCAGAGAACAUUAAUUUACACAGUAAUAUGAUUAAGAGCUGAGAACGUACAUGUAGUAAAUGUCUAUCAAAAAACACCCAAGGGUUUCUUUAAAAUUAGAAACUAGUAAACAAAAAGAAAGAAUCAUUUUACAUUUUUAUCAACUUUGGGGUGAGUGAGGAGUGAGAAAUUGAAACCCUAAAGUAAUGACAACAGUAAGAUUCAGUAUGAAGUGAAACCCCAAUUUGAAAUGUAGGCAUGAGUUGCUGAGUCAGUAGAUGAAGCUGUAAAUAGGCAUUCGGUUUCCUUCUUUUCGGUUUGGAGGGCCAUGGAAUAGUGUAUUGGAGUGGGCUCCAAGUAAUAGCCUCUAUCACUGGAAUGACACAUCUAUAAAAUGUGAUACAUGGGGAAGGAUUGGACAUUAUAUUCUUAGAUUAGCGCCUUAUUUAGGGUGUAUAUUAAGCAGAUUAUAUAUUACAUGGAGAUGGAGUUUAUGAAAUAGAUUAAAAAGAAAAGGAAAUUUUGGUGCCUAAAGUUUGCCACUUGGAAUAUUUCGGUGUCUAAAAAUUCACUCACCACUUAUUUCAUGUUUGAUUAUAUGUUGAAAAGAUAUUAAAAUAGUAUAAUGCUAUUAAGGCUUAACGUAUAUUUUUUAUUAGUAGAGUGUAGAAUUUUUAAGAAAUAAAUUAUUAAAUUAUUAUAACUAACAUAUUAUUUUAAAGUUGUGUUAUGAAAAAAAUGAAAUAAAAAUGUACAGUAAAUAAGAAUAUUUUAAAACUUUUAUCUUUUUAAAAUUAUUUUUUAACAUAAGGUGAACUAUUUUUUUUUUAAAUCACAUAUUCUAGUUAAAAUCAAAUAUGUAUUUAUAUGAAGCUUGUAAAUUUUUUUUUUAGUACUGAUAUUUGGAUAUUACCAAUAAAAAAAAAGGUAAUGUGCAUGCUGAAUUAUUUUUGUAGCACACAAAAGGACAACACCGUUUAUGUUAUCAUACUAUCACUUCUGUUAUGAUAAUAUUUUUUUGUGGCCAAAUAUCUUCUUUUUUUUUUUAAGUAAAAGUGUGGACAAAAUGCAAAUCAGUUUUUAAUCCUCAAUCUCUCCCAAAAUAUAAAUUCGUAGGUACAUGGGUUGUUAAAACUAUAGCUGACAAAAAGUUACUAACAAAAACAGAAUGUCCAUUUUAUAACUUUCUUAAAAAACUUUCCUUAACUUUUUUAAAAAGUUACCAAUAAAAAGUUAUUUCUAAUUUUUAUUUUGUUAUAAUUUUUAUAACAAAAUUCGUAGUUCGUAGUUAACUAAACUCUUCUUAUUCCCUUUCUCAACUGCCAUACCCUAACCUUGUUCCCCACACUAAACCACGCUCAAUUAAGGCCAUCAGAUUCUCCCGGGCCCACAUUAAUCCAACUGCUCACAGAGACCGACAGCCUCUCUAUCUCCAUUUCAAGCUCCCUCUUCAACUGGCUUCUGCUACCGUCCUACUCUUUCUCGGCUUCGGAGUCCGUAUUUGCUCGGCCUGUCCCACGAAGCUCCCUCUCACUCCAAUUGUCGCCCCACAAGACCAAUUGCUUAAUCAAGACACCGAACAAGAAAAGGAUGAGAAGUUGAAACAAGAAUUUGAGAAUUGGAAAUAAAAAACGUACGCAUUGACCGUGCCUUUGAGAGUCGUUUCUCUUCAGAACUCAGUGCCUCAAUCUUGGGUUAAGGAUUUUAUGCGAAGUCAGGGAAAGAGAUUGAAGUUUCAGAUGAAUUUGUGUGCUAGCAUUGAUGGGAUCUUUAACAAUUUAUCUGUGCCCUUUAACAAAGUUAAGGCUAAGUCAGCUUCUUAUAUGGCUGCUGAUUUGGUUAGUGUUGGUGAUUCAUGGCUUAGUUUUGCCAUUAAAAAGAGAUUGAUUGAGCCAAUGGCUGGAGCUGAAGACCAAGAUUGGUUCAAAUGCUUAAGUCACAAAUGGAAGGUAACAUCUUUGUCUUUGAUCCUCGAGGUAAAAUAUGGGCGGCACCGUACAGGUGGGGCACAACGGUGAUAGCCUACAAGAAAAGUAAAUUUCGAAAGCAUAAUUUGGCUCCGAUUGAGGUAAUAAUUUUCUUUAAACUCAUUUAGUUUUAUAUCAAACAAAAUCAAGACUGCCUUUCUUUUCAAUAUUUUUUAUGAUAAUAUCUUUAGAAGCAUCUCAUUGACGGGUAACAAUGGCAUCCCUGAAAGAGUCUAUAAACUCAAUGAUAUUAUCUUCUACAAAUGGUUCAUUAAACUUUGUCGUUGUACUCAAAUGUACACUCAGAUCAAUGAGAAGCUAUGCUACGUUAGCAUGUAGUGAUGGCACUUAAUAAGUGAGUUGCUAGGAUGUGAACUAGAAAAAUUAAAUAUUGUCUCCUUGGGUAUGCUAGCUGGUAAGUCAGGGUUAAUAUCAGAGCUUAAGAUAGUAUAACCGUGAGAACCUAUUGACUGCCAAUUAAAAUAUCCAUUGAAAUGUCUAGGGAGUUAUGAAGGUGGAGGUAACUUCCAAUUUCUAAGGCCACAGAGUAGACAUCAUCCAGGAUCCUAAAAUAUCCAGUUAACCUCCUGCUCGAUGCGAUUAAUAAAUUUGGUCAAUGCCACUGAAACCUGCUAACUGACGUCACAAUGCGACAUGAGCACUUCAAAAUGGGACAGAUGGUCAGUAGCACUAAAUUUUUCUUGCCUAAGAUUGAGCAAUUGGUCUAACUACUAAUCCCUAUUGUAGGUUGAUCAUUAUUUUUUCAAUUAUGUUCAGUUUGACCCAAAAAGUUGCAGAAUCUUGAGCUGAAUAUUGUCACUGAACACUGUCAAUGUUGUUUAGCAUAGCCAACUAACUUGAUGUUAAAACAAACACACAGUGUGUCUCAUGUCUCACAAUUCAAAUUAUCAUCUGUAAUGAUGGAGAAUUUUUCCAAUGUAUGAAGUAUGCUUUGAUACGUGGGUUACCUUGGAGAAGAUAUCUCAAAAUAAAGAAUAUGGGGAGAAAACAGUUCAGUAGUUUAUUAUUCUGUAGUCAAGUUUUGUCUCGAAAAUGGUCAAAAUUUAAAUGAAUAAGGACAGGGAAUCUUCAUUCUUUUUUCCCUUUUUUAUACCAAGAUAUCUCUCAACCUUUAUAUAAUCCCCACUGGAUAUCUGCUUCUAAUAAUUAAAAUAAAAAUUUCACCGCUCUAACAAUAAAAAGUAACAUCUUUAAUCAAAUAAUUUACAGUUCCUCAUCACCUUAGUGUGAGACUAUCAGUACAUUCCAAAAACUUAAUAAAACUGGUUUGAUCCUGUUUAUUGAUGUUUAAAUGUUGUUCAUUGUGACAUGUAGAAAUGAUGAGGCGAAGUUUAUUUGGACAUCAAUUAGUAAGAUCUUGUUUGAAGUUGUUUUCUGAAAUGAACUGCCCAAUGGUAGUUUUUUGGGGGCAUUUGAUGGCUCUUUUUUUCCUCAUUUUCAACAUGUGCCUGCUUGGAACAGGAAGGAUUAGGCUGCAGAGUUGUUAUAUAUUUUUAGAUGCUCUGGUCAUUGCACAAUUUGUUCACACUGGAAAUUAGAAUGAGAAAUUUGUUGAUGCUGUUUUGAGAGAUCUGCAUUCUAUGCACAAUAACGUGAUUAAUGAAAAUGCAUUGUAGGACUGGAAAGAUCUGUGGCAGCCUGAGCUCGCAGGAAGAAUUUCAAUGGUUAAUUCUCCCCGAGAGGUUAUUGGUUCAGCUUUGAAGAAUAGGGGAGCAUCAUACAAUUCAAACGAUAUUGAUUUGCAAGUUGCUGGUGGGAAGAUUGCUGUUCAGCAGAAUCUGGCAUUACUGGCAAACCAAGUACUCUUACAGAAAUGAUAUCUGGUCAUUGCAUGUUAUUGCCUGACAACUGAUUUUGUUUGUACAAGUCUGCUUCUUCAUACAUAUGAAUGCAUAUGUUAGUGUUUUCUUCUCCUUUUCAUACAUAUAAAUGCAUAUGUUAGUGUUGUCUUUUCCUUUUCAUACAUAUUAAUACAUAUGUUGGUGUUCUCUCAUGAGAUGGAUGCAAUAGAGGCUUUUGCUCCUAAAUUUAGCUGAAGAAAUGGGAAGGGAUGUGAGAUUCUGUCUCAUUAAAUUAACAAAAACCCAAAACAAUGAAAAUCCAUAAUAAUGUGGUGUGGGUAAAUUGGCUCCAUUUGGUUCGUUUCCUUAAUGUGACUGCGCGAGCAAUAGAGACUAACAAAAUGAAGUGACAACAAGAAGUCAGUGUCCUUUGAUGGAUGCAUUUUUAGGCAGAAAUAGGUUUGUAAUUGACCAAAUUUGCCUGGCAUGCCAAUUUCAAAAAAAUUAAAUUAUGUGGUUAUUGGCUGUAAUGAAGGGGGAUAGUCGGUGCAAUCAGGUGGAUCCUGGAAAGUUCAACAAAGUUUGGUAUGGCGUAGUGAAAUUGGUUUGUGCAACUCAGGAGUCUUUCAGGUGAACGAUGAUAGGUUUUGAUUUAUGAAUAUUAUAAAUCUACUGUGCAUAUUAUUCUAGCAGAAUCAUCUAUAAGUUCUAGUUAUUGAAAUUGUAUACUUUGCCCGGUUUGAGUUAAGGGCACAUGUAAUAUGAAAGAUAGUUGUCGCAUCUUUUAGGUUACCUAACAUUUGAUCAAUCCUAUUAUGGGGGCUUCAAGAUGUCUAACAAUAUGUAGAAUGCCCAUGCUCCUCCCCAUUGUUUAUCUUAUACAAUAAUUUGUUUUAGAUGCUAAUAUCUUUGUCGAUACUGGUAACAAUAUUACAAUAUCUGCCUUUAUUGGGUUUUACAUAGGUUCGACUGUUUGACAGUACACACUAUCUGAAGGCAUUUGCAAUUGGAGAUGUAUGGGUUGCUGUUGGGUGGAGUAGUGAUGUUCUUCCUGCUGUCAAACGUAUGUCUAAGGUUUUAUGAGAAACGAAAGAUGAGUGUUUGUUUGAACAAAGUUGUUGCCAAUCUUGCAGAGUUCGAAAAGAAAGAUCACGGAGCGAAUGCCACCGAUUUCUUCAUCAUUUUAGCCUCCAUAGUUGAAGUUUCCUCAUUUGAAGCUGUUUAUGCAUACGCUUUUUCCCUGCUCUAGUACAGGAAAUUGAAGAAUUAACCAGAUGUGAUAUGCUGAAAGAGGGAAGUUUUCUUCCUUGAAUGUGGCCUUUGUGAUUUGUCUUGAAGGAAUAGGAUGAUCACUGGCAAAAACCCUAUCAAGGUAGAUUUUAUGAUGUUAACAUAUUAUUAAGCAUUUUGUUACAUCAGCAAUGAUGCUUUCAUAGCAUGAAAGUGUCUAAAUUUAACUGAAUGAUCUUGAUUAAUCAAUUAUGAGUUUUAAUCGAGUAAAAACUAAAUACAAUAAUCGUUGACAAAUACUGAAAUUGGGUAAAUAUGAUCUUGAUAUUGAGAAUCUGAAAACACAACCCACACAGGGAAUCACCCUUCGCGUGGGGAUGGAGAUGUUUACUGCAGCGAUAUUGCAUAUGUCCACUGCUCUUUGGGUUAUGGUGCGACUUGCGAUUUCAAGGUUUCCCUGAAACAAUGAAAAGAUUGACGUACCCUGCAAUGAAUGAAAGCGGCUGGACUAAUUCUGAUUACCUAAUUGACUCAGGAUCGGCUGGCAAUAAUGACAGUUUAUUAACAAUGCACAGUCCCGAGUACUUUCCAGGAUCAGAUAUUACGUGGUCUAAUGUUGAUAAUAAUAGAUUAUCAAAUGACAAAUCGUUGUUCUUGGGUGUUGAUUUCAGAAAUAAAAUACGUUCUGAGAGAUGCUGGUCUACUAUUGCAAGCCCCCAGAUUUAAGAAUCUUUUGAUGAUAAUUUACCACCUGUAACUGUGCCGGAAGAUUCACCUAGCACUGAAAAAGAUGAUAAUUUAAUUGAUAUGGACAGUUUCCAUAUCACUUUUAAAUCAUCUUAUGUAAUUGUGAUGUUAGGAAGCAUUAGUGAUCUACAUGUGAACUAUUAUUGGCGCCAUUUGUGGUUUUAUUUUAUUAAAAUAUGGAUGACUUCCCGUUACUAUUUCGUUGUAGACAAUCUUAUCAAUUAACAUAUAGUUUAAAAUCAUUAUGAUCUAUUAAUUUUCAUGAUAUUUAACUGAGUUAAAACUAAGUGCAUUCAAUAAAUCUUUCUUCCUUUAAAAAACUGUUGCGCUUUAAUUUUAGUGCUUAAUAUUUACAGAACUCUGGUACAGGGAAUUCGAAAUCAAACUAGUAACUACAGAUUAUCUAAUUGCAAGUUUUUGUCCAUAGUUGCAGAUUUGUAGUGAUUAUCUAAUUGACUGAGGUGACAACAAUUUUUUUUUUAAUUUUCAAUAGCAUAAUGUGGAAUUCAAUAAUUAAAUUCUCCUUUUUAAUUUGUUUCCAGUUAAAUUAUUAAUUACUUAAACUUUGUUUUAAGUCUUUAAUUUUAUGUCUUGGCCUAUAUGCAGGGUUGGAUUCUUGAGCGUGUUGGACACGACCAACAAUGAAAUUGACAGUAAACAAACAUUACAACACGUUGAGUGUCGACUCCAGUAGCUGCCCUACAAGUCUACAACUUUACAAACAAUAAUUGAGUACACACAUUUGAUUCUCGGGACCCUCCAAUGAAUUUCUAGCCCCGUUGACUCCGCCGACAAAAGUUUUGGAAAAUAAAAAAAAUUCAUAGAAUUCCACCAAAUACAAAACGCGUGGAAUUUAAUUUUCGGCCAUGUGGACCAAAACACAAUUUAAUGAAAAAAAAGAUAAGAUUUCUAAAAUGUGUAGAAAGUGAUCCAUAUUUUACUGAAACAACUUGUUAAAUUUUUCAAGGAUUUAGAAUAUUUGAUCAUAAAUUACGCCCAUGUUAAUUUUUCCGCUAUUGACUAUCAUUUUCUAGACUCACUGUCACCUUUCUUGAUGAACGGUACUUAGUCUCUCUUCUCCUCUUAUAAAAAUUAUAUUAAUUGAUUUCUUAUUAUAAUAAAUAGUCUUUAAGAACGUAUAGAUUUAUUGUUUUCGUGACCAAAUUAUGCCUGCUUAAGGUUGAGACUAUUAAUAAAAUUAAUAUUUAAUGUUUAUGUUAAAAGAUAUAAGAUUUUAUGCAUUCAUUAAUUGUUAUUAGCUAAAGGAUUAAUUAUUUUUUCAACCCAAUCAGUUGAUGCAUCUGCAAGAGUUUUUUCUUUUAUUUACCAUAAUUAUAUUCCGGGUACAAUAAAUUAUCUUUGGUGCUUGGAAAAUAUGACUUCUUACUUCAAGUUUGAUGUGUCUCUCUCCGUAAGCUUACUGGAAAUAUAUCCUCAUUUACUGUCAUUUAUCUAAUAUCAAAUGAAAGAUCUCACUUUUUCAAACUAUCACUUCCAAGUCUCAUUGUCACUUAGCCAUUCUUGGACCAUUCAAAACCAAUCUGUUGAAAUAAUCAAAUAUAUGCAAAAUUAGAGUCACGAUUGUUGGUCCCCCAAAUUCUAAUUAUAUAACUUCUAUAUAUCUCAUUGUCAGGUCACGAACUUGUUGGCACAUUUCCAAAUUCCUCUUCCAUCAGCUCUCACACGUUAAUUUUUAGGUUAUCUAAAUUUCAAGGAUUUAAAAUCUUUGAUCAUGGAUUACAUGUUUAAUUUUUCUGCCAUUGACUGUCAUAUUCUAGAUUUAAUGGUACCUUUCUUGAUCAAGCGUAAUUACUCUCUCGUCUCCUCUUAUAAAUUCCUCUUCCAUUAGCUGUUAGCCUAUAUGGCUAUAGAUAUUGAUUUUGAUGAUAACAAACCACAUGUGUUGAUUAAACAAAGAUUUAUGAAUUGUGCAUUUAUAAUAAGAAAAUGAUGUUAUGGAAUUAAAGUGUUUUUGGACUAAAGUGAAAGUAUUUUAAAACCUUUGAUAUUAUUUUAAAAUUUCAGAUUUGGACCUAUUUGAAAAUAUUUAAAUAUUUUGGGUCAUUCUAUAUUUUUACAUGGUUUGGGUGAAAUCAUAAUUUCAAUUUGAGUGUGUGAGACACUUGAGUGAAGAGGUUGGGAGAUAAUCUCUUUGUUGUAAGGGUUCAUUGACACAUUGAAGUCAAUUGUAAACGUUUGAAGCCUUAAAAAAACUUGGAUAGUGAAAUCCUCAAGUUUGAAUCGCUUGGAGGCGUGGACGUAAGCGGGGAUUGCCGAACUACGUAAAAAUUCGUGUGUUUGUUUCUCUUCUCUCUUGCUCAAUUGUUAUUGUGCUUUUAUUGAACUUAUUACUUUUGAAUUUAUUAAUGCAUUAAAUUGGAUUGUUAUGUGGCUUUGUUAGGAUAUUUUUUAAAAUACCAAUUCACCCCCCUCUUAGGUUGCACACUUGUAUUUCAUUAGCAUUACUAGGAAUUUGUUGAUCUCUAAGAUGCUAACUUGAGUGAAGAGUUUCCAAAUUGAUUGUUACAAAACAACAAAAAAACUAGACACACUUGAUCUGUCUAAUAAUUCUCUUUCGGUAAAAUUAAUUAAUUUUAGGGGAAUUUUCGGCCAACCUCUGUAAUUUCAAAGUGAUCAUUAAUUAAUUAAACGAUACAAAUAUCUAAAGUGAUUAGAUGUUUGCUGACAAUACAAGUUCAUGGCUUGAAAUUUGAUCUCUAUCGAUUGGUUUACAAAUGGACGCACUUGUGCCUUUGUGGCGAUAAUUAAACAGAGAUGUGAAGUUGUAAAGAUUUGACAAGUUCCCAUGAUUAGUAUUUUUUUUCAAAAACUUUUUUACAACAAAUUCAUCUCGCCCAAAAAUUAUAUUUUGCUAUCUAACAAUAAUUGAGCACUUGGCCGCAUUGACUCCACGUCUCCACCUACUUUCUAAGUAAAAACAUGGAAAUGUAAUCUCCACAAAAUGUCAAACGUGUGGAAUUUAAUUUUUGGCCUUGUGAACCAAAAUGCAAAUGAAAGAAAAAGAGAGAAAAAAACAAGGCCCAAAGACUACGAAAAGAUAUAAAAGUCUUUGGGCCUUUUUAUAACGGUGGAUUUUUUAAAAGGAAAAAAUAACAACACUUCUAUGGUUUGUUUUGAUAAUCACAUUUACAUAUACUCUCUAAUUUUUAAAAUGGACACAUAAAUCUUUUUUUUUUUUUUCUACAAACGUAUAUUAUUCGUAUUUUUUAUUAUUUUUAAUAUCAUAUUGUUAUUUUUUUUAGAAGAUAUUGUUAUUUAUUAUAAAUGUUUAAAGUAAAUUUUUAGGUUGAAAUAUAAUAAAAAGGUAUAAUCGUUCUCUUAUUAAACACCCAUACUUUUAAUUUCUAUCCAUUUGUCAUCUCAAUCUCUCUCAAUUAUUCUUUAUUGCUAGCUCAAAACGCGUUGCUGUUGCAAAUUAUAGCAAAAAGACAAAUAUGGAAAAGAAAAAAGGGAAGAAAAUUAAUGCAUGAAAGAUUUGGAGAAAACAACGAAGUAAGUCAACUAUAAUCUAGUUGGGUGUGUAAAUUGUUUGAUGCUUUAUAAGCAAAUAACAUAUAGAGACAGACAAUGUGUGUUCGUUUUUUCAUAGUUAAAGAUAUAGUUAGAAUGGGUGGUUCAAAAUCAAAAAUGGUGAUAAUGUUUGUUAUGUUAUUAAUAAUAUUUAAAAGUGGGUGGAGUGAGGGAUGUUUGGAUCACGAGAGAUUUGCUCUUUUGCGACUUAAACAUUUCUUCGAUGAUACUAGUAGUUAUCUUUACGAUUGGGGAGAUGGUGAGGGAGCUACUGAUUGUUGUCAGUGGAAAAGGGUUGAGUGCAGCAACACCACAGGUCGAGUGAUAGUGCUAGACCUUUCUAGCAUGUAUUGGGGAGAGUACAGCUGGUAUCUGAAUGCUUCUUUGUUUACUCCCUUCCAACAACUUGAGUCACUUGAUUUAACUGACAACAAAAUAGCCGGUUGUGUUGAGAAUGAAGGUGCUUCGUUUAAUUUAAUUAAUUUACUUUCUCCACCCUAAUUUAAGUUGAAUAUCAAGACCGAGCAAUUAUACACAUAUUCAUUUAGUCGACAAUUUUGACUUUUUUUUAAAUGAUUAAUUUUGAAAUUACACCAAUAUCUAUGAUCCUUUUUUUUUAUUUUACUUGCAGGUAUAGAGAGGCUAUCAAGAUUGAACAACUUGAAGAUGCUUAAUUUAAGUGAUAACUCGUUCAACAAUAGCAUUUUAUCAUCUCUAACUCAUCUUUCAUCAUUAAGAUCAUUAAAUUUAUUUUGGAAUAGAUUGGAAGGAAGUAUUGACGUUAAAGGUACAUAAUUAAAACUUCAUCCCUUCUCCAAGCUCUUUCAUUAACUUGCUAAAAUAAGAUUCAAGGCUUUGAAUUCAAAUUUUUUUAUGAUUAGUAUUAAAAAAAAACAGUUUUAAGCAAUUUAUAAAUACAAGUUUUAAUGUUUCUCAUAAUUUCAUCUUGUACUUUCAUAUGUCUUGAAUUUAAGAUUAAAAAAAAAAAACUCUAAUAGCGAACCAAACACCUCCACAACUAAUUAUUAUUAUUAUUAUCAUUUUUUUUUUAUUUGUGGUGAGGUUUGAAACAUUCAACUCAAUUUGUACUUAUUACAGAAUUUGAUUCUUUGAGAGAUUUAGAGGAGCUAGACAUUGGCGAGAACAAGAUUGACAAAUUUGUGGUCUCAAAAGGUACUAGAACGACUGCAAAAAAUGUAAACUUCUACAAAUUAGCUAGAUUCUUUGCCAUUUGGUUUAUUAUUUUGCAGGUUUGAGGAAGUUGAGGUAUCUCAGUUUAAGUGGUAUCAAACUCAAUCAUAGCAUAUUAUCUUCUCUGACUGUCUUUUCUUCGUUAAGAGAAUUAUAUCUAGAUGAUACGGGAUUCAAAGGAACAUUAGAUAUUCGAGGUAAGUCUAAGCCCUGCUUUCUCAUUUUAUAUAUGCCAGCUAGACUUGUGUAUCAUCGACAUAAUUUAAUAUUUAAUUUGAUUAGUCUGAAGGAAUUACAUGCUAAUUUAAACAUACUUUUAUUUACUCUGUCAAUCAAUUAAUUAAUUAAUUACUAUUUGGCUUGGUUUGGAUGAAUUCUCAUGAUGUUUUAAUUUCUUUAAAUUAAUUAAUUAAUUAACUCUGUUUUUAAGUCUUAAGUCUGGGCAUGUUUGCAGAAUUUGAUUCCUUCAACAACUUAGAAGUGUUGGACAUGAGUUACAACAAAAUCGACAAUCUUGUGGUUCCUCAAGGUAAACAAUUAAAAUAUUAUUCAAUUACAUUAAUAUAAUUCAUUUGGUUAGGGAAGGCCCAAAAGGUACAAAAAAAAUUAAAUAAAGAAACAGAGAAUUUGUAUUAUUUAAAAAACAGAAUGUAAUAAAGAUUUGAUUCUAGUUCUUUAAUCUUUAAAGCGAUUGAAAAAUAAUGUUGCUCUUUUCCCAAAGCAUAAAAUACGAAUUGAAUGCCAAUUAACUUAAUCAUUCAUUUCGUUUAGCUCUAAAUUUAGACAAUGAAUUUUUAUAUUAUUUCAAAAACAGGACGUAAUAGAAUUUAAAAAAAAAACAGAUUGUAAUAAAGAUUUGAUUCUAAUUUUUUAAUCUUUACUGCGAUUGAAAAAUGAUACAGCUCUUUUCCCAAAGCAUAAAAUACGAAUUGACUCCCAAUUAAAUUAAUCAUUUAUUCCAUUCAUCUCUUAAUUUAAAUAAUGAAUUUUGUUUUCUUAAAUCGUAUUCUAAUUACUAUUAAAAAACAGGUUACAGAGGUUUGAGGAAGUUGAAAAGCCUUUAUCUAUUGAGAGUUAGAAUUAGAGAUGGAAGCAAGUUGUUACAGUCAAUUGGAUCAUUCCCAUCCCUCAACACUCUUUACCUUUCGUCUAAUAAUUUGACGGAAACAGUGACAACUACUACUCAAGGUAAUUAAAAGGUACAAAUGUCGCCAAAUUUAUAAAUAAAUUGUUAAUUAAUUAAUUUUUCCGUAUUAUUAAUAAAGCUAAAUUCGUUGCUCCUUCCUUCUAAAUCUAAACAGAGUUGCACAAUUUCACCAACUUGGAAUAUUUGACAUUGGACGAUUCCUCUCUCCAUAUAAGCCUUCUGCAAAGCAUUGCAUCAAUAUUCCCUUCGUUAAAAAAUUUGUCGAUGAUUGGUUGUGAAGUCAAUGGCGUCCUACGUGGUCAAGGUAAAAGAAAAGUGUUAAUUGUGAACUCGCACAAUGGUGUCCUACGUGUUCAACAUUUUUAUUUAUUUAUUUUAUUGUUUAAUGUUUCUGCUAGGUUUUCCUCAUUUCAAGAGUUUGGAAUAUUUGAAUAUGGAUUUCACGCGCAUUGCACUCAACACCAACUUUCUUCAAAUCAUCAGUGAAUCGAUGCCUUCUCUUAAGUACUUAUCACUGUCAGAUUCUACUCUUGGCACUAACAGCAGCAGGAUUCUUGAUCGAGGUUAAUCAGAUGCUCCCACCCUCCCUUCUUAAUCUAUAAUAUUAAUUUUCAAUUCAAUAUUUAAUUACACAAACGAAUCACUUAUUAUAAAAGAAUAAUACGCAUUCAUUAAUUUUUAUGCUGUAUUAAUUGAUGAAUUUAAUAAAUUUUCAGGCCUCUGUUCGUUGGUGCAUCUGCAAGAGUUGCGCAUGGCUGAUAAUGAUUUAAGAGGUAGCUUGCCUUGGUGCUUGGCAAAUAUGACAUCCCUCCGAAUAUUAGAUGUUUCUUUCAAUCAACUUACUGGAAGCAUCUCCUCAUCUCCCCUCGUUCAUUUGACAUCCAUUGAAGAGCUGAGGCUUUCAGACAAUCAUUUUCGGAUCCCAAUUUCACUUGAACCACUUUUCAAUCACUCAAGACUCAAGAUUUUCCAUGCUAAAAAUAACCAAAUGAAUGCAGAAAUAACUGAGUCACAUUCUUUGACCGCCCCAAACUUCCAAUUACAAUCUCUCUCAUUGUCUUCCAGUUAUGGAGAUGGUGUCACAUUCCCCAAAUUCCUUUACCAUCAACAUGACCUGGAGUAUGUUCGUCUCUCACAUAUAAAGAUGAAUGGAGAAUUUCCAAAUUGGUUGUUGGAAAACAACACAAAAUUAGCAACUCUUUUUUUGGUUAAUGAUUCUCUUGCAGGACCUUUUUGGUUGCCAAUUCAUUCACACAAGCGGUUAGGAAUAUUGGAUAUAUCCAACAACAACAUCCGAGGCCACAUUCCAGUAGAAAUUGGAGAUGUUUUACCAAGUUUAUACGUUUUCAACAUUUCCAUGAAUGCUUUAGAUGGUAGCAUUCCCUCUUCAUUUGGUAAUAUGAAAUUCCUCCAAUUGCUGGACUUAUCCAACAAUCAAUUGACUGGUGAAAUCCCCGAGCACUUGGCCGUCGGUUGCGUCAACUUGCAGUUUCUCAUGUUAUCAAACAACAGCCUAAAAGGUCACAUGUUCUCUUGAAAUUUUAACCUGGCCAAUUUGAUGUGGUUACAAUUGGAGGGCAAUCACUUCGUAGGAGAGAUCCCACAAAGUUUGUCUAAAUGCUCCUCCUUAGAAGGAUUGUAUCUUACCAAUAAUAGUCUCUCGGGUAACAUUCCAGGAUGGUUGGGUAAUCUCACAUGGUUAAUACAUAUUAUAAUGCCCGAGAAUCAUCUUGAAGGUCCUAUUCCAGUGGAGUUUUGUCAACUUUAUUCGCUUCAGAUUUUGGACAUUUCAGACAACAACAUAUCUGGAAGUUUGCCAUCCUGUUUCCAUCCUCUCUCUAUCGAACAAGUUCAUCUUUCAAAAAAUAUGUUACAUAGACAGCUAAAAAGAGGUACAUUCUUUAAUUGCUCUUCCCUUGUGACAUUAGAUCUUAGUUAUAACCUCUUGAAUGGCAGCAUUCCGGAUUGGAUUGGUGAGCUUUCUCAGUUAAGCCACCUUAUCUUAGGUCACAAUAAUCUUGAAGGUGAAGUGCCAGUUCAAUUGUGCGAAUUGAACCAACUACAAUUGUUAGAUCUUUCUAAUAAUAGUCUUCACGGUUCUAUUCCUCCAUGCUUUGAUAACACAACACUUUAUGAAAGUUACAACAACAGUUCUAGUCUUGAUGAGAAAUUUGAAAUAUCUUUUUUCAUCGAAGGCCCUCAGGGAGAUGUAGAAAAGUGAAUCCGUGAAAAAUUUGAGUUCACAACAAAGAAUAUUGCGUACAUUUACCAAGGAAAAGUGCUUAGCCUCCUAUCAGGACUUUAUCUUUCUUGCAAUAAGCUAAUCGGUCAUAUUCCUCCUCAAAUUGGAAAUUUGACAAGGAUUCAAACAUUGAAUCUAUCAUAUAACAACUUGACAGGAUUGAUCCCAUCAACAUUUUCAAACUUGAAGCAUAUCGAAAGUUUGGAUCUUUCCUACAAUAAAUUAAAUGGGAAAAUCCCUCAUCAACUUGUGGAGUUAAAGACAUUGGAGGUUUUUAGUGUGGCAUACAAUAACUUAUCGGGCGAAAUUCUAGAAUGGACUGCACAAUUUGCAACAUUUAACAAGAGUAGCUAUGAGGGAAAUACUUUUCUUUGUGGAUUGCCAUUGCCCAUUUGCAGAUCACCAGCAACUAUGUCGGAGGCUUCAAUUGGCAAUGAACGAGAUGAUAAUUUAAUUGACAUGGAUAGUUUCUUUAUCACAUUUACAACAUCGUACGUAAUUGUGAUAUUCGCAAUUGUUAUUAUUUUAUAUGUAAAUUCUUAUUGGCGACGUAGAUGGUUUUACUUUGUUGAAAUGUGGAUAACUACAUGUUACUAUUUUGUUGUAGACAAUCUUAUUCCAACAAGAUUUUGUCAUUGAAAUUAUUUAGUAGUUUAAUUACGAUUCUUUAAGUACUAAUCAAGUUUGUAUAGGAAAUAAUUUUUUAUUAAAAUUGUAGUAGUAUUUAGCAUUAUAUAGCUUCCAACUUCCAAGCACUUCACAUUUGUCUCUACACUUACAAAACUGAGUGAUCAUGUUUUGCAGAUCUGGAUUUGGAGCAGGAUGGAUCCAAACCCAUAUCUGUCCACCAUAACUUAUAGCUUCCCUAUACUGUGCAGCAUACUUAAAUAAGAGAACCAUCUCCAAUGUUAAAAGCAUUCACUCUAUAACAUUCAUUUAGAAACUAUAUUCAGAAUAAUUUUAUAAUUAAACACAAGAAAUGAAACACCUAGAUACACUUGAUCGCCUAUUUUACUCUAAAAAAUAACGAUUAUGGUGCUAUCAUCAUCUUCUUCACUAGCAACAUUAACACCAAAUCGAUGGACCCAUACAUUUCAUCAAGAAAGGUAUAUAUCCAAUAAAGUUGAAGCCUAACAAAAAAAUCAGGAAGAUUAAUGCCUCACCACAACAAGGGGCAUAACAACAUCAAAGUAGAGAUUAAACAGUAUUCUCAAAGCUAAAACUCUCAAAUCCACCCACCAGAAUUUCAUAUCUCCUCAACAAUUUUAAGAACUAAAGAUAAUUAGGAUUUAACAUUAGUUUUUUAUAUAUUAGUUUCAUAAUUUACAAAUCAAUGAAGAUGAAGAUUAUGCGAAUAAAUUCAAAUUAUACCAUACAUUCUCUAGAUGUUACCAAAAAUUUCUAAGUCAAUCCCACAUAUUUCAUAAUUUUAAGACUAGAAAAUUCACUAGUUAGAAGUUUCAUUACCUUCAAGUGGAAGAUGAAGAACAUUAUGCAAGUGAUUCAGAUUAUAUCAUACAUACUCCAAAUGCAACUAGAAAUUAACAAGUUCAUGUGCACAUAUUUCAUAACAUUAUGAUUGAAAAGUUUCACAAAGAGAAAUUCUAAAUUCAAUCUCUUGCAUGAAGGCAGUUUGAUUGAUUUGAGUUACUUUAUGAUCAAGCUACUAAUAUAACAUUCAAGUCAGGGAGAAAGUAAAUUAAAAAUGGGAAGAAAUAACAGUAAAAAUUUGUUGCUAAACAUGAUGUGUAUUUUUUUCAAGGCAAUUUGGAAACACAAUUGUUACUACAGAUAUUCUCCUCAACUUAGAGAUAAAUACAAAUAUUAAAAUGCACAUGAUCGCACAUAUUACUUGGAGCUUAGUAAGAUUUCAUUAAAAGAAGCAAUCAAACCACUUAUCAAUUGUCGCAGUCAUUCUAUAAACUAAAAUAGCAAAUAUAAUAUAAGAAAAAGAACAUAUAGAUACUUGGCAAGAGUUCAUUAAGAAGUCACAUCACAUUCGGGUGAGGAGUUUGCUUCUGAUAUCUUGCUAGCUGGGGCUUUUUCUCGUCUUUCUAUGUAUGCCGAGGGAAACCAACCAGCUUGGCCCUUGCAUUCACCUUCCAACCAUCCAGUACGAGCCACCUUGAGAAGUUAUAACUAAAACGGUGAAUUAAACAAAAGUUGACCGUUCAAAGACCUAAGGGGAAAACUAAUUCUUUUAUGUAGAAUGAGUGAACUAGUUGUGAUCACUGGAAUAACAACAUAACUAUGGAAGCAUAACAAGAUAUAAAUUCACAUGUCUAUAAGGGUAAACUGGGUGGUUUAGAACUGAGCUAGCAACCCUACUAGAUUAUGAUUUGCAUUUCAAUGUAAAAGGGAAUAUAUGGUAGGAAGAAAGAAAACCAACCAUCAUUUGUUAACUCAUUGCUUUUCAAUCAAAAUUUUAAGAACAAAAUGCCAUGUGCUUUGAAUAUCAAAUAAGUAUAAGCAUUAUUUCUAAAUUCCACAUAUCAUAAGUUGUUAGAAGGAUAAGUUAAUAGCAUAGUAGAAAAAUCUAUGUGUCAGUAUUUAGAGGGGAAAGUACCUGGCGAACCACAACAUAAUCAUCAAUUAAAAGACUUAGCUCUCCAUUUGCUUGAGCAUCAAAUGGAUGUAUAACCUGCAAGAUAAUGGGAUAAAUAGAACUUAAAAAAAGCAUAACAAAAGCAGCAACAGUAGCAGCAGCGUUCAUUGUAACCACUAUGAUCAUGGCCAACAAAGAUAUAUUAGAAACAAAAUUCCAUUUUUACUACGACAUUAAUAUGUACUAUACGAUAUCAUGACGAUUGGGUUACUAAGAGCUAUCAAAGUCUAAUAAGUUAUGUAUAACUUUUGUAGUUAUUUAAAUUAUGGAUCAGAUUUUAAAUUUGAAAUUUUGACUGCUCUCCACAAAACAUGGCCUGUGCACAAAAAAGUCAUAGAUAAUGAGGAUUACAAGUGUCCGACAUCUUUUGAGUGAUGGAUUUAACAUGAGAGCUUAUGGUCAGUCAAUUUCCUCUGCCUAGCAAUAUAAGCUUUCUCGGCCAGAUUUAUCAUCAAAUACAUAGAUUGCCCCCAAGUCACAUCCAUAUAAACAUAAUUUUUCUAGGUAAACCAAGUAAGGAGAAUCAUAAUUCGGACAUAAUCAUAAAAAGGCCCAUCUAACUUAAGAGAAAAUCUUAAAAAGAGGGAUGCUGAGCUAUCAGUCUUGUAUCUAUAAGCAAUAUCAAGACUUUACAUCACCUGCUACAUCGUGAGUGGUUACACAACUUUUAGUGGUUUGUCUUUCUUUGGCAUGCCUAACUCAGCUUUGAUGUUGCUGAGAUAUUGAUAGUAGAGAGCAGAAGCCUUACUUUCGCUAUAAAUUAGACGUCAUUCUGAUUAAUAUGCGUUUGCAAAUCAGCUCUGUUUGAAUCAGUAUUCUGAUAGACACAUGAGGCAUUUACAUCCAUUUCCAAAGUCACAUGUUGCGGGGAGGACUCAUUUGAUUGCUCCUAUACGAUCAUCUAAUUCAAGUAGCAAGGGUUGGAAGAGAAUAAAAAGUCACAAUUAUUCUUUUGCAUAAGUGAGACGAAAAUGGUAAAUGCAAUAUUAUUAGCAGUAAAUAAGAAGAGAACGCUCCAAGGAAUAGAUAGAUGCAGACAAGCAAGUUAAAAUGCAUAGUCCCAAACCUCCGCAUACAACUUCUCUAAAAUAGCAAUAACGUGUUGAUGAUAUAUUUUCUCAGCAUCUACCUGCAAAGGCCCGAGACCGGGAAAACAACAAUAAAACCACUAGCUGAAGGAGAAAGCAAAGAAAAAAAUACACUUGACAUAAAUCUUGACAAGAAGCACAAUUUAAGACAUAACAAACCCCAAUCAUAUUAUUUUUGCUAGUCACACGCUAGUCUGUGCUAGUGAUGUAAGAAGUCACAAGGUCUCUUCAACAUUUGAACCAAUAAAAUUAUUAAGUCAUGGAUGUCACUAGCAAUGAUUUUAAUAUAAAACAUUAAAUAUUUCAGAGUUGUAACUUUAAAAUGGAUUCUUUUAUUCAAUACCAUAGAACUAAGUUUCCUUAUGAGAAGAUAGUAGUUUCGAUAAUAUUUUACAUAUAAUUUUUGCGAUACCUUCGUCUCGCACUACCAGUGAUACCCUCACUCUUNNNNNNNNNNNNNNNNNNNNNNNNNNNNNNNNNNNNNNNNNNNNNNNNNNNNNNNNNNNNNNNNNNNNNNNNNNNNNNNNNNNNNNNNNNNNNNNNNNNNUGUUGAAAUUUAUCUAAGUUCAAAAGUAAUGCAGAGUGGGUUUCUAAACUCCAUUCCACUAGCUACUUCCUUUAAGAAAAAUUCCACAUCAUUGGUUUGAAUUUUAACUGGUGGCAUAGGAUCAUAUGUCUUAAGCUUGAACUUCAUUGUGAUUUCGAAUUCCGAAGUAUUUAUAUCAAUAACUUGAGCUAUCUUCUCCACCAAUUCGGCAUAUGUUGUCGAUCGUGGUAUCAUUAUCCCUUUAGCCUUGGAACCUUUGAAUUUAUACUCGUCAUUUUGCUCAAUCCAUUCACCAUUGAAGAGAAUAAGCACACGUACCAAAACCAUAUAUGAUGAUACAAUAAAAACAAUAAUAUCAAAUUUCAUAUACAAGUAACUACACGACCUACACAACUACAUUACUUACAUGACCUACAUGACCUACAUGACUAUAUUACUUACAUGACCUACACGAAUUAUACGACUUACACGACUAUAUUACUUACACGACUUACAUGACUAACUAUAUGACAUACACAGUAUCAAAAGGAAUGCACGACGCGAAACAUUUUCGCCAUAAAUAAGUUAUAAACAACCUAUAUUGCAUAUAUUUCUAUAUAUAAGAAAAAAUGGUGAAAAUAAAACAUUAUAAUGUGAAGAAAAUUUCUAAAUUUUCCUAAAAAUAAAAAAACUUAAAACCCAACAACAUUAACAUACCUUAUUGGGUUGUUUAAUAAGUAAUGCACAUUAUUUCAGUUAAAAAAAAGUGGGUGUUAAAGAAAUGAAUACAUAAUCAUAUUUGUGUAAGAAGUUAUGAGAGAUUUUGAGAGAUUCUAGGAGAUUUUGAGAGAAUUUCGGCAGCAAGAAGAGAUUUGGGUGUUAAAGAAAUAUGAAGACAAGGAAGUUGAGUGAAUUUGAUUCAUUCAUUAAGGGCAUUUUAGACUUUACUCACAUUUGUUAGGGUAUCCAUGAAAACAAAAAAGGAAAGGGGUAUUUAAAUAAUUUUAAAACUAUUAAAGGGUAUUUAAUUAAAAACCCUAGGAGAAGAUGAUAGUGGAAGUAUGCAGUGUGGCUGCCAGGUACUUGGAUUGUAUUAUCGGGUAAGGUAAUAGUAGAGAAUUAUAAGUUUGAACAGAGCAUGUUGGACUUUUGUUGACCAAAUUCAAAAGCCCAAUGGCACGACCCAGAAGCUUUUGAAUAGAAAAACUUGCUAGAAAGCAUCAGUUUAAAUCACUACUUAAACGCUGCACCGCUUUGUACUGUUUUAGGUAUGUAGCGGUUGUGCAGUUGUAAUUCACGGCUGACGCUACGUGUUUGUUUGUACUGUUCUAUUCAGUGAUAGAGUAUUAUUAGUUAGGCCAAAACUAUGUUGCAACAGUGGUACAGUACCACUGUUGCUUUCAUAGCUGGACCCUAUUAGUUAUUUCAAAGGGAUAAAUAAGAUUGGUUACAACAAAUCUACUAUUUUUAUAAAAUUCAAGUAAUAUAGAAUAAAAUAAAAAAAUAAAUACAAAAUUGACUUUUAUUUUUUAUGGUUGACUAUAUUUUGUGUUCUCUUCGGGCACUGCUACAAUUGUUCCCCAUAUAUCAAUUACACCACAUACUAUCGACACAAGAAAUGAAAUCUAAUAUCACCUGUUUAGUUAAAAAAUCACUCAUGAAAAAAGUUUACCAUUUUGAUUUGAGGAUCCAUAUUUUGAACUGCAAGCUAAUGUUCAUCAAGAAUCACUGAUGGCCGUUGAGUAGAAAAAUUAUUUUUGGACAAAUUAUUUUUGUUGAUAGAAGAAUUUCUUUAGGGACUACUAAAUUAUUAAUAAAAAUGUCGAACACACCCACAUAUCAUCGACACAAUUGAUUUUGAGGAUCCAUGCUUUGAAUUGCCGCCUAAUGUUCAUCAAGAAUAGAGUAUGGCUUGUGAGUAGAAAAUUUUCUUAUUUUGGCCCAAAAUAAAAAGAAAUUAAAUUGGAUGAGAAUCUGCCACUUUCUCAUGAAGAAAGGCAUACGAAGCAUACCAUGAUACCAUACAAUAUAAGGAGCCGCCGUUCUUUGGUUUUUCAAACUUUGAAGGGGCCAAUAUUGCCAAAUUCCCCCUUGAAAAUUCUGACUACGACAUUAUUCAUCGCUUGAUGCAAUCAAAGUAGUGACAAAGUUAGGAAAAAUAUGAGCCCUAAGUAAUUGCUAGGCAGGGUUCCUGAGAGCAAAAUUGUCCUAAGCAUUAUAUGCAUACAUGGUGCGGUACAUAGAGCACGUUGAAUUCCCCACUAUAACACAAAUCCAGAAAGAGAAGUAAUAACUCAACUGAUAUAAAGACAAAAAGAAGAUAAAAUGAUAUAGAAAAAAGAAUUUCAAAGAGACAGCAACAUACGAUAGGCUGAAGCCACUUGAUCUACUCAUUGAUUGCAGCCUUAAACUUGCAAAUAGUUACUGUAUGCUAGUGCUCUAAGAAGUGAAAAUGAUGCAAGCCCUGAUUCCCUUUUGACUUCCAUUUACUGUCAAACAUUCUAGUAAUACAAAAAAUUGUUUAGAUAUCUUGCUAUAAAUAUAGUUGUUUGACUGUCAUAAUAAAGUCACAAAUAACCAUUCAUAUUGAUCUACUGUCACACAGCAUGCUUUAUGCAUACAACAGCUGUAUGUAUACCAACUCCUAACCUUAUCAAUGCAUUUGGCAAAAACUUAAGAAGAAAACUAUUUCUCCAUCUCUUUUUUGAAAUUUCACAAUAACCAGCACAAUGUGAAAGCUAUGUUCUAACCUUAUGAUAAAUGCUCCAGACUCCAAAAGGAUUUUAUAUAUGAGUUUUUGUUGCAGCAGAUAUAUUGACUUAUCAAGUAUGAAUCAUUUUCUGGAUGAACUAUCUUUAGAUAAAAGAAUAUUAGAACCACUGUAGAAUAUCUUUACGCUGCUGGUUCUAACAAGAAUCUGCUUGUGGCAACAAUUGCUAGAUCCACAAUUCCCCAACUUGAAAUACAUAGUUGCACACCAUGAGAUAGUGCUACGAUCUACUGAGAUCUAACUUAUAUGGUACUUUAAGCUACUAAUGUUUGCAUAUUUCUACAUGUUAAAUUAACACUAUCAUCUAUAAUCACUCCAAAACAACAAAUGAUAAGCAGCUUUUGGCCACUUAUUACUAGCAUCCACAAUUAUAAUAAGAGAUCAUGGGUUUACUUGUUGCACCUACUUAAUUAUCUGCAGUUGACAUCCUGACGCAAGGUUUAAAUAGUGACUGCUUAGAACCCUUGUAGUUGGAUCUUGACCUCUCCCAUUGUAGCCAAGAUUGGUUACUCUGGUAAUGAAUCAACACUCUCCUGCUCAGGGCCAUGAAGAUCUGAAAGCUCAGCACUAGUGGAGAACUUCAUCAAUCUCUUCUUCUCAGCAUACUUGAGACAAGGCUGCAUUACGAGACCAAUCACCACAGCACCAACGCUUAAAGCUACAACUUUUAAAGAAGAAAGAGCCAACACAACACAACACAAAUCAAUAUGGUUGGAGGAAUACACAUGAUAAUGGCUCUAACAGUGCCAGUGGGUAUCUUGUAGGGACGAGAUGCAGCAGGAUAUUGUAUCCUUAACCAUACAAAUGCUAUGAACUCCAUAAUCAUUCCAAAACAGUACAGGAAGUUCUCUGCAGCUACAAUAUCUCGAAAGCUCAGCCAUGAUAGCAAAACCACACCAGAUGCUGAGAAUAUGAUUCCAAUCAAAGGAGUCCCAUAACAAGACCUCUUAGCAAAAAACUCAGGUAGCAUUCCACGCUCAGCCAUCCCCAAAAGUUGGAAAGAGUCGCUGCUCAUCUCAGCCACAAACAUGCCCAUAUUGGACAUUGCUGCAACCCCCUGGAUGCACCAACUCAACCAAACUCCUCCAAGCACUUUAGCGAUACCUGAAAAGUAACCAUCGGUCCACAAGUCGCGAUCUAAUGGAAUAGCUCCAGUUCCAACUAGAAAGGGAAAGAAAUAUCCAAAAACGACCAAGAUCAAAGCAUAAAACAAAGCCUUUGGAAGAGUCUUCUUUGGGUUAUCCACCUCUCCAGCUAGUGUACUUAUUGAGUCCCAGUAGUUGAGAUUCCAAAACAGGGUGUUCAAAUACAAAUUCCAAUCCACUUCACCUAAAUUUAAUACAAGCCAUCUUGAAGGCUCUAACUUGGGAAGGGACACAAGUCCCAUAACCACAAAAGGAAGGAGUGAGAAAAUCCCUAAAAGAACAGCAGCCCAUCCCACAAUGGUUAGACCCCUAUAGUUCAUGAAAGUGAGAACAAAAGUCAAAGCUAACGCCGCAAAGGCUCUAGGUAACCCAUCGCCCAAAGCAGGGAUACCAGACUUCAAGUAAUCAAGAAACAGAACUGGGUAUAAAGCAUUAUCAGUAACCCCACUUAGCCAUUUCAUCCAAACUUGCUCAAAACCCCAAUAUGGGCCUAAGGCAGAUGAAACCCAAACCACAUAACCACAAUUUUCAGGAAACACGGUACCCAUCUCGGCAGUAAUUAAAGCUUCAGGGACACUCCAUAUAAUCGGAAACACCAAGAAACCAAGAAGUGCUAAAAGAGGACCAGCUGUCUUUACACUAUCCUCAACACCAAACGGCCCCCCAGAAACCUCAUAGAAUAUAAGGAAAAUAAGUGGCAAGAUUGAUACUUUUUUAGUGCCAUGGACUCUAGGAGAAGAUGGUUGGUCAUUGAUAUUAAAAUAUUCAACAGCAUCAGACUGCCCCAUUUCUACUGAAACUUGCCUAUUUACAGUGCUCCUCAAUUUCUGCAUCAAGUUUAAGCAUAACUAUCAAAAGGGUAUCCGCAUCUAAAUUAUGAAACAAAAUGAGCAUUUACUUAUUAAAAAAAAAAUCAAAAAACAGAAAUGGAUUUCACAGAACACAUGAACUUAAGUUCAACAUUAAACAGGCGCUUAAGAAAACAAAAGGGUCUGUUCGUAAAGCCAUCAGAUUGCAAGAUUGAACAACAUUAACGGAAUCAAUAGAAUGGAUGUAAAGAGAACUGAAAAGAAAAUAAAAUAAAAGAUGAAGAGAGAUAAAACGAACCAUCAAAUAAGUGCAUGCAGAGCAGAGAGGCAGAUACUAGUGAAGCUCCGUCAUGUUAGAGAGAGCCUAAAUCAAUCAGAGCUCACUGAGUUUCUUUUAAACCGACCGGCAAAUUUGGAGUAGCACAACAUAAUAUUUUUGCUUUUAUUUUUGGAACACUUUUGAAUGGAAUUUUUUGUUUUAAAAAAUGGCAAAGGAGAUUAGUAUUUCUAUCGUUAAAAUAAUAAUUUUCCUAACAUUAUUUUUUAUAUUUUUUAAUUUAUUUUUAUAAUAAUUUUUUAUUUAAAUAUUAAUAAAAAAUAAUUAAAUUAACAAUUUAAUCCUAAAAUAAAUAAACACGGUUUUGGGUUUUUUCUUUUGUUCGUUUAAUAUCAUCUGGUUCCCUGAUUUGUGACUAAUUAUCAACGGAAUCCCGUUAGUUUCUAAAUUGAAAUAAUAGAAGGUCAUGAGAUUAUUUACUCCAUUUAGCACUGCAGACUUAGAGUAUAUUGAAAAAGCUUUGUCAAAUAGUAGUAAUAGGGGCAUAAGAAAUAAAUUAUAGCUAUCACAAAUUCGUUAGGAGAAUUUCAAAUUUUUCCAUCAAUAAUGGCUAUGAAGCAAAAUUACUUUAGGUUAUAUUGCAACACUAAUACUUCAAAUCCUGACAAUAAAUUUGAAGAACUUGUUAAAAAGAAAAUGGUAAUGUUAUCAUUUUGAAAGACAAAAAAAAAAAGAGUGAAAGUGGCGUUACCUCAUGGUCAUUAGUGACUUGUUGCAAUGAUAGCUCAAAAUUAAAAAUUUGUGAAGAAUUAGUAGACAACGACGAUAUUAUAUUUAUACAGUCACCAACGUAUUGAUUUUUGUUUAAUGUUUGAUUGAUAGAAACUUUUGUCGUCGUCGCCGUUGUUGAAUUCGUGCUUAGAAUACCACAAGAGAAGAAAAAGGGAUGAAAGGGAAGAGAAGAAGAGAGAAGUGGUGGAUAGCAAAUAUGAUAUGCUAGCUACACACAGGCCUUAGAGAGUUUUUUUUUUUAAUAUUUAUUGUAUUUUUGUUUUUGUUAUUGGUUUGUCAUAUGCUUCCAAGGCAACAAUGCAUUACAUCAUAAAUUGCACCUUUUAGGGGAGGUGGUAAAAAACAUGAGAGCAAUGCAUUCUAGCGCAUACAUGCAGAAAGAGUUUCCAAAUUUUCAAAAGUUUCUUUAUUUCUUCCACCUUUUUUUGCUUAAAAUAAAUUUUAAUUGUAUUUUGCAUUAACUUAGAGAAAAAAAAAUCCAAUUCUAUGCAUAAACGCAUACAUUGAUUAGAAAAUGAGUUUUAUGGACACAAAGGGACAAUAUAAGAGAUUCUUUUUGUUUAUUAGAAGUAACAUAACUAGUUAGUGUAACAUGUAAUUAUAAGCUACCAAUAAUUUGCACUGAUGAUAAUUAACGGUACAGAUUUUGAGCUAUGAAUGUCUUGUGGCUAGUUUAAUUGGAUUUUUGAGUUUUCAGCAGAUCUAUUUUAAUGAUUAUUAAAUUAUUUUCACUUCUUAUGCCUUAAUAAAAAAAAUUCAAUAUUUUUUGCUGUAUUCUAUAUUUUAAAACUUAAUUUUUAGUUCUUUAUAUUGCAAACCAAACUGAGUCAAAUAGAGUAUGCUCUUCAAAUAAUUUUUCCAUUGCCUUCAAGAAGAAUUCAUUUUAUUUUUAUAUAUUAAUUCAACACUUGUAAACCGGGCCGUCAGAUUGCACAUAAAGCAAAUGAUCAAACCGUUACAAGACCGGCCCAGGCCCACUGACUCUAUUUUCUUUAAUUUGACCAUUAAAAAGCUUUUGGCCACCCCCACCAAAUAAAUAAGCUCUUGUUCUCUUUUGUAGGGGUGGGCAAAAAAACCGUAGUCUUAAAAAAACCGAACCGAACCGACGGUUUUUUCUAAUUCGGUUUGGUUUUUAUUUUUUUAAAAAACCGAAAUAUACCAUUUGUAAAAAAAAACCGAAAUGUCGGUUUGGUAUUCGGUUCACUUAGCUGAACCGAAAAACUGAACCGAAAAACCGAAUUAUUUUUUGAUUUUAUUCAAAUCAAACAUGUGUUAAUUUUUAACUGAUUGUGCAAGAUAACUAACAUAAACUUGCAUACACACAAUCAUGAGUAUAUAUAUGUAAGUGUUACAAUUUCGUAAAUCUUUAUUUCCCCCAAAAUAAACCCUAAAGCUAAAAUCAAAGAUUCAAAAUCGAAACCAAAUCCAAAUCACCCACCCCAAUCCACUGCAAUCACAGCCGACGCUGCUCACCGGCGAUAGUGUCACCGUGCAACACGCUGCUCACCGCGAAAGCUGCAGCUUCUUUUCACCGUGGGACAGCUUCAACUCACAGGCCUGAGGCCACCACGCGACAGCUUUGCUCUGCUCACCUGAUUGGAGUGGAAAUUCGAUGGUUUUGAAUGGUUUAUAUAUGCAUGUGAGGUGUUCGGCGCAUAUAAUCAACUUAAUUGUGCAAGAUGGGUUGUCACAAGUGAGUCAAUCAAUAGCUAGUAUUCGAAAUGCGGUGAAAUAUGUUAGAUCAUCUCCGGCAAGAUUACAAAAGUUCAAAACAUGUGUUGAUAGGGAGAAAAUCUCACGUGGAGGGCUUAUGGUGUUAGACGUGCCGACUCGGUGGAAUUCAACAUAUUUGAUGUUAGAAAAAGCGGUAGCAUUUGAGAGGCUAAAGGAAGAUGAUGGCCAUUAUACAAACUGGUUUGAUGAGGAUGAGAGUGAAUAAAGGAGGGUGGGGCCACCGAUUGAUAAGGAUUGGGAAAAUGCAAAGAGGUUAGUCAAGUGUCUUUCGAUUUUUUAUCAUGUGACUUUAAAAUUCAGCAGCUCUUUAACAGUCACUUCCAAUAAUUUCUUGAAUGAAAUGUGGAAAGUUUAUAUUCAUUUGAAGUCACUGGUUGAUUUUGUUAACAUAUAUGUUUUCAUAAUGUUAAUUUUGAUGAUAACAAACAAGAUUAAGAAUGAUUAAUCUUUUAAGAUCAAAUUAUUUUUUAUAUAUUUUAAAUAAAUCAUUAUUUUCACAUUAUAAAUGUUUUAUAUUUAAUGGAAAAAUGAUUUUAUGAAAAAUGAUUGUUUAAAUACAUGAAAUGUUUGUCAUCAUCAAAAAGGGGGAGAUUGUUAACAUAUAUGUUUUCAUAAUGUUGAUUUUGAUGAUAACAAACAAGAUUAAGAAUGAUUAAUCUUUUAAAAUCAAAUUAUUUUUUAUACAUCUUAAAUAAAUCAUUAUUUUCACAUUUUAAAGGUUUUAUAUUUAAUGGAAAAAUAUUUUAUGAAAUUGAUUGUUUUUAUUCUUUUUAAAUAAAUCAUUAUUUUCACAUUAUAAAUGUUUCAUACUUAAUGGAAAAAUGAUUUUAUGAAAUUGGUUGUUUUUCAAAGUUUAUGGUUUAAUUGAAAGAAUUUUGAAAACUUUGAUAUAAACAAGUAUUGCUUGAAAUUUUGGUAAAGGACUUAUUUGAAAAGUGUCAUAGCAUCUUUGGGCGAAAUCAUAAUUUCAGAAAGUUUUGGGAUUAACGAAGAAUUAUUUAGAAAUUCUGAAAUUGGACUUAUUUGCAAAGUUUAAUAACGUUUUGGGCCAUACUACAGUUUUAUAAAGUUUUGGGGUCAAACUAUAAAUUUUGGGAAAUGUUUUACUGUAGCAGUUACUGUAGCAAGCGGCUUACCGGAUACUAAUAAACGGCAAGUCGGAUACGGGGUAGUAAGCACCAGAACGAAAGCGGCUAACCGGAUGUCCAUAAACGGCAAGCCGGUUACGACAAAAAAUGUGCAUAACGGCUAGUAACGGCUAGUUUUUGAGUUCAAACUAUAUAAACUCAAAACCAAUUCAUUUUUGGUAACUCAAGCAAGCAUAAACAAGUGCACACAACUUAUAUUGAGCUUCAAAUUCGAAAAUCUUCAUAGAUUAAAUCUUCAUUGGGCUAUCAUUUGUAAAUCCACUCUUAAAGAGAGUUUUUGUUGUAAUUUUCAUUUCUCAUCAAAUUGUGAGAGUACAAGUGUGAGAAACACUUGGAGUGAAGAGAUUGGAGAUAUAAUCUCUUGUUGUAAAGGUUCAUUGACACCUUGAAGUCAAUUGUAAUCGUUUGAAGCCUUGGAAAGGCUUGGAUAGUGAAAUCCUCAAGCCCGGUGUGCUUGGAGGCGUGGACGUAGGCGGGGAUUGCCAAACCACGUAAAAAUCCUUGAGUUUGCUUUCUCUUCCCUUACUCUUUAAUUAUUGUGCUUUGAUUGAAUUUAUUGUUUUCGAAUUUAUUAAGGCAUUAGAUUGCUUGUUGUGUGGAUUUGUUAGGAUAAUUUUUAAAAUUCCAAUUCACCCCCCCCUCUUGGGUUGCACACUCAUAUUUCAGAUUUUAAUGAUUUUUUGUUAAAUCAAAUGGGUUACAAGAUGGAGGAAAAAUUUGUCAAGUAUUGGGGUCAUUUUUUUGAAAAGGUUAACAUGUUGUUGAUUGUGGCAAAUGUGCUUGAUCCUCGCUGCAAACUUGACUUUGUUAUAUGGUGUUUUAGUAGCUUGUAUGAUAUUAGAAAGGUUGAUGAAUUGAGAGCUAAUAUUAAAGAGUUGUUGUUGAAGCUUCUUGAAAGCUAUGGUGGUGAGAGUAAUCCAAAUAGAGGUGAGAGAUGUACGGCUGUUCAUGAUGGUGCUAGUAGUAGUAUUGAGUUAUUUGAUCCUUUUACACAAUUUAAAAAGAUGAAAGAAAGUUCAAAUGAUGACAUUAGUGGAAAAAAUGAUGUUGAAAAGUACUUGUCAGAGACUUGUGAGAGUGCUAGUAAUCCCCAGUUUGAUAUUUUGACUUGGUGGAAAUUGAAUGGGCCUCGGUAUCUGAUUUUAUCUCAAAUUGCCAAAGAUGUUUUGGCAAUUCCGGUGUCUACUGUGGCUUCUGAAUCAGCAUUUAGUACAGGAGGGCGCAUUCUUGAUCCUUUUAGGAGUUCUUUAACUCAUAAAACAGUCGAGUCAUUAAUAUGCACUCAAAAUUGGCUUCGUUCAACUCUAUUAGGAGAGCGUACAAUACAACCAAGUCAGGAAGAAGCUGAAUUCUAUGAAUUAGUUGAAACAUGUAAUAUUGUAAUUUAUUAUGUUAUUUUUUUCUAUUUCACUUAUAACAUUUUGAAUAUUAGAAUUAAUUAUUUUAAUAUAAUUGUUUUAAUUUCUUGAAGAAUUUUUUAGGCCAAUGCAAUCUCAAGAACAACAGCAAGUAGCUGAGGAGUAAAUGACAAUUGAUUGAUGUUGCUUACCAGUAAGUUUUCUUUAUUUUUUUUAAACUAGCAUCUUAUUUAUAUAGAUUGUUUAUUUAAUUAUUUAUUGUUUAAAUUUUUUUUAUAGAUCCAAAUAUUGAGUUGGAAAAUGCCUAAAGUUGAUGUUGAUAUUGAUGAAGAUGGGAGAAUAUUGUUGGCAUUUGUUUGCAAUUUUUUUUUUAUUUUGUGUUGUAAGUUGUAAUUGUUGUUAUUUUUAUUUCUCUUUAUAACAUUAUGAUUAUGUUUAUAUAGAUGGAGUAUUGGAGUUUGGUUAUGUAUUUUGAAAUUUUAAUAUUUCAUAUUUUGGGAGUAUCUUAUUAAUAGUUAGUAAGAUAUUAGUGAUAAAAUGUGUUUUGAAUACUUUGUAUUUAUUGUUAAUAUUUGUAAUAAAAUUAGAAUAAAUUAAUUGUUAAAAAAAUUAUUACAUUCAUGAGGCCCAAUGGGCUAAAAAUUCAAAAUAGGCCCAAUAGGCCCAGAAUCGAAAAAACCGAACCGAACCGAACCGAUCCGAAAAGAACCGUUUGAGUUCGGUUCUUAUUGAGUUCGGUUCUUAUUCAGUUCUUUUGAUAAAAUAACUGAUUUAAAUCGGUUCUACUUAAUUUCGAUCCGAACCGAACCGUGCCCACCCUUACUCUUUUGUUCCCUCUCAAAGGAAAAUAUCUAAUCACCGGAUAAUGAUUCCGGUGACACAAAAGAUCGAAACACCCCCUAAAUUCCCUAAAUUUAUGAUAAUACCCCACCAUGGAUGAUUCCGUUGAAAUGCCGCCUUACGAUGAAAGGCCUAAAAAGGGUUUUAACUUCACCUCCAUGCGCUUGAUCUUAACCCUCGUUUUCCCAAUUUUAACUUGCUUUUUGUUGGCAUUUUUUAUUGGAAUCGUAGUUGUUUUAUUCGGCGAAUCAUCAGUUUCCAGUUCCAUUUUUGUCCCUUCCCAGUGCAAGAUAGUGUCCAACAGUAAGCUUUUUUUAACAUUUUCAAUUUUUUUUCCAUUUAUGAAGUCCAAAAAAUUUAUUAAUUUUGAUUUUUUUGAAUGAUUUUUCAGGUGUUGAUAUAAGGUCAUCAAAAGUUCGUAAACUUGGGGUGUUCAAUUAUAAGGCGAAGCGCGUGUUUUAUCCAUUUGAAGCAAGUAAAUUUCGCUGUCGGUAUGAUUACUAUUGGGCUUCUAUCUUCAAGGUAUUCAUACAUUUUCCCCUGUACUAUAAGCUUCUUAGUGGCGGUCUUGUGUGCGGAAGUGAACGGUGUGGCUGACAGCUUCUUGAAAAUUAUAAGUUUGAACAGAGCAUGUUAGAGCACCACCAAAAGGCUCUUUAAAUAAGAUUUUAUUAUUUAUUUGAAGAGCCACAUCAAUAUUGAAAACUUCAAAAGACACUUCAAUUAAAAUUCUUCAAAUAAGAAUUGAUUCUCUCUCUUCAAAUUUGGAGAGUUAAUUUAUUCCUCUUCAAUUUAUAUUUUAUUACUUUUCAUUGAAGAAAGAGAGAAGUGCUUUAAUUGCUAUUGACUUUUCCUUUAAAAAACUAAUUAUAUGAUUAAAACAAUAUUAACUUAUUUAUAUUUGAAGAGUCUUUUGGAGAAUAUCAUAUUUUUUCACCCUUCUAUUUGCCACAUAGGUAAACAAAUAGAUAUUUAAAGAGUAAAAUUUAUAGAGGCUUUUAGAGAUGCUCUUAGACUUUUGUUGACCAAAUUCGAAAGCCAAAUGGCACAGCUCAGAAGCUUUUGAAUUGAAUAACUUACUAGGAAGCUCCAAUUUUUUGUUGGCUACAGUAAAAGGAUGUUGUUUUAUUCUUCUUAUACUUUACGCUUGCAUCAGCUUAAAUCACUUCUUAAACGCUUUGCUUUAACUCCACUGCUUCGCUGGGGCGGAUUUACCUUGGAACAAGUGGGGACUUAAGUCCCCACUGAAAAAAAAAAAUUGUUUUAAUAAUUAAUUUGAUUUGCCAAAACUUCUCAAUAAAUUUUUCUUAAGCCCCCCAUAAUUUCUUUCAACAAACAAUUGAUCUAAAUGAGUUAUUUUCUGUCAGUUGUAUCCAAAUGAGUUCUCUGCAAUUGAUAUCAUGGCACUUAAAAUUCAACUUGAUACAUAUAUUUUGGAUAUGCGCACUAGUGCGAGACUAAAAGACAUAAGGUAUAUCCAUUGGUUUACUUGUUAAUAAUAUUAGCAUUGACUUUACCUGUUGCCACUGCUAGUGUAGAGAGAGUAUUUUCAGCCAUGAACAUUUUGAAGAAUUGAUUAUAAAGCUGUGAGUAAUGGAUGAAUGAUAGUUUAAUUAUUUACAUAGAAAAAUACUUAUUUAAUAAUAUUGAUAAUGAACUUGUAAUGCAACAUUAUUAAUGUAUGAAAACUUGAAAGGACAAUUGUAAACAUAUAUUGAAGUAUGAUAAAUCUUUCAAAUUUAUAUAUUUAUUACUUUUUAAAUUUUUUUAUAUUGCCGUUGAAUGAGCCCCCAGUCAAUCAAUAUGUUGUCUUCGCCCUACUUCGUACUCUUCUAUAUAUGUAUCGGGUAUGCAGUUUUAGUUAACAGCUGAGACUACGUGUUUGUUUGACGUGGUAGUUACGUUACGAGUCUGUUAAACAUUCAAUGAUUAAAGUAUUAUCAGUUAUUUCAAAGGGACAAAUAAGAUUAGCUACAACACACCCACUAGUUUUAUAAAAUUCGAAUGAGAUGGAAUAAAAUAAAAAAAUAAAUAAGUAAAUUGACUUUUAGUUUUAGUGGUUGAAUAUAUUUUGCAUUCUCUUAGGGCACUGCUGUAAUUAUUCCUUAAACGUCAGUCAUACCCACAUAUAAUAGACACAAGAAAUGAAAUCUAAAAUCACCUGUUUAGUUAAAGAAUCAUCAUGAAAAAAUUUUGCCAUUUUGAUUUGAGGAUCCACAUUUUGAACAACCAACUUAUGUUCAUCAAAAACGGAUCAUGGCCUGUGAGUAGAAAAAUUAUUUUUGGACAAAUUAUUUUUUUUAAUAGAAUAAUUUCUCAAGGGACUAUUAAAAUUACUAAUAAAAAUGUCAGACACACCCACGUACCAUCGACACAAUUGACUAUGAGGAUCCAUGUUUUGAACUGCCACAUAAUGUUCAUCAAGAAUAGAAUAUGGCUCGUGAAAAGAAAAUUUUCUGAUUUUGGCCUGGAACAAAAAAAAAUUAAAUUGAAGGAGAAUCUGCUACUUUCUCAUUAAGAAAGGCAGACAGGGUAUACUAUGGUACCAUACAAUAUAAAAAGUCUCCGUUCUCUGGCUUUUCAAACUCUGAAGGGGGCAAUAUUCCCCAAUUCCCCCUUGAAAAUUCUGAUUACGACAUUAUUCAUCACUUGAUACAUAAGUACAAGUAGUGACAAAAUUAGGAAAAAUAUGACUCAUAAGUAAUUACUAGGCAGGGCUCUUGAGAGCAACAUUGUACUAGGCUUUAUAUGCAAACAUGGUGUGGUACAUAGAGCACGUUGAAUUCCACACUAUAACACAAACCCAGAAAGACAAGUAAUAUCUCAACUGAUAUAAAGACAAAAAGAAGAUAAAAUGAUACAGAACAAAGAAUUUCUAAGAGAUAGCAACAUACAAUAGACUGAAGCCAGUUGAUCUGCUCAUUGAUUGCAGCCUUAAACUUGCAAAUGUUUACUGUAGCCUGGUGCUCUAAGAAGUGAAAAUGAUGCAAACCUUGAUUCCCUGUUUACUUCCAUUUACCAUCAAACAUUCUAUUCAUAAGAAAAAAAAUGUUUAGAUAUCUUGCCGUAAAUAUAGCCAUUUGAUUGUCUUAAUAAAGCCACACACAACCAUUCAUAUUGAUCCACAUUGCCACAUAGCCUGAUUUAAGCAUACAACACCUGAAUGUAUACUGACUCCUAACCUUAUCAAUACAUUGGCGACAACUUAAGAAGAAAACUAUUUCUCCAUCUCUUUUUUGAAAUUUCACAAUAAAAUAGCACAAUGUAAGAGCUGCAAUGAAAAUGGACCAUCUGGAACUAUGGCGGAAGCUUCAACUAGUGUAGUGAUUUGACCUUCUUAUUAACCUAGCGAGAUCAAACACUGCCCUUGAUCUUGAACAGAUCAAUACGAUACGCACAACUUAUGAUUGAAUCCAGAAACAAUCAAAUCUUUAGCAAGAAUAAUUAAUCAGAAUCAAGAAACAAGUUUAAUGAAUAUAAACCUAUAAUUGGAACAAACACAGCAAAAGAACCCAAGAAUGACACAACCAGCACCAAGGGAGAAGCUUUCCAGUGAGAUUAUAUUGAUGAUCAAAGAAGAAUCUUUUUACAAAGCUAACAAAAGAGAUUUCAGAGAAUAAGCUAUGACCCUCUCUCUUCUCAAUCUCUGUCUAGUUUGUUAACAGUGAUGACCCCAAUCUCCUUCGUUAGCCAGCUUCAUAACUGCGUCAGUGACAAACUAGCAAACCCAGAUUGAGCAGACUAACGACACGUGCAUAACGGCUUUAACGAACUUGGUUAAAGAACUGCUCACAUGUUCGUCACGCGUGUUGCUUAAAUGAUAGCCAAAACGACUUCAACCAGAUGCCGUUUUGAAGCUUAUGAAUUAUAAGUGAAAACACGUGCUUGUCUCGUGACAUUUAAAUGCAACAACAAGCCCAAAACACUGCCGGUCCACUAUGUUGAGUUUGCCAUCUCUAAGCUUCACAACUAGCAGCGGACAAGAUGAUAAUUUAAUUGACUUGGAGAGCUUUUAUAUCACUUUUACAACAUUCUAUAUAAUUGUGAUAUUGGGAAUCGUCGGUGUUGUAUAUGUGAACCCUCGUUGGCGACACUGGUGGUUUUAUCUUUAUUGAAAUAUGGAUGACUUUUCGUUACUAUUUUGUUGUACAUAACCUUAUUCUCAGGAGAUUUAAUCAUUGAAAUUAACAUGUUAGUUUCAUUAGAAGGCUGAGUGGUUAGGGCUGCUACCUUCCAACUUGGAGGGCAAUAGUUUGAACCCACAAGCGCAAUGUGGGGGUAUUUCAUUCUUUAAUUACAUUGUAUAAUUGAAUAAAGAUAAUAUUCUCUCUUACCCAAGUGUGAGUGGAGUAGACAUCCUUCGAAUAUUAGCGAGGGUUAAAACUUGGGCAGAGCUCAAUAAGUAUUGAUGUAAGUUGGUCCUAAUAAUAGUCUGAUUUGUAAAUAUCAGUUAUAGUCUCAUGUUUCCUUCCUUAAUUAUAUUGCAUAAUUAAGUAAAUGUACUCUUUUCUCUUACCCAAGUGUGAGUGGAGUAAACAUCUCUCGAAUAUUAGUGAGAGUUAAAAUCUGGGCAGAGCUCCAUAAGUAUUGAUGUAAUUUGAUCCCAAUAAUAGUAUGAUUUGUAAAUACCAGUUAUAGUAUCAUGUAAUAUGAGUUGUAAUUUGAGUAAUAAUUUCAUGUAAUUACAAAAAAAAAUGUUACUUUCAUUACUUUUUUCUUCGUUAAAAUUCUCAAGUAUCAAUUAUGUUUGCUUAAGAAAUAAAAUUUCAUUAUGAAAAUUGUAGCAGUAUUUCCGAGCACCUCACAUUUUCAAUGAUUUUUCAUAAAUCAAUUAAUCUGCCAUACCAAUAUCAGGUUUAGUUUUUCAGACUAAAUGAUCAAGAAAGCAAACAUACAAAUUCACAUUUUAGAGGGGUAAACUAGCUUUUAGAUUUUAGAACUAGGCUAGCUACCUCACCAAAUUCCAAUCUGUACAGUGAACUACAAGAUUAAGAAAAUAAUGUAUUUAUAGUUUAAUUGAAUCAUGAGAAAACAAUGUAGUCAUAGCUCAAUCGGACAUGAUCACGGAGAGGCAUAUUCUUUUCAAGUUAAUUUGAUCCAUUUAUAAGAAAUGAAGUGGAUUGAAGUUAAAAGUUCAAAUAACAAAUCCUUGUUCUUGAGUUUUACGACGUCGUUACUCCUUCAAGAGGCUGAUUAUGCGAGUGAAUGAGGAAACAGAAUGCAUUAUCCAAUUUCACUCAUAUAGAAAAUUAAUUUUUUAUAUAUACUAAUCAACACUAGAUUGAUUAUGUUUUGUAUGUUUAUAUGCUAAUCAACAAUAAAUUAUAGUAAAUGAAGAAAUGCUUCAAAAUUUUUUAAUUUAAUUUAGAAAAUCAAUUAUUAACAUUAAUAUUCCUAAUAAAAAUUAUUUUCCAUCGGUAUUCAAAAUUUUCACUUAUAGAAAAUGCGUUUUACGUGAAUACAAGUUAUUGUGUAAAUUUGAAUGAUAGCGAAAAAUAUUUUUUUUAAUAAUUGUAAAAAUAAUUAACCAUAACAAAUCGCUUGCGUAAAUAAUAAUCAUUAUUUAAAAGGUAGAAAGAUGGUUAGUGCACAAUCAAAUUUUAAGCCCCUACCUCCUCGGCCCAAUAUUCAAACUUAGAUGAUCAGCCAAAUAAAAUUAUUUGAAAAUCAUUCAAUCAGGUUCUCGGGGCAAAAAUACAAGAUCCUUAUUUGCAUGAUAUAUAUGAAUUAAUGUAAUUUAUUUGAAUUAUCCAAAUUCAUUAGAGAUAAAACUAUAAAAUAUACGAAAAAAGUUAGAAGGAAGGGUGUGUUGGGAUAUUUUACAAACUAUAGGAAUCUGGUGAGAUUUUGAGCCAAACUGUAGGGAGUUGAAGGCAUUUGCCCAAUAUGUUUAGCCGUACACUAACCGUUAUUUGAUCUUGUUGUUGGUCCCGGAUGAGCUAUAGUCUUAUUUUAAUUUUAUUUAAACUCACCAUAAGAUUCGCAGAGCUCCUAACUAACUUAAAUGACUCUGCAGAGCAUGUCAACACAUAGCAUGUUUAACCGUUUUAUUUGUAGAAGAAUUUAUGAUUUCCCAUUAGCAUUAUUAUUGAAGUGGGGCGGGUCAAAUCUCAAUUGCUUGAAAAUUUUAUUUAUUAUUAUUAAUUUUGAAGUGGGGUGGGUAACGGUUCGUUCAAUUCGAGGGAAUCAAAUAUAUCAUCCAAGGUAGAAUUGUGGAAAAUUAAAGCAAAAUAAGAAAUAUGGACAGAAAAGAAGAAAGUUAAUGCAUGAAAGACAUUUACAGUUGAAAUUGAUAAUCAUGUUUCUAUUUUGUUAACUAAUCAAAUGGAAAACUGAACUGUAAACAAACAUUAAAACGUGUGGACCAAGCUAGCUGCCCUACAAGUCUACAAUAAUAAUUGAGUACUUUGAUUCAUCCUUCUAUGAAUUUCUACCCAUAUUGACUCCUCCGAAAUUUCCACAAAAUAAAAAAAAAAAAAAAACUGAAUUUCCACAAAAUGCAAAACCCGUAGAACUUAAUUUUUGGUCAUGUGAACUAAGAUGUAAAUUAAAGAAAAAGUAUAAAAUUAAAAAAGAUAAAAUUUCUAAAAUGUGUGGAAGGUGAUUCAUAAUUCACUGAAAUUACUUGCCCCAGAUAUAUAGGUAAACCUAUCUAAUUUCAUUAAAAAUAGUUGGAAAAAAUUAACUAAUAGAAAGCUACGGAAAUUAACCCCCCACAAAAAUAACUUUUUAUAGAAGAAUUUAUGUUUUUUAAAAUAUGUUAUCAAAGUGUAUUUGAUCAAAUCUCAAUUGCUUAGUAUGCUUAGGAUUUUGUGAACAUCACUAAAAAGCGAAAGCUAUGAAUGAUAGGGGUGAUGCUUGCAAUAUGAAUAAAUAAUGGACUGAUUCAAUUGAUGAUUACAUUUAUAUAUUAUUGAUUAUUUAUGAAUUUUCAGACUUGUUACGAUGUAUAACUAUGUGAUUUUGAAACUUGAAACCGUGGCAAACAUUGAAAGGAAUUAUAACUUGAAAUCAUGACUCACGGGGUAUGUCAUGAUUCACGUGCACAAAAAAAGGUAGAAUUGUGGAAAUUUAUAACCCAACGACAAAUACGGAAAGAAAGGAAGAAAAUUAAAAGACUUCGGGCCUAGCCUGCGUGUAUUAAUUAUUAGAUUAUUUUUUUUUUAUAAGGGUAAUCAUCAAUUUACUCCAUAACAAUCUUUAAUUCAUUUCUUAAAACUAUCAAAACUUUAAUUUAUCUUUUAAACAUCGUUACCUCUUCAUUGGUUUUAAUAGUUCAAAGGGUAAAAUUAUGUUUGCAUAUUUUCUUGACCGCCAACUAAAUGAUAAAACUCAAAAUUCAAUCUUGUUAUCUUGUUUCAAUCCUCUAUCAAUCAAAUAAGAUUUCUAAAAUAUGUGGAAGAUAUUGCAUGAUUUCCUCAACCUACCUGGCCCGAACAUCAAGGUAAAUAUCUCUAAAAUAGUUUAUUAAAUCUCAGUUGCUAAGUAUAGUAAGGAUUGUGUGAACAUCAAUCAAAACUAUGAUUGAUAGAAGUGAUCUUUGCAAAAUGAAUAAAUAAUUAACUGAAUCAAUUGAUUUACAUAUUAAAGUUUAUGAAUUUUCGGACUUGUUGCGAUAUAAUAAUAGCAUAUGAUUUUGAAACUUGAAACAGUGGUAAAUAUUGAAAGGAAUUAAUUUGAAAGCAUGAUCCGUGGGGAAUGUGAUGAAUCGUGUUUACCAAAAAGGUAGAAUUGUGGAAAUUUAUAACAGAACGAUAAAUAUGGUAAAAAGGAAGAAAAUUGAAAGACUUGGGGCCUGGCCUGGGUGUAUUUUCUAACAGUCCAAUGGACAAAAUUAUAUUUGUAUACUUUCUUAACAGUCAACUGAUUGAUAAAAGUCAAAACUGGUCUCUUUUUUUUUUCCUUGUUUCAAUCCCCUCUCAAUCAAAAAUGUUUCCUUGUCUAAGCAAUGAGGAAUAUGGCUGAAAAGAUUGCUAUUAGAAAGAUUUAUCAAUUGUAAUUGGUUUAAAAUUGAAUAGACACUUCAUUUUUAAGAUUGUUAUGAGUCAAUAUAGGUCCUAUUUGGGAUUGAGUUCUUGUAAUUUUUAAGCUACAGCGGCUGUGGAAAAAAAAUUAUAAUUAUGAAAUAAGAGUUAAAAACAUGUAAUAAAUAUAAAUUUUAAAUAAUAGUUUUGACAAAAUUAUAAAAUAUAUAAUAUAUCUUUCAUAAUACAAGUAAAAGAUCAUAUCAACAUAGAUUGCAAGCCACAACAGUUAGUGUUUACCAAACAAUUUAGUGCUGUAACUUUCAAGUUACAGCUGCCCAAUCUCAAUUUCAAAUGCACUUAUAAAGUGACUUGCUUCAAAAGCCUAGCAACCCAAAUUGGAAUGCUUUCAUUCAAGUGGCUAUAACUAAGAUAUAACGUCCCUAAGGAAGAGUAAUUAAAAAAUGUACCUUCUUUAACAUGUCCGUAUGGCAUUUUUUUUUUAAGUGAAUUUGUGUGAUAGAGAGAGGAUGUCAGCAAGAUAGUAAACUCCUAAAUAUAUUAUUGUUUGUAAUGUCUAAAAUUUGAAGAGAAUCAAGCUAAUAAAACUCCAUUGAAAUUAGACCUUCAAGAGUACGGUUCUUGGGCAUUAUAAAAUGUUGUAAUGUCGAGAGAUUACCCAACCAUUAUGGAAUCCUACCAAGAUGAUUGUUACCACUAAGAUACAAUCCUUCUAGUGAACAACAAUCAGACAAAUUUUUUGGGGAUCUCUCUUACAAAGUGAUUACCAUCCAAUCGCAAUUUUGAAUGAAAAUAAAUUUUUUUUAUUGGGAGUUUGACCUUAACAUUAAAUUUAGACAAUGAAUUUUAACUUUCUUCAAUUAUUAAACAGUUUACAGACAUUUGACAAAUUUGAAAACACUUCAUCCAUAGAAAGUUAAAAUUAGAGAUGGAAGCUAGGUGCUACAGCUAAUGGGAACAUUAAUUCCUGUCCCUCAUCACACUUUAUUUUGGGUCUAAUAAUUUUACGGCAGCAUUGACCACUGCUCAAGGUAAGUAAAACUUACAAAUGUGUGGCAAAAUAAAUAAUUAAGUGCAUAAAUUGUUAGCUAAUUUUCUUGAUAUAUACAGCUAAAGUAGUCGUUCCCCUUUAAAAAAAAUGUUAAACAAUUUCGGCUGAGCCUGCUUGUGGUUUUGAUAAAAAGGAGGGGCUGGCUUCAAAUAUUUGAAUAGGCAUCUCCGCCGUACCUCAAACAAAUCUGUCAUUAUUUGUGCCAUGAAACAUGUUUCGGCCGUCGAAGUCACGAGAGGGUUGAUGACGCUACUACGUAUGAUGACACACCAGCCGACAGUGUAGUAACAGCUCAAAAACAAAAUCUACCAAAAUCAACGAAAGUUAAUAAAAAUUUAUUUUAUUAAUAAAAAUAAAUAAAUAAACUUAUUAUUUUUGGAGACGUGUGUAUUUGAGUCUGUGGACUGAAAUGGAAAAUAUGAAGAAGUUCAGAGUCGUUGUGCAGAUUGACUUCAGUUAAAUGGGUCUAGUAGAUAUUUUAUGCUGACGUGGCACGAAUUAGUUAUAAUCUGUUACAACGUUUCCAGAAACAUCAGUAUAAAUAGAAGCUGAUGAGCAGUGCCUGUUGUACGAUCCUUUUUCUUCGUCAGUUGUUCGUCAAUUUUCAUAGAAUCUGUUUCAUUGUGAUCUGUACAAAGUCUUCUGUAAAUCCACUUAUGUUUGAUUAGUUGUUGAUCACUAACGAAGUAAAUUUUUCCUUCAAAUCUUGCUGGUUCGUGCCCCUGUUUCAGUUCUGGAUUUUUCUUUUUCUUUUUUUAGUUCUGGUUUCUUAAUUCAAUUGAAUUUCUUGGUGCUUAAUUCAUCAAGAUUCAGUGGAAUCGACUUGAAAAGGAAAACAUUAUCCACCUGGAACGACUUCAAGUCCAAAGUAAAAGACAAGAGUGGCUCCCCGCAAUUUUCUUGUUUUCAGUAUAUUUUCUCUUUUUCUUUUUUAAAAUCUUUUGACGCAUGCAUAAUAUACCCUUGUUUAUUAUCUCUACUUUGCUCUGCUCAAGUCCAUUUUUUUCAAAUAUUAUUUUAAAUAAUAAAUUUAAUAAAAGUACAUUUGUGUAAUUAAGACUCUGCUAUUAUAUCACACAUACGCAUAUAAUAUAACUAAGCAUUUGUUAUUAUAGCAAAGAUCCAUAGCAUGAAAGUGAAUAAAUUUAACUAAAUGGUUAAUUAAUCAAUUAAGUUUCAUGAGCUUUAAUCGAGUUAAAACCAAGUACAAACAUCGUUAACAAAUACUGAAAUUGAGUAAAUUAAAAAAAUAAAAAAAAUUAAUUCAAGUAAUAUGUAGUUUUUACAUGUUGAUCAGCAGAAUACAACAUUAAAUUUUGUCAUUGACAAUAUUGCAUACCAGUCAUCUAAAGCAUUACCUCACGAGGUUUUAUGAGAAACGAAAGAUAAGUGUUUGCUCUGAACAAUUAAAGUUGCUGCUACCAACCUCCCCGAAGACCAAGAAGACGGAACAGGAAGCUAAUGCAUCAAUGUCUUCUUCAUUAUAGCUGCUGCGUAGUUAGGUGUAGUUUCCUCAUUUGAAGCUGUCUAUACAUAGGCUUUCCCCCUGCUUAUGUACAAAUAAAUGAACAGCCUUGAAGCUUUAUUAUUCGCAACAAAAGGGAUUACCAAUUGGAGAAGACUUUACAGAGUUCCUCUCACACACUCUCUCAAUUUCAUCUAGAAGUCCCUCCGAAAGCAUCUCCCAAAACAGUUAGUCAUCUUUUAUACUCUGUUUUCUAGAAACAGAGUCCUAACUAAAUUAAUUGACUGUACAGUGCAUUUCAACAUAGCAUAUUUAACCGUUUUAACAGUAAUUUUAACCGUCUUCUGAGUUAUCAUCAACAAAUUCAUUCAUAUUUCUCCAGUCUUACGGACGAUAUCAUAUGUUUAAUAAUGAAUGAAUAGUCUUGGAUCAGUGUUUUGCAGCAAAUUCACAUCAUAGUUUUGAUUCUUUAGAUAUGAAUUCAUCACAUUACCGAAAAGAAUAUGCGCUAAAAAAUGAUUCCAAGACUAUUUGACUACCAAAAGCUGCUGUCAGAGUGCACUGAAAUCUUGACUCCUCUCAGCGAAAAAUAUAUCAAAGUUUAGAUUAUGUGUUCGAGCUUUAAUAAAUGCCUGAGUUAAUAAUAAUAACAACAAUAAUAAUAAACUAAAAAGCAAAAUUACUAUUGAAUGAUCGGAAAAAAAAAAAUUUGAAAACGUGUGAACUCCAAUAACCACCCCACAAAUUUAGUGGCGAAUUUUGGAGAGGGCAAGGCCGGGCUUCUCAGAAAAAAAAUGACGAGUAGAAUUGUGGAAAAUUAAGCAAAAUGACAAGUAUGGAAAGGAAGGCUGAAAGUAAGGCAUGACGAAAGGCUUUGAGAAGGCUGAAGACUACCAAAGAAGACAACUGAAAGCUAGUUGGGGCCUGGGUGUAUAAAUUGUAGAUGUGUUUGUUAUAAAUAACAUAGAGCCCUUUUGUUAUUUAUAGUUAUAGAGAAAGAGAGAAUGUGUGUUUUUUAAUAGUUAGAGAUAUAGCUAGAAUGGGUGGUUCAAAAUCCAAAAUGGUGACAAUGUUAGUUCUCGUAUUAAUAAUAUUAGGGAGGGGGGGGGGGGGGGGUGUGGAGUGAGGGAUGUUUGGAGCAUGAGGAAUUUGCUCAUUUUCGGCUUAAACAUUUCUUCAAUUCCCCUUAUAGACUUCAAAACUGGGUAGGUGAACAAAGGGAAAGGGUUGAGUGCAGCAACUCCACAGGCCGAGUGGUACAACUACACCUUAGUCUUACUAGGAAUAUCGAUCUGGGAGUGUGGUAUCUGAAUGCUUCUCUAUUUACUCCCUUUCAACAACUUGGUAACAAAAUAGCCGGCUGCAUGCGUUGAGAAUGAAGGUCCUUCAUUUAAUUUAAUUUACUUAAUUUCUCCCUCCUAAUUAAUGUCUAUAACCAUUAGGAGGAACAAGGGAUUUUAUUAACUCAAAUAUAUCUAAUGGAGCUCAUUCUUUGGUUUUACUUGCAGGUAUAGAAGCAGGUGUCAUCUAACAGCUGCUUUGAUAAUUUCCCACCCCUUCAUCUUUGAUGGAAAGAUGAAAUAAAAACAAAAUGGUGAAAAUGGUAUUGGUACCUGAGGCUAUGUAAUCUAAUUCAAAAACUGCACCAUCAAAACGAUUACAUAAGUCCCAGAAGAAUCAAACGUUAGUUUGCAAAAUAUCAAUUGCUGGAGUUGUUUCGGUUGCACGUUAAUAUCAAUUCCGCUCUUGAUUUUUAUGGGCAUGUUGUAUUGUACUUGCAUACGAAAAUCAUAUUUUAGUUUACUUCACUCAACACUUGGAUUAAAGUUUUAGGUGGGGAAAAUUGAAGGAGACUAAAAUGACUCAAAAAAAUAGUUGAAUGAGUGAGGGUUUUGUCUUCAUUUAAGGAGCUCUUUAUAAAUUUUAGGAUUCUUUUUCCUGAGAAAAUUUAUGCCAACUCAUUCUUUGCUUCUUUUUUGAAGGGACACAUGCAACCGAAAGUAUAUUCUUGAAUUCUCCAGGAUAAGAGACAUACGUUUAGAUUCUGGAGCAUUUAAAACAAUGUCAAAUUUUAGAUUGCUGAAAUUUUAUAUAUCCGAGUAUGAUGGUAUUCCAAUUAUAAGCUCCAGGGUGCAACUUCACUGAGGUUUAGAAUGCCUUCCUAUAGAAUUGAGAAAUCUCCAUUGGCCUAAAUAUCUUUUGAAAAUACUGGCAUCAGAUUUUGAAUUGGAGAACCUGAUUGGACUCAGCUUGCCUUGUAGUAAGGUUAAGCAAAUUUGGAAAAGAGAAAAGGUAUAAUGUAUUACUAUUACCAAAGUAUCUAUUUUUCUUUCUUUAAGUAUUUAUAAUGAAUAACUUUGAAAUUCAAUGAUGCUCAUUUAGUAUAGUUAUGUAUCUUUGGUUAUAGGAAGCUGUCAAGUUAAAAUCUAUAGACCUUCACCACCCCUCUAUCUCAAUAGGAUCCCAGAAAUACUAAAUCUUAAAAAAAUAAAUCUUUCAAAUUGUGAAAGCAUGCUUACGUUACCCCCGUAUAUCCACAAUUUCAACUAGCUGAGUAUGUUGUGUUUCAGGGAUGCAAAAUUCAUUUUGUUUCUCAUGAAAGGAUUGACUUGUCCGGAUGUAUUAGGGUUAAUAAACCAACUAAUCCCAUAAUUUGUUGAUGUAGUAGAUUGUAGAUCAGUACACUAUUCGAAAAUGUAUUUGAUCCACACAGUGAAGUGGAUAUUGGACCAAUUUGAUGAUAAUGAUUUUCUUUCAAUCUCAAUCUUUUUUCCUUUUAGCAACAUGACUAGUCAUUGCGCAAAUUCAAACUCUGACAAUGAUUUCUCAAUCGGUUUCUAAGAUGAUGACCAUGCAUGUAUAUGUAUAUGCGUGUGUAUAUGUGUGUGUGUGUGUGUGUAGAGAGAGAGAGAGAGAUCACACGUGUGUGAUUUCCUUUUGCCAAUAGGAUAUGCAGAGAGCUUGAUCUUACCCAAUAGCGAAACAAACUUCCUAAUAAGUGAAGGUUAGUAUAAAUACUUACACUUUCAUGUUAUUUUGUUCAUCAGUAGCUUGAUUAUUUUAUAUGCGUCUUCGAUUUUAAUUUUCUUUCCCUAUAAUCACUAUUAUCUUUGAACUGGUCGUGAUUUGCGUAUAAGAUUUCUCAUGUUGUUUUGAGGUGCAAUGGAUUUUGAAUUUAGUGACGAGCGGUGGAAGCCAGAAGGCAGAUUAUGAAAAUGGAUAAAGAUCUAUAAUUAGCUGUUAUGGGAUGUCACAUAUCAUAUUGAUGGUAACAUUAUAUAUAUGUACAUAUAAUUAAUGGGGUUGGCUCACGAGCCCAUUAAUAAUCAUAUAUUAGCUUAAAUACUUCAAACAAUGUACCAUGAAGCAAUUUCACAAACACUUUUUAGCUUAUGUUGAGCUUUAUCAAUAAAAUGCAGGUUUGCUAUUUUACGUACAUGGUUAUGGUGUGUGCAUUCUUCAUAAGGCUAACUACUAAUUUAUCAAUGAAACUUGAAAAAUGUGACAGAGAGAUGUCGAUAACAGCCGCAAAACACUGAGAUCGAAAAUCAGGGCUACUAAAUACUAUUAAAAGCUCUUAAAAUAGACAGUGAUCAUCCUUAAUCGCAAAGUUAUGCACUAAUAGAACUAUUGACUACUUAUCUUUAGCAGAAGGUAUAUUUUUAACUACAGCUUUCUGCUUUGUUCUAAGAACUAGGCAAGUGGUAUAUCUUCAAUCCAAUCAACGCAUAUACCACUUAUCUUCCUCUUCACUUUUGUCUAUUUUGAUUUCCACUUUAUAUCCUGCACUUGCUGCUUAGAAAUAGUCUUAGUCUGGACAUUGAAAGUAGAAAAAGUACUUGAAACAAUCAUUGGCACAGCCCGAGAUUCCAUUGAAUCGUGGACUCCAAGCUUUCAUAGUUCUAUAAAGAAAAUGACAUAACUUUAUACAACUGGCAUUCUGCUUUUAACAUUUGAUCAACCUGAGCGAGUUAGCAAGCCUCUUGUCGCGUUCCCAUUGAAUAGACCUACUUCUGUUAUCCACAGAAGAUCCACCACUCAAAAUGUUUAUCACCAGGCUAUUCUUAAACUGAGCCUAAACUGAGUAGAAAUUUCCGCACAUCUCUCAACAUUUACAUGAAGAAAUCGACAACUAUCCUCAUCUCUCAGCACAUCUCUCAGCAUUCUACAAAGUUGCAUUUCACUAAGCAAUCUAUCCUCUCCAUUCCUAGCAAAGUGACAUUGAUUCAUGUAUUUGUAAUCGCCUAACUUGGGUUUUGGGCAUAGCGUGGUCUUAAAAUUACCACCCAAUACUUUGUUCAGUGCCACUGGCAUCCACAAGCUCUAGCCCUGUUAGCUGAAUCAUAUUCAAUGGGAGAGUGAGGCAGCAUUUCACUAACAUAUUCAAUUUGACUACUUAUAUUGAUGCAAAUAUUAGAAUUUGAAAUCACUUCUUUUCUUGGAAUAUUAUAUUAAAAUGACCCCAAAUGAAAGUUCUUUAAUGGAAAUUAUUUUUAUUUAAUUUUCCAACAGAUUCAAGAAAACCCAGAGAACACAAAAUUUACACAGUAAUAUGAUUAAGAGCUGAGAACAUACAUGUAGUAAAUGUCUAUCAAAAAACACCCAAGUGUUUCUUUAAAAUUAGAAACUAGUAAACAAAAAGAAAGAAUCAUUUUACAUUUUUAGCAACUUUGGGGUGAGUGAGUGAGUGAGUGAGUGAGAAAUUGAAACCCUAAAGUGAUGACAACAGUAAGAUUCAGUAUGAAGUGAAACCCCAAUUUGAAAUGUAGGCAUGAGUUGCUGAGUCAGUAGAUGAAGCUAUAAAUAGGCAUUCGGUUUCCUUCUUUUCGGUUUGGAGGGCCAUGGAAUAGUGUAUUGGAGUGGGCUCCAAGUAAUAGCCUCUAUCACUGGAACGACACAUCUGUAAAACGUGAUACAUGGGGAAGGAUUGGGCAUUAUAUUCUUAGAUUAGCGCCUUAUUUAGGGUGUAUAUUAAGCAAAUUAUAUAUUACAUGGAGAUGGAGUUUAUGAAAUAGAUUAAAAAGAAAAGGAAAUUUCGGUGUCUAAAGUUUGCUACUUGGAAUAUUUCGGUGUCUAAAAAUUCACUCACCACUUAUUUCAUGUUUGAUUAUAUGUUGAAAAGAUAUUAAAAUAGUAUAAUGCUAUUAAGGCUUAACGUAUAUUUUUUAUUAGUAGAGUGUAGAAUUUUUAAGAAAUAAAUUAUUAAAUUAUUAUAACUAACAUAUUAUUUUAAAGUUGUGUUAUGAAAAAAAUGAAAUAAAAAUGUACAAUAAAUAAGAAUAUUUUAAAACUUUUAUCUUUUUAAAAUUAGUUUUUAACAUAAGGUGAACUAUUUUUUUUUUUAAAUCACAUAUUCUAGUUAAAAUCAAAUAUGUAUUUAUAUGAAGCUUGUAAAUUUUUUUUUUUAGUACUGAUAUUUGAAUAUUAUCAAUAAAAAAAAGGGUAAUGUUCAUGCUGCAUUAUUUUUGUAGCACACAAAAGGACAACAAAGUUUAUGUUAUAAUACUAUCGCUUCUGUUAUGAUAAUAUUUUUUUGUGGCCAAAUAUCUUUUUUUUUUUUAAGUAAAAAAAAGUGGACAAAAUGCAAAUCAGUUUUUAAUCCUCAAUCUCUCCCAAAAUAUAAAUUCGUAGGUCCAUGGGUUGUUAAAACUAUAGCCGACAAAAAGUUACUAACAAAAACAGAAUGUCCAUUUUAUAACUUUCUUAAAAAACUUUCCUUAACUUUUUUAAAAAGUUACCAACAAAAAGUUAUUUCUAAUUUUUAUUUUGUUAUAAUUUUUAUAACAAAAUUCGUAGUUAACUAAACUCUUCUUAUUCCCUUUCUCAACUGCCAUACCCUAACCCGAGCAAAUUGCGUAGGAUAUACCUGUUUUCCCUCAAAAUACUUAAAAUAUACCUCCAUAUAUUAAAAUUGCUAGCUUUACACAUUUAUACUUAAAAAGAUCAGGGAAAAUACAAAAAUAACCUUAAUAAAAAUACUCAACUUAUUAAUAUGCUUAAUCGACUCAUUUAAUAUUCUUACUCGACUUUUUACCGGACCAUACACUCGACUUAGUUAAUAUGCUUACUCGACUUAUUUAAUAUUCUUACUCGACUUCUUACCCGACCAUAUACUCGAUUUAUUUAAUAUGUUUACUCGACUCAUUUAAUAUUCUUACUCGACUUCUUACCCGACCAUAUACUCGACUUAUUUAAUAUGCUUACUCGACUCAUGUAAUAUUCUUACUCGACUUCUUAUCCGACCAUAUACUCAACUUAUUUAAUAUGCUUACUCGACUCAUUUAAUAUUCUUACUCGACUUCUUACCGGACCAUAUACUCAACUUAUUUAAUAUGCUUACUCGACUCAUUUAAUAUUCUUACUCGACUUCUUACCGGACCAUAUACUCGACUUAUGUAAUAUGCUUACUCGACCCAUGUAAUAUUCUUACUCGACUUCUUACCCGACCAUAUACUCAACUUAUUUAAUAUGCUUACUCGACUCAUUUAAUAUUCUUACUCGACUUCUUACCCGACCAUAUACUCGACUUCUUUAAUAUGCUUACUCGACUCAUUUAAUAUUCUUACUCGACUCAUUUAAUAUUCUUACUCGACUUCGUACCCGACCAUAUACUCGACUUCUUUAAUAUGCUUACUCGACUCAUUUAAUUUUCCUACUCGACUUCUUACCCGACCAUAUACUCGACUUAUUUAAUAUGCUUACUCGAUUCAUUUAAUAUUCUUACUCGACUUCUUACCCGACCAUAUACUCGACUUACUUAUCUCUAAUUCUUACUCGACUAAAUUCUCGAUUUACCCGACUUCUUCCUGCACUGAUUCUUCAAUCACUCAUAACUUAAAUGUAGUCUUAAAUCCCUACAUUGAAAUAGUGUGUGUGUGCAAGCACAAAAAAUGAAUAAUGUACUACUAAAAUUCAUAAAUCAUUAGGAAGUACACUUAUAAGAAAAAUAGAGAAUGGUGAGAGAAGCCCAAAAAAGAGAAGCAAUGGGAGAAGAGAGAUGUGAAUUCUUAGUUUUUUUAAGGUUAUUUUUGACUUGUCCUAUCUUCAUAAGGUAUAUGUGUGUAAUAGGGUACAAAUUUGGCAUUUAAGGGUAAAUUGAGGGUAUUUAAAUAAAAAACCCCCUAACCCUGUUCCCCAUGUCCCCACUAAACCACGCUCAAUUAAGGCCAUCAGAUUCUCCCGGGCCCACAUUAAUCCAACUGCUCACAGAGACCGACAGCCUCUCUAUCUCCAUUUCAAGCUCCCUCUUCAACUGGCUUCUGCUACCGUCCUACUCUUUCUCGGCUUCGGAGUCCGUAUUUGCUCGGCCUGUCCCACGAAGCUCCCUCUCACUCCAAUUGUCGCCCCACAAGACCAAUUGCUUAAUCAAGACACCGAACAAGAAGAGGAUGAGAAGUUGAAACAAGAAUUUGAGAAUUGGAAAUCAAAAACGUUUGAGAGUCGUUUCUCUUCAGAACUCAGCGCCUCAAUCUUGGGUUAAGGAUUUUAGAAGUCAGGGAAAGAGAUUGAAGUUUCAGAUGAAUUUGUGUGCUAGCAUUGAUGGGAUCUUUAACAAUUUAUCUGUGCCCUUUAACAAAGUUAAGUCUAAGUCAGCUUCUUAUAUGGCUGCUGAUUUGGUUAGUGUUGGUGAUUCAUGGCUUAGUUUUGCCAUUAAAAAUAGAUUGAUUGAGCCAAUAGCUGGAGCUGAAGACCAAGAUUGGUUCAAAUGCUUAAGUCACAAAUGGAAGGUAACAUCUUUGUCUUUGAUCCUCGAGGUAAAAUAUGGGCGGCACCAUACAGGUGGGGCACAACGGUGAUAGCCUGCAAGAAAAUUAAAUUUCGAAAGCAUAAUUUGGCUCCGAUUGAGGUAAUAAUUUUCUUUAAACUCAUUUAGUUUUAUAUCAAACAAAAUCAAGAAUGCCUUUCUCUUCAAUAUUUUUUAUGAUAAUAUCUUUAGAAGCAUCUCAUUGACGGGUAACAAUGGCAUCCCUGAAAGAGUCUAUAAACUCAAUGAUAUUAUCUUCUACAAAUGGUUCAUUAAACUUUGUCGUUGUACUCAAAUGUACACUCAGAGCAAUGAGAAGCUAUGCCACUUUAGCAUGUAGUGAUGGCACUUAAUAAGUGAGUUGCUAGGAUGUGAACUAGAAAAAUUAAAUAUUGUCUCCUUGGGUAUGCUAGCUCGUAAGUCAGGGUUAAUAUCAGAGCUUAAGAUAGUAUAACCGUGAGAACCUAUUGACUGCCAAUUAAAAUAUCCAUUAAAAUGUCUAGGGAGUUAUGAAGGUGGAGGUAACUUCCGAUUUCUAGGGCCACAUGGUAGACAUCAUCCAGGAUUCUAGGAAAGUGCAGUUAACUUCCUGCUCGAUGCAAUUAAUAAAUUUGGUCAAUGCCACUGAAACCUGCUAACUGACAUCACAAUGUGACAUGAGCACUUCAAAAUGGGACAGACGGUCAGUAGCACUAAUUUUUUCUUGGCUAGGAUUGAGCAAUUGGUCUAACUACUAAUCCCCUAUUGUAGGUUGAUCAUUAUUUUUUAAAUUAUGUUCAGUUUGACCCAAAAAGUUGCAGAAUCUUGAGCAGAAUUUUGUCACUGAACACUGUCAAUGUCAUUUAGCAUAGCCCACUAACUUGAUGUUAAAACAAACACACAGUGUGUCUCAUGUCUCACAAUUCAAAUUAUCAUCUGUAAUGAUGGAGAAUUUUUCCAAUGUAUGAAGUAUGCUUUGAUAUGUGGGUUACCUUGGAGAAGAUAUCUCAAAAUAAAGAAUAUGGGGAGAAAACAGUUCAGUAGUUUAUUAUUCUGUAGUCAAGUUUUGUCUCGAAAAUGGUCAAAAUUUAAAUGAAUAAGGACAGGGGAUCUUCAUUCUUUUUUCCCUUUUUUAUACCAAGAUAUCUCUCAACCUUUAUAUAAUCCCCACUGGAUAUCUGCUUCUAAUAAUUAAAAUAAAAAUUUCACCGCUCUAACAAUAAAAAGUAACAUCUUUAGUCAAAUAAUUUACAGUUCCUCAUCAUCUUAGUGUGAGACUAUCAGUACAUUCCAAAAACAUAAUAAAACUGGUUUGAUCCUGUUUAUUGAUGUUUAAAUGUUGUUCAUUGUGACAUGUAGAAAUGAUGAGGCGAAGUUUAUUUGGACAUCAAUUAGUAAGAUCUUGUUUGAAGUUGUUUUCUGAAAUUUCUGAAAUGAACUGCCAAAUGGUAGUUUUUUUGGGGCAUUUGAUGGCUCUUUUUUUUCCCUCAUUUUCAACAUGUGCCUGCUUGGAACAGGAAGGAUUAGGCUGCAGAGUUGUUAUAUAUUUUGAGAUGCUCUGGUCAUUGCACAAUUUGUUCACACUGGAAAUUAGAAUGAGAAAUUUGUUGAUGCUGUUUUGAGAGAUCUGCAUUCUAUGCACAAUAACAUGAUUAAUGAAAAUGCAUUGUAAGACUGGAAAGAUCUGUGGCAGCCUGAGCUCGCAGGAAGAAUUUCAAUGGUUAAUUCUCCCCGAGAGGUUAUUGGUUCAGUUUUGAAGUAUAGGGUAGCAUCAUACAAUUCAAAUGAUAUUGAUUCGCAAGUUGCUGGUGGGAAGAUUGCUGUUCAGCAGAAUCUGGCAUUACUGGCAAACCAGGUACUCUUACAGAAAUGAUAUCUGCUCAUUGCAUGUUAUUGCCUGACAACUGAUUUUGUUUGUAAAAGUCUGCUUCUUCAUACAGAUGAAUGCAUAUGUUAGUGUUUUCUUCUCCUUUUCAUACAUAUAAAUGCAUAUGUUAGUGUUGUCUUUUCUUUUUCAUACAUAUUAAUACAUAUGUUGGUGUUCUCUCCUGAGAUGGAUGCAAUAAAGGCUUUUGCUCCUAAAUUUAGCUGAAGAAAUGGCAAGGGAUGUGAGAUUCUGUCUCAUUAAAUUAACAAAAACCCAAAGCAAUGAAAAUCCAUAAUAAUGUGGUGUGGGUAAAUUGGCUCCAUUUGGUUUGUUUCCUUAAUGUGAAUGCGCGAGCAAUAGAGACUAACAAAAUGAAGUGACAACAAGAAGUCAGUGUCCUUUGAUGGAUGCAAUUUUAGGCAGAAAUCAGUGUCCUUUGAUGGAUGCAUUUUUAGGCAGAAAUAUGUUUGUAAUUGACCAAAUUUGUCUGGCAUGCCAAUUUCAAAAAAAUUAAAUUAUGUGGUUAUUAGCUGUAAUGAAGGAGGAUAGUAGGUGCAAUCAUGUGGAUCCAGGAAAGUUCGACAAAGUUUUGGUAUGGCGUAGUGAAAUUGGUUUGUGCAACUCAGGAGCCUUUCAGGUGAACGAUGAUAGGUUUUGAUUUAUGAAUAUUAUAAAUCUACUGUGCAUAGUAUUCUAGUAGAAUCAUCUACAAGUUCUAGUUAUUGAAAUUGUAUACUUUGCCCGGUUUGAGUUAAGGGCACAUGUAAUAUGAAAGAUAGUUGUCGCAUCUUUUAGGUUACCUAACAUUUGAUCAAUCCUAUUAUGGGGGCUUCAAGAUGUCUAACAAUAUGUAGAAUGCCCAUGCUCCUCCCCAUUGUUUAUCUUCUACAAUAAUUUGUUUUAAAUGCUAAUAUCUUUGUCGAUACCGGUAACAAUAUUACAAUAUCUGCAUUUAUUGGGUUUUACAUAGGUUCGACUGUUUGACAGUACACACUAUCUGAAGGCAUUUGCAAUUGGAGAUGUAUGGGUUGCUGUUGGGUGGAUUAGUGAUGUUCUUCCUACUGUCAAACAUAUGUCUAAUGUUGCUGUUGUUGUUCCCAAGUCUGGUGCUAGCUGCCUGCCAUUCUACUUCGAUAUUCACAUUGUUAUCUCCUUCAUAUUAGCGAUCAGUAAACACGAUAAUGUGGCUAAUAAGUUCGUAUUCUCUUUAUAGGCAAUCCCUGCUGCCUCAAGACUUGAAACAAAACAAAUUGGAGGGCGAGUCAGAGGUCCAUCUCCAUUAAUCCAUCAAUGAAUAGAAUUCUGCUUGCAAACAGCGAGAUUUUUGCCUUGCAAGCAAGAGGUUAUCCCGGGUGCAUCUCCCUCUGCCCUUGAAAGUACUCUGGUUAAGUUGCCUGAAGAACUUCUGGAGGGUAAACCAAGUCUGGAUACUAACUUAAUUGCUGGAGUACUCCCGGCUGAAAUUCUGGCCAGAUGUGAGUUUUUGGAGCCAUUAUCUGAAGCUACUUUGUCAGAUUAUGAGUGGCUGGUUGUUAAUCUGCAAAAACCUGCUCCUGUCUUGAUGAAAAGGGUGCAACAUUACUUGUCAUCAUUAAUCUAAAGCUUUCUAGCAAGAGCUACACUGAAAAGUUAAUGGCGCUGCAUGCCAGUCAUUAUAAUGCUGUCAGGGCAAUUGGGUCAGGGCAAUUAGGUCUGAGCAUAACUUCAUUAGGAAAAGAGGCUUCAGCUACGUUAAAUAUUACAGGAUGUACUGAGAUGGCUGAAGUUCUGAAGGUUUUAUGAGAAGCGAAAGAUGAGUGUUUGUUUGAACAAAGUUGUUGCCAAUCUUGCAGAGUUCGGAAAGAAAGAUCACGGAGCGAAUGCCACCGAUUUCUUCAUCAUUUUAGCCUCCAUAGUUGAAGUUUCCUCAUUUGAAGCUGUUUAUGCAUACGCUUUUUCCCUGCUCUAGUACAGGAAAUUGAAGAAUUAACCAGAUGUGAUAUGCUGAAAGAGGGAAGUUUUCUUCCUUGAAUGUGGCCUUUGUGAUUUGUCUUGAAGGAAUAGGAUGAUCACUGGCAAGAACCCUAUCAAGGUAGAUUUUAUGGUGUUAACAUAUUAUUAGGCAUUUUGUUACAUCAUGAAAGUGUUUAAAUUUAACCGAAUGAUCUUGAUUGAUCAAUUAUGAGUUUUAAUCGAGUAAAAACUAAAUACAAUAAUCGUUAACAAAUAUUGAAAUUGGGUAAAUAUGAUCUUGAUAUUGAAGAAUUUGAAAUCACAACCCACACAGGAAAUCACCCUUCGCGUGGGGAUGGAGAUGUUUACUGCAGCGAUAUUGAAUAUGUCCACUGCUCUUUGGGUUAUGGUGCGACUUGCGAUUUCAAGGUUGCCAUGAAACAAUGGAAAAGAUUAACAUACCCUCCAAUGAAUGAAAACGGGUGGACUAAUUCGGAUUACCUAAUUGACUCAGGAUCAAGAUCGGCUGGCAAUAAUAACAGUUUAUUAACAAUGCACAGUCCGAGUACCUUUCCAGGAUCAGAUACGACGUGGUCUAAUGUUGAUAAUAAUAGUUUAUUAAAUGACAAAUCGUUGUUCUUGGGUGUUGAUUUCAGAAAUAAAAUACAUUCUGAGAGAUGCUGGUCUACUAUUGCAAGCCCCCAGAUUUAAGAAUAUUUUGAUGAUAAUUUAUCACCGGCAACUGUGCCGGAAGAUUCAAGUAGCACUGAAAAAGAUGAUAAUUUAAUUGAUAUGGACAGUUUCCAUAUCACUUUUAAAUCAUCUUAUGUAAUUGUAAUGUUAGGAAGCAUUAGUGAUCUAAAAGUGAACUAUUAUUGGUGUCAUUGGUGGUUUUAUCUUGUUAAAAUAUGGAUGAUAUUUUAUUGUAGACAAUCUUAUUCAAUUAACAUAUGGUUUAAAACCAUUAUGUUUUAUAUAAAUCAAUCUACUAAUUUUCAUGAUAUUUAACUGAGUUAAAAUCAAGUGCACUCAAUAAAUGUCUUUUCCUUUAAAAAAACAGCUACGCUUUGAUUUUAGUGCUUAAUAUUUCGUAACUACAAAUUAUAUAAUUGCGAGUUGCUGUCCAUAGCUGCUAAUUUGUAGUGAUUAUCUAAUUGCCUGAGGUGACAAUAAUUCUUUUAUCUUCAAUAGCACAAUGUGGAAUUCAAUAAUUAAAUUCUCCUAUUUAAUUUGUUUCAAGUUAAAUUAUUAAUUACUUAAACUCUGUUUUAAGUCUUUAAUUUUAUGUGUUUAUGCAGAAUUGGAUUCUUGAGCGUGUUGGACAUGACCAACAAUGAAAUUGACAGUAAACAAACAUUACAACGUGUGGACUCCGGUAAGCACCAAUGAAUUUCUAGCCCUGUUGACUCCGCCAACUAAAGUUUUGUAAAAUAAAAAAAUAAUACAUAGAAUUCCACCAAAUGCAAAACGCGUGAAAUUUAAUUUUCGGCCGUGUGGACCAAAACAUAAUUUAACGAAAAAGGAAAAAAAUAAUAAGAUUUUUAAAAUGUGUGGAAGGUAAUCCAUAUUUUACUGAAACGACUUAUUAAAUUUUUCAAGGAUUUAGAAUAUUUGAUCAUAAAUUACGUGCAUGUUAAUUUUUCCGCCAUUGACUAUCAUAUUCUAGACUUAAUGGUACCUUUCUUGAUGAAGGGUACUUAGUCUCUCUUCUCCUCUUAUAAAAAUUAUAUUAAUUGAUUUCUUGUUAUAGUUAAUAGACUUUAAGAACGGAUAGAUUUAUUGUUUUCAUGACCAAAUUAUGCAUGCCUAAGGUUGCAACUAUUAAUAAAAUUAAUAUUUAAUGUUUAUGUUAAAAGAUAUAAGUUUUUAUGCAUUCAUUAAUUGUUAUUAGCUAAAGGAUGAAUUAUUUUUUCCCAAUCAGUUGAUGCAUCUGCAAUAGUUUUUUUUUUCUUUUAUUGACCAUAAUUAUAUUCCGGGUGCAAUAAAUUGUCUUUGGUGCUUGGAAAAUAUGACAUCUCUCCGUCAACUUACUGGAAAUAUCUCCUCAUCUACUCGCAUUUAUCUAAUAUCAAUUGAAGAUCUCAUAUUUCCAAACUAUGACUUCCAAAUCUCAUUAUCAUUUGAGCAUUCAAAACUAAUCAAGUGUGGAAAUAAUCAAAUAUAUGCAAAAAUCGAGUCACAAUCUUUGGCCCCUCAAAAUUCUAAUUAUAUAACUUCUAUAUAUCUCAUACAUUUUCCAAAUUCCUCUUCCAUCAACAUCACUAGGAGUAUGUUCAUCUCUCACACAUUAACUUGAGUGAAGAGUUUCUAAAUUGAUUGUUAGAAAAUAAUACAAAAGCUAGACACGCUUGAUCUGUCUAAUAAUUCUCUUUCUGUAAAAUUAAUUAAUUUUAGGGGAAUUUAGCCAACCUCUGUAAUUUCAGAGUGAUCAUUAAUUAAUUAAACAAUACAAAUAUCUAAAGUGAUUAGAUGUUUGCUGACAAUACAAGUUCAUGGCUUGAAAUUUGAUCUCUAUCGAUUGACUUACAGAUGGACGUACUUGUGCCUUUCUGGUGAUAAUUGAACCAGAGAUGUGAAGCUGUAAGGAUUUGGCAGUAGUAAAUUGUUAUAAAGACAUAAUGACAAAUUCCCAUGAUUAUUAUUUUUUCCAAAAACUUUUUUACAACAAAUUCAUCUCGCCAAAAAUUUUAUUUUGCUAACUAACAAUAAUUGAGCACUUGACCGCAUUGACUCCACGUCUCCACCUACUUUCUAAGUAAAAACAUGGAAAUGUAAUCUCUACAAAAUGCCAAACGUGUGGAAUUUAAUUUUUGGCCUUGUGGACCAAAAUGCAAAUGAAAGAAAAAGAGAGAAAAAAACAAGGCCCAAAGACUUCUAAAAGAUGUAAAAGCUUUGGGCUUUUUUAUAAUGGUGGAUUUUUUAAAAGGAAAAAAUAACAACACUUCUAUGGUUUGUUUUGAUAAUCACAUUUACAUAUACUCUCUAAUUUUCAAAAUAGACACAUAAAUAUUUUUUUUCUACAAAUGUAUAUUAUUCAUAUUUUUUUAUUAUUUUUAAUAUCAUAUUAUUAUUUAUUAUAAAUGUUUAAAGUAAAUUUUUAGGUUGAAAUAUAAUAAAAGGGGAUAAUCGUUCUCCUAUUAAACACCCAUACUUUUAGUUUCUAUCCAUUUGUCAUCUCAAUCUCUCUCGAUUAUUCAUUCUUUCUAGCUCAAAACGCGUUGCUGUGGAAAAUUAUAGCAAAAAGACAAAUAUGGAAAAGAAAAAAGGGAAGAAAAUUAAUGCAUGAAAGACUUGGAGAAAACAACGAAGUAAGUCAACUAUAAUCUAGUUAGGUAUAUAAAUUGUUUGAUGCUUUAUAAGCAAAUAACAUAUAGAGACAGACAGUGUGUGUUCGUUUUUUCAUAGUUAAAGAUAUAGUUAGAAUGGGUGGUUCAAAAUCAAAAAUGGUGAUAAUGUUUGUUAUGUUAUUAAUAAUAUUUAAAAGUGGGUGGAGUGAGGGAUGUUUGGAUCACGAGAGAUUUGCUCUUUUGCGACUUAAACAUUUCUUCGAUGAUACUGGUAGUUAUCUUUACGACUGGGCCGAUGAUGAGGGAGCUACUGAUUGUUGUCAGUGGGAAAGGGUUGAGUGCAGCAACACCACAGGUCGAGUGACAGCGCUAGACCUUUCUGACACGUAUUCGGGAGAGUACGGCUGGUAUCUGAAUGCUUCUUUGUUUACUUCCUUUCAACAACUUGAGUCACUUGAUUUUAGUUUAAACAAAAUAGCCGGUUGUGAUGAGAAUGAAGGUACUUCGUUUAAUUUAAUUAAUUUACUUUCACUCUCCUAAUUUAAGUGGAAUAUUAAGACUGAGCAACUAUAUGCAUAUACAUUAGUUGACAAUUUUGACAUAUUUUUUGAAGUGAUUAAUUAAUUUUGAAAUUACACCAAUAUCUAUGAUCUUUUUUUUUUUUUUAAUUUUGCUUGCAGGUCUAGAGAGGUUAUCAAGAUUGAACAAUUUAAAGAUGCUUAAUUUAAGUUAUAACUGGUUCAACAAUAGUAUCUUAUCAUCUUUAACUCGUCUUUCAUCAUUAAGAUCAUUAAAAUUAUAUGCGAAUAAUUUGGAAGGAAGUAUUGAUGUUAAAGGUACAUAUUUAAAACUUCUCUCUUCCCCAAGCUCUUUCAUUAACCUGCUAAAAUAAGAUUCAAGGCUUUGAAUUCAAUUUUUUUAUGAUUAAUAUUUUAAAAAAAAGUUUUAAGCAAUUUAUAAAUACAAGUUUUAAUGUUUCUCAUAAUUUCAUCUUGUACUUUCAUAUGUCUUGAAUUUAAGAUUAAAAAAAAAACUCUAAUAGCGAACCAAACACCUCCACAACUUAUUAUUAUUAUUUUUUAAUUUGUGGUGAGGUUUGAAACAUUCAAGUCAAUUUGUACUUAUUACAGAAUUUGAUUCUUUGAGAGAUUUAGAGGAGCUAGACAUUGGAUGGAACAUGAUUGACAAAUUUGUGGUCUCAAAAGGUACUACAAAUACCAUAAAAAAAUGCCAACUUUUACAAAUAAGCUGGAUUCUUUGCCAUUUGGUUUAUUAUUUUACAGGUUUGAGUAAGUUGAAGUCUCUCGGUUUAGCUGGUAUCAAACUCAACCGUAGCAUCUUAUCUUCUCUGACUGUCUUUUCUUCGUUAAGAGAAUUACAUCUACGUGAUACCGGAUUCAAAGGAACAUUCGAUGUUCGAGGUAAGUCUAAGCCUUGCUUUCUCAUUUUAUAUAUGCCAGCUAGAUUUGUGUAUCAUUGACAUAAUUUAAUAUUUAAUUUGAUUCGUCUGAAGGAAUUACAUGCUAAUUUAAACAUACUUUUAUUUACUUUGUCAAUUAAUUAAUUAAUUAAUUACUAUUUGGCUUGGUUUGGAUGAAAUUCUCAUGAUGUUUUAAUUUCUUUAAAUUAAUUAAUUAAUUAACUUUGUUUUUAAGUCUUAAGUCUGGGCAUGUUUGCAGAAUUUGAUUCCUUCAAUAACUUAGAAGUGUUGGACCUGAGUUGGAACGAAAUCGACAAUCUUGUGGUUCCUCAAGGUAAACAAUUAAAAUGUUAUUUAAUUACAUUAUUUUAAUUCAUUUGAUCUGGGAAGGCCAAAAAGGUAAAAAAAAAAUUAAAUAAAGAAACAGAGAAUUUGUAUUAUUUAAAAAACAGAAUGUAAUAAAGAUUUGAUUCUAGUUCUUUAAUCUUUAAAGCGAUUGAAAAACAAUGUUGCUCUUUUCCCAAAGCAUAAAAUACGAAUUGAAUGCCGAUUAACUUAAUCAUUCAUUUUGUUUAGCUCUAAAUUUAGACAAUGAAUUUUUAUAUUAUUUCAAAAACAGGACGUAAUAGAAUUUUUUUUAAAAACAGAUUGUAAUAAAGAUUUGAUUCCAAUUCUUUAAUCUUUACAGUGAUUGAAAAACGAUACUGCUUCCCAAAGCACAAAAUACGAAUUGACUCCCAAUUAAAUUAAUAAUUUAUUUCGUUUAGGUCUAAAUUUAGAAAAAUGAAUUUUGAUUCUCUUCAAUCCUUUCCUAAUUAUUAUUAAUAAACAGGUUACAAAGGUUUGAGGAAGUUGAAAAGCCUUGAUCUAUCGGGAGUUGGAAUUAGAGAUGGAAGCAAGUUGUUACAGUCAAUGGGAUCAUUCCCAUCCCUCAACACUCUUCACCUUUUGUUGAAUAAUUUUAACAAUAUAGCGACAGCUACUCAAGGUAAGUAAAAGUUGGAGAUGUGACCAAAUUUAUAAAUAAGCUGUUAAUUAAUUAAUUAAUUAAUUUUUCCGUAUUAUUAAUUAAGCUAAAUUCCUUGCUCCUUCCUUCUAAAUCUAAACAGAGUUGCACACUUUCACCAACUUGGAAUAUUUGACAUUGGACCAUUCCUCCCUCCAUAUAAGCCUUCUGCAAAGCAUUGCGUCAAUAUUCCCUUCGUUAAAAGAUUUGUCGAUGUUUGAUUGCAAAGUCAACGGUCUUGUACGCGGUCAAGGUAAAAGAAAAGUGUCGAUUGUGAACUCACUCAGUGUUGUCCUACGUGUUCAACAUUUUUAUUUAUUUAUUUUAUUGUUUAAUGUUUCUGCUAGGUUUUCCUCAUUUCAAGAGUUUGGACCAUUUGGACAUGGUUUUCGCGCGCACUGCACUCAACACCAGCUUUCUUCAAAUCAUCCGUGAAUCAAUGCCUUCUCUUAAGUACUUAUCAAUGUCAGAUUCUACUCUUGGCACUAACAGCAGCAGGAUUCUUGAUCAAGGUUAAUAAUAUAAAUAUUUAAUUACACAAACGAAUCACUUAUUAUAAAAGAAUAAUACGCAUUCAUUAAUUUUUAUGUUGUAUUAAUUGAUGAAUUUAAUAAAAUUUCAGGCCUCUGUUCGUUGAUGCAUCUGCAAGAGUUGUACAUCGAUAAUAAUGAUUUGAGAGGUAGCUUGCCUUGGUGCUUGGCAAAUAUGACAUCCCUCCGAAUAUUAGAUGUUUCUUCCAAUCAACUUACUGGAAGCAUCUCCUCAUCUCCCCUCGUUCAUUUGACAUCCAUUGAAGAACUGAUGCUUUCAAACAAUCACUUCCAGAUCCCAAUUUCACUUGAACCACUUUUCAAUCACUCAAGACUCAAGAUUUUCGAUGCUGCGAACAACGAAAUAAAAGCUGAAAUAACUGAGUCACAUUCUUUGACCGCCCCAAACUUCCAAUUACAAGCUCUCUCAUUGUCUUCCGGUUAUGGAGAUGGUGUCACAUUCCCCAAAUUCCUUUACCAUCAACAUGACCUGGAGGAUGUUCGUCUCUCACACGUAAAUAUGGAUGGAGAAUUUCCAAACUGGUUGUUGGAAAACAACACAAAAUUGAGACAACUUUAUCUCGUCAAUGAUUCUCUUACAGGACCUUUCCGAUUGCCAAUCCAUUCACACAGAUGGUUAAGAUUCUUGGAUGUCUCCAACAACAACUUCCAAGGCCACAUUCCAGUGGAAAUUGGAGAUAUUUUACCAAGUUUAAUAUCCUUCAACAUUUCAAUGAAUGCUUUAGAUAGUAGCAUUCCCUCUUCAUUUGGUAAUAUGAAAUUCCUCCAAAUUCUGGACUUAUCCAACAAUCACUUGACUGGUGAAAUCCCCGAGCACUUGGCCGUGGGUUGCGUCAACUUGCAGGCUCUUGCAUUAUCAAACAACAACUUAAAAGGUCAUAUGUUCUCCAGAAACUUUAACCUGACAAACUUGAGAUCAUUACAAUUGGAAGGCAAUCACUCGUAGGUGAGAUCCCACAAAGUUUGUCUAAAUGCUCCUCACUAGAAGGAUUGUAUAUUAACAAUAAUAGUCUUUCGGGUAAGAUUCCACGAUGGUUGGGUAAUCUCACAUGGUUACAAUAUAUUAUAAUGCCCAAUAAUCAUCUUGAAGGCCUUAUUCCAGUGGAGUUUUGUCAGCUUGAUUCGCUUCAGAUUUUGGACAUUUCAGACAACAACAUAUCUGGAAGUUUACCAUCUUGUUUCCAUCCUCUCUCUAUUGAACAAGUUCAUCUUUCAAAAAAUAUGUUACAUGGACAGCUAAAAAGAGGUACAUUCUUUCAUUGCUCUUCCCUGGUGACAUUAGAUCUCAGCUAUAACCGUUUGAAUGGCAGCAUUCCGAAUUGGGUUGAUGGGCUUUCUUAGUUAAGCCACCUUAUCUUAGGUCACAAUAAUCUUGAAGGUGAAGUGCCAGUUCAAUUGUGCGAACUGAACCGAUUGCAAUUGUUAGAUCUUUCUAAUAAUAAUCUUCACGGUCCUAUUCCUCCUUGCUUUGAUAACACCACACUUCAUGAAAGUUACAGCAAUAGUUAUAGUCUUGAUGAGCAAUUUGAAAUAUUUGUUUCCAUCGAAGGCUCUUGGGGAUCGGUAGAAAAGUAAAUCCAUGAAAUUUUUGAGUUCACAAUAAAGAACAUUGCGUACAUUUACCAAGGAAAAGUUCUUAGCCUCCUAUCAGGACUUGAUCUUUCUUGCAACAAGCUAAUCGGUCAUAUUCCUCCUCAAAUUGGAAAUUUGACAAGGAUUCAAACAUUGAAUCUAUCACACAACAACUUGACAGGAUUGAUCCCAUCAACAUUUUCAAACUUGAAGCAUAUCGAAAGUUUGGAUCUUUCCUACAACAAAUUGAAUGGGAAAAUCCCUCAUCAACUUGUGGAGUUAAAGACAUUGGAGGUUUUCAGUGUGGCAUACAAUAACUUAUCAGGCGAAAUUCCAGAAUGGACAGCACAAUUUGCAACCUUCAAUGAGAGUAGCUAUGAGGGAAAUACUUUUCUUUGUGGAUUGCCAUUGCCAAUUUGUAGAUCACCAGCAACUAUGUCGGAGGCUUCAAUUGGCAAUGAACGAGAUGAUAAUUUAAUUGACAUAGACAGUUUCUUUAUCACAUUUACAACAUCGUACGUAGUUGUGAUAUUCGGAAUUGUUAUUGUUUUAUAUGUAAAUUCUUAUUGGCGACGUAAAUGGUUUUACUUUGUUGAAAUGUGGAUAACUUCAUGUUACUAUUUUGUUGUAGACAAUCUUAUUCCAACAAGAUUUUGUCAUUAAAAUUAAUUAGUAGUUUAAUUACGAUUCUUUAAGUUCUAAUCAAGUUUGCUUAGGAAAUAAAUUUAUUUUUAUUUUUUAUUAAAAUUGUAGUAGUAUUUAGCGUUACAUAGCUUCCAACUUCCAAGCACUUCACAUUUGUCUCUACACUUCCAAACCCAUAUCUAUCCACCAUAACUUAUACUUCCCUAUACUGUGCAGCCUACUUAAAUAAGAGAACCAUCUCCAAUGUUAAAACCAGCCACUCUAUAACAUUCAUUUAGAAACUAUAUUUAGAAUAGUUUUAUUAUCAUACACAAGAAAUGAAACACCUAGAUGCACUUGAUCGCCUAUUUUACUUUAAAAAACAAUAAUUAUCGUGCUAUCAUCAUCUUCUUCACUAGCAACAUUAACACCAAAUCCAGCGAUGGACCCAGACAUUUAAUCAAGAAAGGUAUAUAUAUAACAAAGUUGAAGCUUGACAAAAAAUUCAGGAAGAUUAAUGCCUCGGUAUAUAUAUAUAAUAAAGUUGAAGCUUGACAAAAAAUUCAGGAAGAUUAAUGCCUCGCCACAACAAGGGGCACAACAACAUCAAAGUAGAGAUGAAGCAAUAUUCUCAAAGCUAAAACUCUCAAAUCCACCCACCAGAAUUUCAUAUCUCCUCGACAAUUUUAAGAACUAAAGAUAAUUAGGAUUUAACAUUAGUUUUUUAUAUAUUAGUUUCAUAAUUUACAAAUCAAUGAAGAUGAAGAUUAUGCUAAUGAAUUCAAAUUAUACCAUACAUUCUAUAGAUGUUACCAAAAAUUUCUAAGUCAAUCCCACAUAUUUCAUAAUUUUAAGACUAGAAAAUUUCAUUAGUUAGAAGUUUCAUUACCUUCAAGUGGAAGAUGAAGAACAUUAUACAAGUGAUUCAGAUUAUAUCAUACAUACUCCAAAUGCAACUAGAAAUUAACAAGUUCAUGCGCACAGAUUUCAUAACAUUAUGAUUGGAAAGUUUCACAAAGAGAAAUUCUAAAUUCAAUCUCUUGCAUCAAGGUAGUUUGAUUGAUUUGAGUUACUUUCUGAUCAAGCUACUAAUAUAACAUUCAAGUUAGGGAGAAAGUAAAUUAAAACUGGGAAGAAAUAACAGUAAAAAUUUGUUGCUAAACAUGAUGUGUAUUUUUUUUAAGGCAAUUUGGAAACACAGUUGUUACUACAGAUAUUCUCCUCAACUUGGAGACAAAUACAAAUAUUAAAAUGCAUAUGAUCGCACAUACUACUUGGAGCUUAGUAAGAUUUCAUUAAAAGAAGCAAUCAAACCACUUAUCAAUUGUCGCAAUCGUUCUAUAAACUAAAAUAGCAAUAUAAUACAAGAAAAAGAACAUAUAGAUACUCGGCAAGAGUUCAUUAAGAAGUCGCAUCACAUUAGGGUGAGGAGUUUGCUUCUGAUAUCUUGCUAGCUGGGGCUUUUUCUUGUCUUUCUACGUAUGCCGAGGGAAACCAACCAGCUAGGCCCUUGCAUUCACCUUCCGACCAUCCAGUAGGAGCCACCUUGAGAAGUUAUAACUAAAACGGUGAAUUAAAAAAAAGUUGACAAUUCAAAGACCUAAGGGGAAAACUAAUUCUUUUACGUAGAGGAAGUGAACUAGUUGUGAUCACUGAAAUAAAAAAAUAACUAUGGAAGCAUAACAAGAUAUAAAUUCACAUGUCUAUAAGGGUAAACAGGGUGGUUUAGAACUGAGCUAGCAACCCUACUAUAUUCUGAUUUGCACUUCAAUGUAAAAGGGAAUAUAUGGUAGGAAGAAAAAAAACCAACCAUCAUUUGUUAACUUAUUGCUUUUCAAUCAAAAUUUUAAGAACAAAAUGCCAUGUGCUUUGAACAUCAAAUAAGUAUAAGCAUUAGUUCUAAAUUCCACAUAUUAUAAGUUGUUAGAAGGAUAAGUUAAUAGCAUAGUAGAAAAAUCUAUGUGUUGGUAUUUAGAGGGGAAAGUACCUGGCGAACCACAACAUAAUCAUCAAUUGAAAGACUUAGCUCUCCAUUUGCUUGAUCAUCAAAUGGAUGUAUAACCUGCAAGAUAAUGGGAUAAAUAGAACUUAAAAAAAGCAUAACAAAAGCAGCAACAGCAGCAGCAGCAUUCAUUGUAACCACUAUGAUCAUGGCCAACAAAGAUAUAUUAGAAACAAAAUUCCAUUUUUACUACGACUUUAAUAUGUACUAUACGAUAUCAUGACGAUUGGGUUAUCAAGUGCUAUCAAAGUCUAAUAAGUUCUGUAUAACUUUAUAUAGUUAUUUUAAUUAUGGAUCAAAUUUUAAAUUUGAAAUUUUGACUGCUCUCCACAAAAUAUGGCCUAUGCACAAGAAAGUCAUAGAUAAUGAGGAUUACAAGUGUCCGACAUCUUUUGAGUGAUGGAUUUAACAUGAGAGCUUAUGGUCAGUCAAUUUCCUCUGCCUAGCAAUAUAAGCUUUCUCGGCCAGAUUUAUCAUCAAAUACAUAGAUUGCCCCCAAGUCACAUCCAUAUAAACAUAGUUUUCUAGGUAAACCAAGUAAGGAGAAUCAUAAUUUAGACAUAAUCAUAAAAAGGCCCAUCUAACUUAAGAGAAAAUCUCAAAAAGAGGGAUGUUGAGCUAUCAGUCUUGUAUCUAUAAGCAAUAUCAAGACUUUACAUCACCUGCUACAUCGUGAGUGGCUACACAACUUUCAGUGGUUUGUCUUUCUUUGGCAUGCCUAACUCAGCUUUGAUGUUGCUGAGAUAUUGAUAGUAGAGACACAUGAUACUUCUAGCUCAUGCAUUUUAUCUAGCUCAUCCGACAACUAUUUCUUUUUUAAUUCAUUAGUGUUUGCUAAACCUCAUGCUCAAAAGUCCUGUUCUCCUAAACAAAGUUUCCUAAGAAUGACUUCCUCAACACAACAUUUGGACACUUUUAGAGCAAUUUUAUUUGGAGGAAAAGAAUUUUCAAGGUGUUAACUAAUAAAUUUUAAAAUAUAAUUACAAUUUGUCCUACGAUCAUAUGACAAUUUAUUUGGGAUGAAAGGAUACAGACAGACAUCUUCCACUUUCAAGACUAAUCACUACUUCCGUAGAUGUUGUGCAAUGAUACAAAUACUUGACCAGAUGGUAGUGAUGGUAGAAAAAAAUUUAUUGCUCCAAAAUUAAAAUAAGAAUGCAAUAUGUUAAGCAAAAGACUGUGCAACAUCAAAUUAAUUGAUGAGUUUGUAAUUCAGUAAAUUAACAACUUUCAUGGUAAAAUACAACAAGUUUCUUUUAAAAAAAAUAAAUCUUAAAAGACAGCAUUCAUUUUUGUGCGCAUGUUAUUUCUUAAGAUUUUUCAGGAGGAGGGCAAUAGAGGGACUUUCACCUAUGCAAGAGAGCAGAAGCCUUACUUUUGCUAUAAAGUAGACGUCAUUCUGAUUAAUAUGCGUUUGAAUCAGCUCCGUUUGCUAUAAAGUAGACGUCACACAUGAGGCAUUUACAUCCAUUUCCAAAGUCACAUGUUGCGAGGAGGACUCAUUUGAUUGCUCCUCUAGGAUCAUCUAAUGCAAGUAGUAAGGGUUGGAAGAAAAUAAAAAGUCACAAUUAUUCUUUUGCGUAAGUGAGACGAAAAUGAUAAAUGCAAUAUUAUCAGCAGUAAACAAGAAGAGAACGCUCCAAGGAAUAGAUAGAUGCAGACAAGCAAGUUAAAAUGCAUAGUCCCAAACCUCCGCAUACAACUUCUCUAAAAUAGCAAUAACGUGUUGAUGAUAUGUUUUCUCAGCAUCUACCUGCAAAGGCCCGAGACCAGGAAAACGGCAAUAAAACCACUAGCUAAAGGAGAAAGUAAAGAAAGAAAUACACUUGACAUAAAUCUUGACAAGAAGCACAGUUUAAACCCCAAUCAUAUUGUUUAGAACUACCAUUCGUUAUUGUAACAUUUCGAACAAGUGUUGACUUAAUUCAACAUUGUUGGAAAGAUAGGCUUUUAAAAGCGGAAGAAAGCCACUCAAACCAAAGUGAUUGUCCUUGUAUUGAUCAAGGGAUGUAAACAUAUUACAUUUGCAGGAUAAGUUUUAAUUAAUCACUCCCCUGAUUUAUUUGGGUUGCAGUUUAAUUUGUGAAUUUCGUUAUUGUAACAUUUCGAACAAGUGUUGACUUAAUUCAACAUUGAAAAAUUAUUCAAUAAAUUAUGCAAACAUUAAAAUAGAGGACAUAUUAAAAAGUUUCUAAUUACAAUGUUAAUAUUUCCUAUAUUUUAGCAUUUGCAUAUUUUAAUUUAUUUAAAAGCUACGUCGAUCAACUUUGGGCGUGAAGAUUUUAGCUUCUACGAGACUUGAUUGGAAUAUGCAUAAGGAAGAGUGUUAAAAUAUGAUGCAUCCAACGAAAGACAAACCACGUGUAGUCUUUUAAUUAAGCCAAAGUAGCAGCUCAAACAAAUGACACUUGGACCAACAUGCAAUCAUGAAGUGGCCGGAAAAAGGACAAAUGCAACUUUGGCUUAAAUAAAAAAUAACAUGUGACUUGACUUUUGCUGGACAUGCAUCAUGUUAUUACAAGACAACAGAAAUCAGUAUGAUAGUACUAAAAGUUGACAAUAACAUGAAGAUAAGAGGCAGAAUAUCAACACAUGCAUAGGCACACACAAGGAAGUAUUAACUUAUAUACCAUAGCAAAAAGUCUUUGAUAUGUCAUCUGUUGCUGCUGUGAUUCAACUGACAGCAUGGCAGUUGUCGCUUCUCUACCAAGAGCCAUUAUUGUAGAUUUAAGCUCGGUCAAUCUUGCUUCUGCAUUUCGAAGCUUCACAGCACUCUCUGCUGAUAUAUCAGAUUCCCUAAUCUUUGAUCGGCGCCUAAAUACUUCAGCUGCCUGGUGAAAAUAUUCAAUAUAAAUCUAACAUAAUUCUAAUCUUGCCUUAUACAUGCAUAUGUUAACUCAAAGCUUACCUGGGCUUCAACUUCAUGUCGAAGUUUGUCAUAACGAUGAGUCAGGUGUCGAGCAUCUUCCAAAGGUGCUCCGUUGAUUAACGCCCGUAGUGGCUCAGAUACCUACAUGUCCAAAAACCUGUAACAUAGUUAGAAAAAUGAAAAGAAAGAGCGAAACCUCAAUUAAAAAGUUCCUCCAACAUAAUCAUGGAAUUUGGGCCUACUUCAAGGACAUAUAUAAGGAUAAUUUAUGCAAUUUUGGGUCUUAGGAUGAUUGGCAUUAGGUUAGUGUUCUUCUCUUCUGUAUUUAAGGUUAAAAUAGAAAUAAACCUAUGAAAAUAUCUAAAUUAGGGCUGUAAGACUUCCACAUGCAUCCUUCAGUCUCAUGGAUUUGAUUUUACUAUAGAUGCAAGUGUCUUUAUCGAAAAUGCUUGGAGUCAAUUGAGAGAACUCACGGCCAAUAACUUGUCACACGCUAGUCUUUGCUAGUGAUGUAAGAAGUCACAAGGUCUCUUCAACAUUUGAACCCAUAAAAUUAUUAAGUCAUGGAUGUCACUAGCAAUGAUUUUAAUAUAAAACAUUAAAUAUUUCAGAGUUGUAACGUUAAAAUUCUUUUAUUCAAUAUCUUAGAACUAAGUUUCCUUAUGAGAAGAUAAUAGUUUCAGUAGUAAUUUACAUAUAAUUUUCUAUAUUUGAAUUAUUUUCUAGUUAGGGAUGAACUAACCUGAUCACCAAGAAUCCCAAGCAAAGUUUCCCUCUCAUUUUCCAUCAAAUCAUGUGAAGUGCCAAAUUGAAGAGCAGCUCUUGCAACGCAAGAAUUGUCACUUUGAUUCUCCGCUCCAUACUUGCAACAAUCUUCAGCCAACUUUCUCGCUACAAUAUUUGAAUACAAAAAUAUUGUGCACAAGAACUAGUCAAGAAAAAAAAAAUCAAAUAUUAUAACGAAUGCAAGAGCAAACAAACAACCUAUUUCCAUUUGUUUCAAGCUUACUGCAACAAGCCCUUCAAUGCCACGAACAAUAUUCCUCUGAAAAUGCUGCGCUACAGAGCAUAUAUUCCAAAUUAUUGUUCAGAUAAAACCAUAGAAACCAUCAUAAUUAUUCAACAUACAUUAAGCUCCGUUUGGUAAAUACUUGCAACUUCAGUCUAGAGAAUACAGUUCUAUAUAUGUAGCAGUCUAAAGGAGGAUGGUGCCUUAGCUGCCCUGGUGGAAUUGUAUAGAUUUUGAAGUUGUUGGUGACACUCAAUUUCAGCUUCAUCAACUGCCUGUACAAAUCAUAAAAAACUAAUGAAAAAAAUAAAUAAAAUCGAGAAAUUUCACUAAUUAAAAGUCUAAAUAUAAUUUUAAAAAAGAAAGAAACGCACUUGGUGCUGCUUGGCGACUUGUUCUCGGAGCUUGAUUGCCUGUUUCUUGAUAGCUUCCAUACUGUUUCUUUCAAAAAGCGGCGACGGCUCAGCUCAUGGAAGUUGGGGAAAAAAAAAAGUGUGAUCAAGAAAAUAAAAAGGCAUAUUAUUGUUGACAAAAUGUGAAAAUAAAAAAGAAAAAAGAAAAUUAUAAGUUUGAAAGGAGAAGAUGAUAGUGGAAGAGUGCGGCGUGGCUGCCAGCUACUUGGAUUGUAUUGUCGGGUAAGGUAAUUGUAGAAAAUUAUAAGUUUGAACAGAGCAUGUUAGACUUUUGUUGACCAAAUUCAAAAGGCAAAUGGUACGGCCCAGAAGCUUUGGAAUACAGUAACUUACAAGAAAGCUCCAUUUAUUCUUCUUAUACUUUACGCUUGCAUCAGCUUAAAUCACUUCUUAAUCGCUUGCUUUAACUGCGCCGCUUUGUACUGUUCUAUAUAUGUAGCAGUUAUGCGGAUGUAGUUCACGGCUGAGGGUACGUGUUUGUUUGACGUGGUAGUUACGUUACGACGUUACGAGAGUAUUAUUAGUUAUUUCACAGGGAUAAAUAAGAUUAGUCACAAUAAACCCACUAGUUUUAUAAAAUUCGAGUAAUAUAGAAUAAAAUAAAAAAUGAAUACAAAAUUGACUUUUAUUUUUUAUGGUUGACUAUAUUUUGUGUUCUCUUCUGGUACUACUACAAUUGUUCCCUGUAUAUCACUCAUACCCAUAUAUCAUUGACACAAGAAAUGAAAUCUAAUGUCAGAUGUUUAGUUAAAGAAUCACUUAUGAAAAAAUUUUACCAUUUUGAUUUGAGGAUCCCUAUUUUGAACUGCAAGCUAAUGUUCAUCAAGAACAGAGUAUGGCAGUUGAGUAGAAAAACUAUUUUUGGACAAAUUGUUUUUAUUGAUAGAAGAAUUUCUCAAGGGACUACUAAAAUUAUUAAAAAAAAAUGUCAAACACGCCCAUAUAUCAUCAACACAAUUGGUUUUGAGAAUCCAUACUUUAAACUGCCGCCUAAUAUUCAUCAAGAGCAGAGCAUGGCUUGUGAGUAGAAAAUUUUCUGAUUUUGGCCCCAAAUAAUCCAGCACUUUCUCAUGAAGAAAUGCAUACAAAGCAUACCAUGGUACCAUACAAUACAAGGAGUCUCCGUUCUCUAGUUUUUCAAACUCUAAAGGGGCCAAUACUCCCUAAUUCCCCCUCGAAAAUUCUGAUUAUGACAUUAUUCAUCCCUCGAUGCAAUCAAAGUAGUGACAAAGUUAGGAAAAAUAUGAGUCCUAAGUAAUUGCUAGGCAGGGCUCCUGUGAGCAAAAUUGUCCUAAGCAUUAUAUGCAUACAUGGUGUGGUACAUAAAGCACAAUGAAUUCCACACUAUAACACAAACCCAGAAAGAGAAGAAACAACUUAAUUGAUGUAAAGACAAAAAGAAGAUAAAAUGAUAUAGAAAAAAAAAUUCAAAGAGAUAGCAACAUACUAUAGACUGAAGCCACUUGAUCUGCUCAUUGAUUGCAGCCUUAAACUUGCAAAUAGUUACCGUAAGCUAGUGCUAUAAGAAGUGAAAAUGAUGCACACCCUGAUUCCCUUCGACUUCCAUUUACUGUCAAACAUUCUAUUAAUACAAAAAAAUUGUUCAAAUAUCUUGCCAUAAAUAUAGCCGUUUGACUGGCUUAAUAAAGUCACAAAUAACCAUUCAUAUUGAUCCACAGUGUCACACCGCCUGCUUUAUGCAUACAACAGCUGUAUGUAUACCAACUCCUAACCUUAUCAAUACAUUUGGCAAAAACUUAAGAAGAAAACUAUUUCUCCAUCUCUUUUUUGAAAUUUCACAAUAAACCAGCAUAUUGUAAACGUUAUGUUGUAACCUUAUGAUAAAUGCUCUAGACUCCAAAUGAAUUUUAUAUAUGAGGGUUUGUUGCAGCAGAUAUAUUGACUUAUCAAGUAUGAAUCAUUGUCUAGAAGAACUAUCUUUAGAUAAAAGAAUAUUAGAACCAUUCUAGAAUAUCUUUAGGUUGCUAGUUCUAACAGGAAUCUGCAUGUGGCAACAGUUGCCAGAUCCACAAUUCCCCAACUUGAAAUACAUAGUUGCACACCGUGAGAUAGUGCUGCAAUCUACUGAGAUCUAACUUAUAUGAUACUUUAAGCUACUAAUGUUUGCAUAUUUCUACAUGUUAAAUUGACACUACCAUCUAUAAUCACUCUAAAACGACAGAUGAUAAGCAGCUUUUGGCUACUUAUUACUAGCAUCCACAAUUAAUUUUUGUUCAGCAAUCAGCUUAUUUUAUAGAAAUUGAUUUAGUCAGCAACAAACACUAUAAUCCUUGAAAUUAGUUCUUGUUCUUUGUAAUUUUCUAUGAUUUUUCAUACAUCAAUUAAUCUGCAGUGCCAAGAUGAGGUUUGGUUUUUCAAACUAAAUAAUCAAGUAGCAAAAAUACAAAUUUAGAGAUUAGGGGGUGAACUAGCUAGGUGGUUUACAAAUAUUCCUAUUUGUAAGGUGAAUUAAUUGAAUCAUGAGAAAACAAUGUGACCAUAGCUCAAUAUGAGAUGAUUUCGGAGAGGCAUAUUGUUUUCAAGUGAAUUUGAUCCAUUAAGAGAUGAAGUGGAUUGAAGUGGAAAGUUUAAAUAACAAAUCCUUGUUCUUGAGUUUUACGACGUUGUUACUCCUUCAGGUGGCAGAUUAUGCAAGUGAAUUCAAAAACACAAUGCAUCAAUCACGGGGAUGCUACACCAAAAGACGGGAUCAUAGUCUAUGCAUUGAACAGUUACAGUUGCUGCUACCAAUUGACUCGGCAAAGAUCAAGAAGACUGAACGGGAAGUUAAUGCCAUCAAUGUCGUCUUCACUAUAGCUGCUGGGAAUGUAGGUGAACUUUCCUCAUUUGCGGCUGUCUAUACAUAGGCUUUUCCCCAGCUUAAGUACAAAUAAAUGAACCUGCUUUGAAGGCUUUAUUAUUGACCACAAUAAGGAUUACUAAUUGAAGAAGACUAUACGGAGUUAAUCCCACACUUUCGUUCUCUCAAUUUCUUUCAGAAGUGCCUCUGAAAAUAGCUGCCAAACCGUUAGUCAGCUUGUUAGACUCUGUUUUCUGGAAACAGAGCCCUAACUAACUGACUGUACAGAGUAAGUCAACAUAGCAUAUUUAAUCGUUUUAAUUGAAUUGUCUUCGUAGCGAUCAUCAACAAACUCAUCAUGAGAUUUUUGAAGCACCCAAGGACUAUCACUGGGUUUCUCUUCUGGUUGAUUAAUUAAUUAAUCAAAGAACGGUUGGAUACCCAAGGACAAUUAAAAUUAUUCGACUUCUGGAACUGGGAAUGAAGUGCAAUGAUGGAGCAAAAUUUACAAUGUCUCCGGUUUCUCCUACCAUCGGACUUUUGCAGUGAGAACAUAUAACAAAAAGGCCUUCAUCAAAAUUUGUAGACUCCGGGUAUGGAUUGGAUCGAUUUUUUUGUUUGAUAUUGAAGAACCUCUUUACUAUCGCGAUAUAGAUUAUGUGCAAGGAGUUGUCUACUGUUCUUUGCCUUGUGCUAUGAUCGGUGCUCUUGAGGCUGCCCUGAAACACAGGAAAAUACUUCGAUAUCCUCCGUUCGAUGAUGCAAAGAACCGGUUAAUGUAUGAUUACCUAAUUGACUCAGGAUCAGGUAACAACAACAACAAUUUAUUAAUAUCACAAACGAAGAAGAUCGCGGAGAGGGAGAUGUAUGCCUAUACUGUUUACAGGUUUGAUCCAUUGGGGAUGAAGUGGUCUCAAGUCGAAAGUGAUUUAUUAAACAACAAAUCAUUGUUCUUGGGUUAUACCUCAUGAUGUCAUCAAGUGGAAGAUUAAGAUUAUGCAAGACGAAGAUCGUUUGAUAUUGAAGAAUUUGAACAGAAAGCCCAUAGAAAGUACUUAAAAAAGCAUAUUCUUGUUGGGGUAGAAUAUUGAGAAAGGAGUUGUCUACUGUGUGUUGCGUGAUUAUGCUAUGAUCUGUGCUUUGAACAUUGCCCUGAAAACAGUGGAAAAUACUUCAUAUCCUCGACAUGAUGAUAAAAAAUUGGUUACCGAUUACGUAACUGACUCAGGUGACAACAAUCCAUUAAUAGCACAAUUUGAGGUGAUGCCGUUUAGGUAUAUGGUUAACAGGUUUGAUUCAUCAAUGAUGAAGUGGGCUUAAAUUAAAAGAUCAUAUAAUAAGUCGUUCUUCUUGGGCAUAUCGUCAUUACUACUUCAAGUGAUCAAAGAUGAAGAUGAAGAUGAAAAUUGUGCAAGUGAGUUCAAGAAUACCAUACAUCGUUACUUGGGAUACUUCUUCAAAUAUGGAUGGGGUCAUAAUUUACUCCCACGAAUUUCAACCCAAUUUUAUGAUUGGAGUGUCCCACCAUGACUCAGAAAAAUUUUGAUUCAACCUCCUCCACCAAUGGAUUUUGAUUAGUCACUUUGUGAUCAAGCAACUUAAUUAAACUCAGAGAGUCAGAGUUCGAUUUUGCUGGCACCGCAUUUUCUUUAAAAUGUGGCCAUGUAAGGAGAGCGGCACAUAAUGUCACUUCCUUAUCAAGCACUUUAAAGAGGGAUUUUAGAAGAAGAUACAACUGCAAUUGUUUUCGUAUGUAUAUAUAUAAACAACAGCACACAUUCAGUUCAUAAAAGAAAUUUUUGCUAACCAUGAUAUGUGGUAGUGCUUUUUAGGCAAUUUAGAAACAGAGUUGUUCAACUUACAGCAGGUAUUCUCCUCAAGUUCGACGUAAAUACAAAUAUUAAUUAGAAUCCAUAUUAUAAUGACACACAUAACUUGCUUCAAAAUUAUCAGAAAUUAAAAUUGCUGAUUCAUAAUGCAGAUAACUUGGAUGAAUUGAUGUUAAAGGAAAAAUCACAGGCAUAACUUGGAGAGCAAUUGCGACAGCAGCCAAGUAUAUAUUUUUAUUUGAGAGUUGAGAAGAAUAUAUUUAAUGAAGCUUGAUAACAUUUGAUGGGAUAGCAAGUAAGGGUAAAUAAGAUAUUUUUAUUUGUUAUUUAUUUGAAUUAUAUCUAUUUUGUUCAAGUUAAAAUACUAAAUAUAAAUUGGAGGUAGACAUUUUAACAGAUCAUCUAAGCUCUCAAAUCUGAAAUUUUGUGUAGAUUUAAAUUCAUAAUUUUAGUUAAUUUUCAUUCAUUCAUAUAAACAAAUUUAUGAGAUUUUUCUUUUCAGCAUGUUAUAUUUUGAAACUUUCAAUGUAUUAUUCUAGCUUUAUUUAAACAAUUAAUUUAUUUAAUUUUGAAUUUGAUCAGUAGUAAAAUUAUUUUUAUAUCAAAUUUUUUUUAUUUAAAUAGUUCGUGGAUUGGACAAAAUUAAAAAAUUUUAAUCUACAAAAUGGUGGAUUAGAUAUGAAUUGGGUUAAAUCCACAUUCGAUUUGCAGUCGUAUGAAUUUGAUUUGGAUUGAAUUUCAUCAAUCCAUGGAUUAGAUUGGAUUGAAAAUUUAUUAUCCGCAAAAUCGUGGAUCGAAUAUGGACUGAUGUCCAAUCAGCAAAAUCCGAUCCCCGAACACGCCUCUAUCAAAAUUUUCAAGAAUAUGUUUUAUCUUACAAAUUUUUUUUUAAAGUCAUAAUCUAAUGGCAGCCCAAUUUUAUAAAGUCACACACAACCAUUCUUAUUAAAUUAGAAAGAUCAAACACUGCACUGGAUCUUGAACAGAUCAACACAAGUUGCACAACUUGCGAUUGAAUCCGGCCUGAAACAAUCAACUCUUUAGCAAGAACAAUUAAUCAGAGUCAAGAAACAAGUUUAAUGAAUAUAAACCUAUAAUUGAAACAAACAUAGCAAAGAAAAAAAAUACAGAUUUUACACGGUUCAGUUGUACCUAGGAUGGCACAACCUACACCACGAGAGAAGCUUUCUGGUGAGAUUUUAUUGAUGAUCAAAGAAGAAUCUUUUGACAAAGCUAAUAAUAGAGAUUUCAGAGAAUAAGCUAUAACCUCUCUCCCUCUUCAAUCUCUCUCUAUUUUGUUCCCAUUGAUGACCCCAAUCUGCUUAGUUAGCCAGCUUUAUAGCUGCAUCAGUAACAAACCAGCAAACCCAGAUUGAGCAGAUUGACGACACGUGGAUAACGGCUUUAACGAACCUGGUUAAGAACUGCUCACAUGUUCGUCACGCGUACUGCUUAAAUGAUGGCCAAAACGACUUCAAACAAAUGUCGUUUUGAGGCUUAUGAAUUACAAGUGAUAACACGAGAUUGUCUCAUGACUUUUAAAUGCAACAACGUGCCCAAAACGCUGUCGUUUUACUCUGUUGAGUUUGAUUCAUUACUAAGCUUUACGACUGGCAAUGGAGAAGAUGAUAAUUUAAUUGAUAUGGACAGUUUUUAUAUCACUUUUACAAAAUCCUAUGCAAUUGUAAUAUUGGGAAUUAUUGAUGUUUUAUAUGUGAAUCCUCAUUGGCAAAAACUAGUGGUUUUAUCUUUGUUGAAAUGUAGAUUACCUCUCGUUACUAUUUUAUUAUAAACAUAUAGUUUCGUAAGUGAAACUAUAUAUUUAUAAUAAAANNNNNNNNNNNNNNNNNNNNNNNNNNNNNNNNNNNNNNNNNNNNNNNNNNNNNNNNNNNNNNNNNNNNNNNNNNNNNNNNNNNNNNNNNNNNNNNNNNNNCAUUUCUGCCUCAUUAAGAUUCUCAAAUACCAGUCAGGUUUGCUUAAGAAAUAAAAUUUUUCCAUUAAAAUUGCAGUAGUAUUUCCAAGCAUAUCGCAUUUUCUAUGAUUUUUCAUAAAUUAAUUAAUCUGCGGUGCCAAUAUCAGAUUUAGUUUUUCAAACUAAAUAAUCAAGAAAGCAAACAUACAAAUAUACAGUUUAGAGGGGUAAACUAGGCAGGUGGUUUAGAUUUUAGAACUAAGGCAGCUACCUCACUAAAUUCCGAUUCGUACAGUGAACUGCAAGAAAUUGAGAAAACAAUGUAUUUAUAAUUUAAUAGAAUCAUAACAGAUGAAGUGGAAUGAAGUUGAAAGUUUAAAUAACAAAUCCUUGUUCUUGAGUUUUUACGACGUCGUUACUCCUUCAAGUGGCAGAUUAUGCAAGUGAAUGCAGAAACACAAUGCAUCUUCCGCGGGAUGAUACAUCAAAAGGCGGGAUUUGUUUAUGCCUUCAGAUUAGCAAUUUCACUCAUAUAGAAAAUUAAUUUUUUAUAUAUACUAAUCAACACUAAAUUGAUUAUGUGUUGUAUGUUUAUAUGCUAAUCAACACGAAAUUAUAUUGAAUUAUUAACAUUCAUAUUCCUAAUAAAAAUUAUUUUCCAUUAGUAUUCAAAAUUUUCACUUAUAGAAAAUGCAUUUUACGUGAAUACUAGUUAUUGUGUAAAUUUGAAUGAUAGCAAAAAAUAAACCUAUUUGAAAACUGUAAGGGUGUGUUGGGAUAUUUUACAACUGUCGGAAUCUGGUAGGAUAUUGCACCAUUUGCCCAAUAUUUUUAGACGUACUCUAACCGGUAUUCAAGAUAAGUAAAAUUUACAAGCGUGGCAAAAUAAAAAAAAUUAAAUUCGUAAUUUGUAAACGAAUUUUCCUGACAUGUAUAGUAGAUGAAGUUGUUGACCCUUUCUUUGGAUUAUUUCAGCUCUGGUUGUUGGUCACCGAUGAGCCGAAGUCUUAUUUUAAUUCUAUUUAAACUCAUCAUAAGAUUCGUGGAGCACCUAACUAACUUAACUGACUGUGCAGAGCAUCUCAACAUGGCAAAUUUAACCAUCAUUCAAGUGAUGGGUUUAAUAAGACUGCUUUUGUUCUACCAAGUUCCUCCGCCUCUAAGCAGAAUUACUAUUGAAGGGCCAAAUGGAAAAUGAAAACGUGUGAACUCCAACAACCACCCCACAAAUUCAAUGACGAUGCUCGGAGAGGGUUAGGUUGGGCCUCUGAGAAAAAAAAAAAUUAUUUAGUUAAAAAGUUACCCUUAUUGAAACCUGUAUAAAAAUUUUAUAUUAAUUAGUUAUGUUGCCUCUUCAACUAUGAUCAAAUUUUUAUCUGAGCUCAUCAUUUAAUGAGUAAACAUGUAUUUUAAUGAUCUCAAUUAAUAUUUAGAACAAAUAUUUUAAGAAGUAAAGCUCAUUAUAUCCCCCAUUAUUAUGUAUCUCUGUAAUGUAUUGAAUUAGAAGAAAAAAAAAAUUCAACUCACUCAAAAAAAAAAAAAUGCUGGUAGCUUCGUAAUAAUUACUGUCUUGACUGCACCAGAUAAAGUUUUGUAAAAGAAUUCUGAUAUUUACCCCGGGUCAAACCCCGAAAAUAACUUAAACGGUGUCGUUUUGAUUUUUUUUUUUUUUAUACUCCAAAACGUUCUUACCAUUUCCGUUUCACUUACCAUUUAAUGCUCACAACUCAAAUAAAAAGCCCAGAAACUAGAAUCAAACUUUACAGAAACUAGAAUGCCCAGAAACGUUGUAUAGCAGGAACGUAUGUAAAGAGAGUAAACAAGAGGGAUUAAACAGAACAUACGUUUUCUUCACUUAUUAUUAGCAACAAACACCCUACACAACACACAUUUAAUGCUCACAACUCAAAUAAAAAGCCCAGAAACUAGAAUCAAACUUUACAGAAACUAGAAUCAAACAAUACACAUUUCAUUUCUUCAAGGUUAGGGAGAGACUCAGGGGAGUGAUUAAUUAACAAAAAUAAGAAUAAUAAUACCAACAUUUGUACAGGUCAAAUAAGAAUAAUAAUACUCAACCUAAUACCCAGUAUAUACAAACAAAUGCCCAGGCCAUCGUUCCUAUUUUGCCAUAACCUAAAGAGGAAAAAGCGAAGCACUACCUCAGGCUGUGAACUUUGCCGCUUCGUGAGUUUAAUUUCCCGAACAAGUUUCGGCUACCAGCGUUACCAGUGUUGACGGUGACCGUGGCUGUCAGCGUUGACGGUGACCGUUGGUGGAUCCCGAAUGCCUGGACCUUGGUCGAGGAAGGAAAGUAACGAAUUUUUUGAACAAACGAAGAAACGAAGCACCGAAGAGAUUUACGGUCAAACGGAACAAGACCAACUUGCUCUUCUAUCUAUGGCUUUCCCAGUUGAAACGAAGAAACGAAGAGGAAGAGGUUUAAUUCUUCUCAAAAUCGUCCAUCAGAAACGGCAACGUUUUGGAGUAUAAAAAAAGAAAAAAAAAUCAAAACGACGCCGUUUAAGUUAUUUUUCGAGUUUGACCCAGGACAAACAUCAUUUUCCUUUGUAAAAUAAUAAGUUCUCAUUAGUGGUUUUUAAUUUUUAAUUUUUUUUUCGGCACACCUGAUCAAGAAUUCUAUUUUGUUAACUAAUAAAUUGCAAAGCAUAAGUGUUGAACGGUACAAAAAAAUUUGAAAAAAAACACUUAAAACGUAGGGAAAUGAGAAAUAUAGAAAGAAAGGAAGAAAGUUAAGACAUGAAACUGAUCUGCCGUGAAAUUGAUAAUCAUGUUUCUAUUUCGUUAACUAAUCAAACGGAAAACUGGAACUGUAAACAAACAUUAACACGUGUGGACUCUGCUAGCUGCCCUACAAGUCUACAAUAAUAAUUGAGUACCUUUGAUUCAUCCUUCUACGAAUUUCUAGCUGUAUUGACCCCAACUGCUAAAGUUUUGUAAAAUUAAAAAAAUAAAAAAUAAAAACUGGAAUUUCAACAAAAUUCAAAACGUGAGAAAUUUAAUUUUUGGCCAUGUGGAACAAAAUGUAAAUUACGGAAAAAGUAUAAAUCUCAAUUGCUUAGUAUGGUUAGGUUUUGUGAGCAUCACUAGAAAGUGAAAACUAUGAAUGAUAGGGGUGAUGUUUGCAACAUGAAUAAACGAUGAACUGAAUCAAUUGAUGAUCGUAAUUAUAUAAUGAACAAAAUUUACAAAAUCAACAAAAGUUAAUAAAAAUUUAUUUUAAUAAUAAAAAAUAAUAAAACUUAUUAUUUAACGGCGCUCUAACCAUGGAGUGCCAUAAUCAUAUUCUUCUUUUAAGAAAAUUAUAACUUAUUUCAAAUAGCACCAUAACAUAAUUCUAGAUAUUUAAAAGAAAAGCAUUAUCCACCUGAAAUGACUUGAAGUCUAAAGAAAAAGAGAGAGUGGCUCCCCACAAUUUUCUUGUUUUCAGUAUAUUUUCUUUUUUUUUUCUUUUUAAAAUCUUUUGACGCAUACAUAAUCUACCCUUGUUCAUUAUCUCUAUUUUGCUCUGUUCAAGUCCCUUUUUUUCAAAUCUUAGUUUAAAUAAGAAAAUUGAAUAAAAGUACAUUUGUGUAAUUAAUUAGUAUCUGUUUUUUUUGGGGGGGGGGGGGGGGGGGGGGGGGGGGGAGGGGGAGGAUAUUUGGUGUAAUGUUUUGCUAUGUAAGACUCAGCUAUUAUUAAACAGUUCCUUAACCUGUUUCGCAGUUUAUUUGCUAUCUUUGUGGAUCUCAUAGGCGUUGCAGAAUUUAAUAAUUUUAUUCGUCAGAAGAAUAGGAUACUGACUUCAAUAAAUUUAAUUUAAACCAACUUUUAUUUACUCCAUCAAUUAAUUAAUGCCAUUUUGUUUUGAAAAAUUCAAUAAUUAAAUUCUCACGUUUUAUGUGUUUGAAGUUAAAUUAUUCAUUAACUAGAACUCUGUUCAAAAUUGACUGUCUUGUGGUUCCCAAAUGUAGUUGUAAUAUUGAAUGAAAGUAAAAACUUUCUAUGGCGAGUUUAAAUCUAAAUCUGAACAAUGAAUUUUGACUUUCUCAAUGCUAUUCUAAUUACAAAAAUUAUAUUGAUUGAUUUAUUGUUACAGUUACUACCCUUUGAAAAUGUAUGGAUUUAUUGUUUCCGUGACCAAAUUAUGCCUGCCUAACGCUGCAACUAUUAAAAAAACUAAUAUUUAAUGCAUGUGUUAAAAGAUUUAAAAUUUUAUGCAUUUAUUAAUUGUUAUAAUCUAAAAAAAUUAAUUAGUUCAGGACAAUCUGAGUUGGUGCAUCUGCAGAGCCUUUUUUUUUUCCCCCCUUAUUGACCAUAAUGAUCUAAGGGGUAUAAUACGACCUUGGUUCUUGGUAAAAAUUAAUUAGUUCAGGUCAAUCUUUUAUGCUCUGUUUUCUAGAAACAGAGUCCUAACUAAAUUGAUUGACUGUACAGUGCAUUUCAACAUAGCAUAUUUAACCGUUUUAACAGUUAUUUGAACCGUCUUCAGAGUUAACAUCAACAAACUCAUUCAUAUUGGUCCAAUCUUACGGCCGAUAUCAUAUUAUCAUAUGCUUAAUAAUGAACAAAUAGUCUUGGAUCAGUGUUUUGCAGCAAGAGCAACUCGACACAAUCUGGAUUCAACCUCCUCCUAUCUAACAGGGGAUUUCGAUUUGAGUUACUUUGUGCUCAAGCAAAUUCACAUCAUAGUUUUGAUUCUUUAGGUAUGAAUUCAUCACAUUACAUAUAUCAGAUUAAGUGUAACAAAAUUUUUAAUUUAUUGCGAAAAGAAUACGCGCUAAAAAAUUAUUUGACGACUAUUUGAUUACCAAAAGCUGCUGUUAGAGUGCACUAAAAAUCGCCAUUGGCAUAAAUAUUUUUUGAAAAUACUGCCAUUAGAUAUUUUUAUUAUUCAUACUUCAUUGCACAAGGCAGCACCUAGCUUCUAUUUCCAGCCCUAAUAAUGAUCCGCUGCUGGAAAAGAAUUUGUGCAGCAUGUACGCUCCUUGACCACAACAGCAAAGUUUAUUGAUGUUAUUUCAUAUUCUGCUGUGACUCAAAUAAAAAUUUACCAUGCCCUUUCGGCAUGGCUUGCCUUUCAGCAAAAAAAGAAAAAAAAAAAUCUUUCAAAUUGUGGAAGCAUGCUUACAUUAAUCAGCUCAGUAUGUUGUGUUUCAUGGGAUGCAAAAUUCUUUUUGUUUCUCAUGGAAGAAUUGACUUGUCUGGAUGUAUUAAUCUCAUAGAUUUUCCACAGAUUCGUGGGAAUAUAACAAAGCUAGACUUAAGUGAGACCCCAAUAGAAGAAGUUCCGUCAUCAAUAGAGUGCCUAGCUGAUCUUAAAACGUUGCGUUUGAGUAAUUGCAUGAGGCUGAAGAGGCUUUCCAUCAAGCAUUUGUAAAUUGAAAUCUCUUCUUGAGCUUUAUCUCUAUAACUGCUCAAACCUUGAAAGUUUUCAAGAAAUCAUGGAGAAAAUGGAACGUUUAAAGAUAUAAAUUUAAAAAGGACGGCCAAUUACAGAGCUGCAAUCUUGAUAGCCUUCGGGAUAACAUUAGAAAUUUAAAAUCUUUGAGGUACAUCUCUACUAAUGGAUCGGCCAUUAGUCCUCUGUCGCAGGUUCGAUUGUACUUAAAUAUCUAUCAUUUUCUCAAUGCAGAGGUUUGGUAUCAUUGCCUCCAAUAUUAUUUUCAGGUUUAGUUUAUCGAAUUUGUUACAGCUAAAUUUAAGGGACUCUGCUAUAAUGGAAAUUCCCCAAAAUAUUGUUUGUCAAUCCUCAUUGAAAAUUUUAAAUCUAAAGGCUUGUUUGUUAACUACUUGAAGUAUGUAAUUAAUGCUUUUUUUUGUGUAAUUUAUGUUUGAUUUUGAGAUAUUUACAUUUGAAUAAAAAAAAAAAACUUUUGUUACAUUUAUCUAAAUAAGAAAAAGGCUGAAUGAGAAGUAAAUAAUCUCCUUUUUUGUUUUAACUUAGAAAAACAUAAACGUUAACUAACUAUGUUUAAAAAAAAUUUUAUUUAUGAAAAGAAACCAAAUACUACUUAUAUUCAUAUAUCAAAAAAUGAAAAACAAACAUAUUAUUCAUACGUGCACGCACAAACUCAUUCAGACCUCAGCUACAUACAAAUCCAUUUAGAUUUCAAACAAAAAAAUAAAUACUUCCUAAGUGGGAAUAACUUUGAGAGUUGACUUGCAAAUGUCAAGCAACUUGCAGGGCUAGAAUAUCUUGACUUGAACGGUUGCAAUGAUUUCUCAUCAUUGAGAGUUUAUCAUUGUGCUUCAUCAUCAUCAUCAUCAUCAUUAUUAAUAAAAAGGUAAGCAAUUAAGAGUCAAAUUAAACCACUUGAAAAUCACUCAUCCACACUUUUGGGACAUCAUCUGCUCAUUAUUUUUAUUCCGUAUCUUCAUUGUUUUAUUUGGUAAUUAUUACCAUUAGUAAAUAAAGGGAUUAGUUGAUUAUUGUGAAGUAACUAAAUGGAGCUCACCCUUAAAUGUCGGCUUAUAUCAAGGAGGCGCCUUAGGGUUAAUAAAUCAACUAAUCCCAUAAUUUGUUGAUGUAGGGUCCUAACAAAUUAUUGCCGUAGAUCAGCACACAGCUCGAAAACAUAUUUGAUCCACACAGUGAAGAUGAUUCAAUAUUAAGCAUGUCAUAUAAUCUGGAGUUGGAUAUUGGACCAAUUUGAUGAUAAUGAGUUUCUUUCAAUCUCAAUCUUUAUCUUAUUCGCAACAUGACUAGCCAUUGCGUAAAUUCAAACUCUGAAAAUGAUAAGUUUGUGAUAAAGGAAUCUAUGAGUACAAUGGGAAAAUUACAUGAACUUAUGUUAUCAAUCAUUGUUUUUCCUUCUCGUGAUAGAAUUCAGUGCAACAUAAAACAUGAUAUAUUUGUACCUUACCAUGCCAUGUUGUGAACCUAGAAGCAAUGCAAAUUGCAAGGAACAUUAAGCUAUCCACUGUAUAUAACAAAUUCUUAUUAGCCCACAAUCUUGUGCCGCCACAUUGAUCAAGUAACACUAUUAUAUCAUUUCCAAAAUGGCAUAUAUAAUCUAAUGUUGAACAAACCAAAUUGGGAAUCAUCAUUCCUUACAUUAAGUUGACAUUCGUACCUGCUAGUCCAUGAGCAAAGUUGCAUAUAUUUCUACACAGGCCGCUCCCCUUAUCUCUCGGUUCCGACAGAGCUUUGUUUUCCCAUCACCAGCUUUGGAUUCAUUCGAUCACUGGUGCUCCGAGUUAGAACGGUCUACAAAGCUGCAUUUCGUUAGGCAAUCUAGUCUCUCCAUUCCUAGCAAAGUGACAUUGAUUCCCGUAUUUGUAAUUGCCUAAUUGGGGUUUUGGCAAUAGCCUGGCUUAAAAUUACCACCCAUUACUUUGUUCAAUGCCACUGGCAUCCUCUGAUUAGGAACAUUUUCACAAUUUUUGGUCCUGUUAGUCGAAUCACAUUCAACGGGAUAGUGAGGCAGUAUUUCACUAAAAGAUUCAAUUUGACUACUCAUAUUGAUGCACAUAUAAGAAUUUGAAAUCACUUUCUCUUGGAAUAUUUAAUGACCCUUGAUGAAAGUUCUUGAAUGGAAUUAUUUAAUUUGAUUUGAUUUCCAACAAAUUCAAGAAACCCCACAUAGUAGCUAAACAAAAAUCAACCAAUAAUACGCAAUGGGUUUCUUUCUUUUUGCCUUUGGAGGGCCAUGGAGAUCUGGAGUGGGCUGUAAGUAAUAGCCUUUAUCACUGGAAUGACAGAUUUGCAGAAGAUGAUACAUGGGGAAGGAUUGGGCGAGCAUAAAAAUGGGUUUACACUCUUGGAUUAGCGCCUCAUUUAGGUUGUAGGCUUGUAGCGAGAUAAAGAUAUUAAUUAAAGUUUUAUAAUCCCUGUUAUGAUUAAGGCUUCACUUAGUAUAGCAUAGAGCUUUUUGAGUUUUACCAGAAAAUUUUUUUAAAAUUAUUAUUUAUCGGAAAAAGGAGACUUACACUCCAUGGUCUAAGGAAAUAGUCACAAAGAUACUAAGUUUUCAAUAAAAGACACCAAUUUUUUUUUUUUUUUCAUAAUGCCCUUUGACUCCAUAAAUUUCUAAAAAAAUAACUCCAAAAUUUUAUAAUAAAUGAAAAUAUGGCAUUAAAAUAAAUGCAGUAAUAUAUACAUUUCAAAAUAAUUUUAAUAUUUAGAAAUAUUUUAAUAUUUUUCAAUCUAUUAAACCUAUUUUUAAGCUGUUGACCUAUUAAAGUAAUUCUUAAUAAUGAUAGAAACAUAAUAUUAAAAUAAAUUAAUUAAAAUUAAAAUUAAAAUUAAAAGUAUUUUGAAAUUAUAUAAAACUAAUUUUAAUAUUAUUAAUAGGUAGAUUUUUAAUUGUAAAAUCUAUUUAACAAAAGAUUUAUUCAAAAUCUUUAUGAUAUUACAAAUAUAUUGUUAAAAUAAAUAUAAUAAUUUAAAAUUUUAAUAUUAUUUUAAAUGUAAAAAAUAAUUUAAUAUUAUUAGUCUACUAGAUAGAUUAUGUUAUUUAUAUUAAAUUUGUUUUAAUUAAAAGUCUUUAAAGUUAAUUUUUUAAUUACUAUAGUGAAAGGGUAUUAUGGGCAAAAAAGUGUCUUGGUAUCCUUCUUUUAAAACUUGAGAGUUUUUGUGACUAUUUUCCUAAAUCUUAAAGGUAUAAGUGUCAUUAUCCCUUAUUUAUUUGGUUGUUUUGCUCUCGAGAGUUUUUAAAGCUCCAAAAUCUUUAAUCAGUACUUUUUUUUUUUAAGUAAAACUUUUAACAAAAAAUUAUUAUUCAUUUGAUUGUUUACGAGAGUUUUUAUUAGAAGUUAUAUAAAGUUCUUUAAUUUUUUUAUUGGUGCAGCUUUUUACAUGUAUAAUUUUUAUUUUUUAACAAAAAUUAAUUAAAUAAUAUUAGAAAUCCUAAUAUUUGAGUCCCAAUAUCAUAUAUCACUCAUUUUUUAGAUGACAGAUUUCAUAACUUAUAAAAUUAUUUAACUAACAUCCAAUUAGUGAAUGUUACUAUAGUGAAGACUCAAAUUGAAAUUUAAAUGUUGGGUUGCGUGACAUUUCUCUUAUUUGGUUGUUUAUGAGAGCUUUCUUGUACAAAAUAAUUUUUAUACAAAUUGAUAUAGUCUAAAUUCAUUAAUUAGAUUAAAAUACAAAAUAAUAAAAAUAAAUAAGUUUGUAUAAGAAUAAUUCAUUCUUUAAUCCAUCUAAUUGAAUUAUCCUAUGUCUAUUUAUACUAAAUAAGUUUAUAUAAAAAUUUAUAGUUUUGUUUUUAGAUGUGCAACUAAAUUUUUAGUCUCUUAUUCCUCGUAAAAUUCAAAUCUGAGUGGCUCAUCAAAUAAAAUUAUUUGAAACCAUACGGUAUGGUAGCUGGAACCCUUGAAACCAUCGAGGUCAUGAAAUUUACCAGCCAAAAGAGUUUUAAAUGUCUAUUUUAUAAACUUUUAAAAAAAUUUUUAUUUACCAUUUUACCAUCCGUAGUAAAGGUGUCGCAUCGACAUUGAACAGAUCAACAUAUCAGUCAUUUCUCAUUCAGCCAUUAGGAAUUUACGUUUGGGGUAUUUUUGUAAUUAUAAGAAGGUAAACUAAUCGCAAAACUCGUUUGGCUUGCACUUGCUCGCCUGUGCUCUGUGACUCUGUGUAUGGUUAUGGCGUUAUCAUUAUCAUCUUCUCCACUCCUACUGACGCCAGACCUUAACAGUUCAGAUUCCCUUUCUCGACUGUCAUACCCUACGCCCCGUCUCCGUGUCUCCGAUAAACAGUGCUCAAUUAAGGCCAUCAGAUUAUCCCGGACCCACAUUGAUCCAACGGCUCACAAUGACCGACAUCCUCUCUAUCUCCAUUUCAAGCUCCCUCUUCAACUGGCUUCUGCUUCUGUCGUACUCUUUCUUGGAUUCGGAGUCCGUAUUUGCUCAGCCGGUCCCGCACAGCUCCCUCUCACUCCAAUUGUCACCCAACAAGACCAAUUGCUUAAUCAAGGCACAGACCAAGAAGAGGAUGAGAAGUUGAAACAAGAAUUUGAGAAUUGGAAAUCGAAAACGUACGCAUUAACCGUGCCUUAAAGGGUUGCUUCUCUUCAGAAUUCAGUGCCUCAAUCUUGGGUUAAGGAUUUUAUGCGAAGUCAAGGAAAGAGAUUGAAGUUUCAGAUGAAUUUGUGUGCUAGCAUUGAUGGGAUCGUUAACAAUUUAUCUGUGCCCUUUAACAAAGUUAAGGCUAAGUCAGCUUCUUAUAUGGCUGCUGAUUUGGUUAGUAUUGGUGAUUCAUGGCUCAGCUUUGCGAUUAAAAAGAGAUUGAUUGAGCCAAUAGCUGGAGCUGAAGACCAAGAUUGGUUCAAAUGCUUAAGUCACAAAUGGAAGGUAACAUCUUUAUCUUUGACCCGAUAAUUUUUAUUGUCUUACAUUGAAAUUUGGUAAUGUAAUUUGUUCUCUAUCUGUAUUACCCUUUUUAGUCGUUUUAUUUAUUUGUUUGUUUGUUUAUUUGCUUUUAUUUGCACUAACGAAGUCUCGGGUAUAUCUACCCAGGAAUGAUGCAGGAGAAAUUGAUCCUCGAGGUGAAAUAUGGGCGGCACCAUACAGGUGGGGCACAAUGGUGAUAGCCUACAAGAAAAGUAAAUUUCGAAAGCAUAAUUUGGCUCCGAUUGAGGUAAUAACUGUCUUUAAACUCAUUUAGUUUUAUAUCAAACAAAAUCAAGGCUGCCUUUCUCUUCAAUAUUUUUUAUGAUAAUAUCUUUAGAAGCAUCUCAUUGACGGGUAAUAAUGGUGUCCCUGAAAGAGUCUAUAAACUCAAUGAUAUUAUCUUCUACAAAUGGAUCAUUAAACUUCUUUUUUGUAGUCAAAUGUACACUAAGAACAAUGAGAAGCUAUGCCACUGUAGCACGUAGUGAUGGCACUUAAUAAGUGAGUUGCUAGGAUGUGAACAAGAAAAAUUAAAUAUUGUCUCCUUGGGUAUGCUAGCUCGUAAGUCAGGGUUAAUAUUAGAGCUUAAGAUACUAUAACCAUGCGAAACUAUUGACUGCCAAUUAAAAUAUCCAUUAAAAUGUCUAGGGAGUUAUGAAGGUAGAGUUAUCUUCCAAUUUCUAAGGCCACAUAGUAGACAUCAUCCAGGAUCCUAGGAAAGUGCGGUUGAUCUCCUGCUUGAUGCAGUUAAUAAAUUUGGUCAAUGCGACUGAAACCUGCUAACUGACGUCGCAAUGCGACAUGAGCACUUCAAAAUGGGAUAGACAGUAGCACUAAAUUUUUCUUGCCUAAGAUUGAGCAAUUGGUCUAAAUACUAACCCCUAUUGUAAGUUGAUCAUUAUUUUUUCAAUUAUGUUCAUUUUGACCCAAAAGUUACACAAUCUUGAUCUGAAUAUUGUCACUGAACACUGUCAAUGUCGUUUAGCAUUGGCAACUAACUCGAGUUUAGUAAAACAAACAUACACACUGUCUCAUGUCUCACAAUUCAAAUUAUCAUCUGUACUGAUGGAGAAUUUUUCUGAUGUAUGAAGUAUGCUUUGAUAUGUAGGUUAAGCUUGGAGAAGAUAUCUCAAAAUAAAGAAUAUGGGGAGUGAAUGGGAAGAAUCUGUAGUCAAGUUUUGUCUCAAAAAUGGUCAAAAUUUAAAUGAAUGGACGGGGGAUCUUCAUUCUUUUUUCACUUCUUUAUACCGAGAUAUCUCUCAACCUUUAUAUAAUUCCCACUGGAUAUCUGCUUCUAAUAAUUAAAAUAAAAAUUUCAACCACACCAAUAAAUAAUCAUCUUAGAGUGAGACUAUCAGUACAACCCAAAAACAUAAUAAAACUGGUUUGGUUCUUUUUGUUGAUGUCUAAAUGUUGUUCAUUGUGACAUGUAGAAAUGAUGAGGUGAAGUUUCUUUGGUCAUCAAAUAGUAAGAUCUUGUUUGAAGUUAUUUUCUGAAAUGAACAGUCAAAUGGUAGUUUUUUUGGGCCAUUCGAUGGCUCUUUUCUUCCUCAUUUUAAACUUGUGCCUGCUUGGAACGGGAUGGAUUAGGCUGCAGAGUUAUAUAUUUUGACAUGCUCUGGUCAUUACACAAUUUGUUCAUACUGGAAAUUAGGAUGAGAAAUUUGUUGCUGCUGUUUUGAGAGAUCUGCAUUCUAUGCACAAACAUGAUUAAUGAAAAUGGAUUGUAGGACUGGAAAGAUCUGUGGCAGCCUGAGCUCGCAGGAAGGAUUUCAAUGGUUAAUUCUCCCCGAGAGGUUAUUGGUUCAGUUUUGAAGUAUAUGGGAGCAUCAUACAAUUCAGACGAUAUUGAUUCACAAGUUGCUGGUGGGAAGAUUGCUGUUCAGCAGAAUCUGGCAUUACUGGUAAACCAGGUACUCUUAAAGAAAUGAUAUCUGGUCAUUGCAUGUUAUUGCCUGACAACUGAUUUUGUUUGUAAAAGUCGGCUUCUUCAUACAUAUGAAUGCAUAUGUUAGUGUUUUCUUCUCCUUUUCAUACAUAUGAAUGCAUAUGUUAGUGUUGUCUUUUCCUUUUCAUACAUAUUAAUACAUAUGUAGAUUUCUUCAUCAUUGUAGCCUCCAUAGUUGAAGUUUCCUCAUUUGAAGCUGUUUAUGCAUAUGCUUUUUCCCUUCUCAAGUACAGGAAAUUGAAGAAUUAACCAGAUGUGAUAUGCUGAAAGAGUGAAGUUUUCUCCCUUGAAUGUGGCCUUGUGAUUUGUCUUGAAGGAAUAGGAUGAUCACUGGCAAGAACCCUAUCAAGGUAGAUUUUAUGGUGUUAACAUAUUUUUAAGCAUUUUGUUACAUCAGCAAUGAUGCUUUCAUAGCAUGAAAGUGUUUAAUUUAACUGACUGAUCUUGAUUAAUCAAUUAUGAGUUUUAAUCGAGUAAAAACUAAAUACAAUCAUCGUCAAAAAAUACUGAAAUUGGAUUUGGAAACACAAUCCACACAGGAAAUCACCCUUCGCGUGGGGAUGGAGAUGUUUACUGCAACGAUAUCGAAUAUGUGCACGGUGUUGUCCACUGAAACAAUGGAAAAAAUUAACAUAGGGGUAUUUAAAUAAUUAAACUCAGACCUCUUUGUAUAUGUUAUCCUAACUUUACUUACCCUUGUUUGUAAUUUUCACUUAACAGUUGAUGCCUAAACCAUUAAAACCAAAUGACCAUAGGGGUAUUUAAAGUAUGUAAAAAUAAACAAAAACACGUAAAAAAUUUCAAACAAUUAAUAAUUACACUCUAAAUGUACCACUUAACUCUUAAUAAUAGCCAUACUCUAAAACAAUCUACAACCUUUGAGGGGAGUAGCUAUGAGGAAAAUCCUUUUCUCAGUGGAUUGCCAUUGUCCGAGAGUUACAAUGAAAAGAGACCACCAGCAACUGAGUCGGAAGAUUCAACUAGCACUGAAAAAGAUGAUAAUUUAAUUGAUAUGGACAGUUUCCAUAUCAUUUUUAAAUCAUCCUAUGUAAUUGUGAUGUUAGGAAGCAUUAGUGAUCUGUAUGUGAACUAUUAUUGGCGCCAUUGGUGGUUUUAUCUUGUUAAAAUAUGGAUGACUUCCAGUUACUAUUUUGUAGUACACAAUUUUAUUCAAUUAACAUAUAGCUUAAAACCAUUAUGUAUGUGCUUUAUUAAGAUUCUCAAGUACCAAUCACGUUUGCUUAAGAAAUAAAAUUUUGCCAUUAAAAGCGUAGUAAUAUUUCCAAGCGCUUCGCAUUUAUCUCAACAUUUUGAAGGAAUUUUGAGAAAUACACGGGUCCAAAAGUCUAGUCAUCAUCCUUAUUUUUCUAUCGUUCUUUUGGGUUUGCAGUUGGUGGUGCUUUCAAUGUUUCCCUGAAACAUAGCAAAAGAACGUACAUAUUCUUGGUAUGAGUUGAUUUUUAGUGAUUAUCUAAUUGACUGGGGUGACAACAAUAGCACAACGUAGAAUUCAAUAAUAAAAUUCUCUUGUUUAAUUUGUUUUAAGUUAAAUUAUUAAUUACUUAAAAUUCUGUUUUAAGUCUUUAAUUUUAUGUCUUGGCGUAUAUGCAGAGUUGGAUUCUUGAGUGAGUUGGACAUGACCUACAAUGAGAGUGGCAGUAAACAAACAUUAAAACGUGUGGACUCCGGUGGCUGCCCUGCAAGUCCACAACUCUACAAGAAUAAUUUCUAGCCCCGUUGACUCCACUAACUAAAGUUUUUUAAAAUUUAAAAAGGUACAUAGAAUUCCACAACAAGCAAAACGUGUGGAAUUUAAUUUUUUGCCCGUGUGGAACAAAAUACAAUUUAGCAAAAAAGGACAAGAAAAAUGGUAAGAUUUCUAAAAUGAGUGGAAGGUGAUCCAUAUUUUACUGAAACGACUUGUCCCGAACAUCACGACGAUUGAUUUUUUUUAUUUUAUUUUUGAAUAACAUCAACUUUCAUAUUUUUCUAACCCCCAGAAUAUGCUCACGUUCAAGUCUAUCUUGCUAAUUUAAAAAAAGAAAAUCAAAUCAACACCAAAACAAUGAAAAGUAAAGCUUUUGAAUUUCAACUCCAGCUAGCAAACGUAUUCAGCGUUUUCAAAUUCUUCCCAUUGCAUAUCUUCUUCCUCCAUCAAUGCAAUAUUUGAACGAUUAUGAAAGAAUUUAAGAACAUAAAAAAUCUCCAAGGUUUAUACGGUAUAACAAAUUUAAAUUCUCAAUUACAAUAGAUAAUAAUUAAACUAAUAAUUUUUUAUGUAUUUAUUUUAGUAAUUUCACCUAAGAAUAAUAUUGUAAUUAGAAAAAAAAAAUCUAAUAAGUAGGGUGGUCUUAUACAAAAUCAACUGCAUACAUUUACGCAGAUGCAGAUAAUAAUUUUUAAUUCCUUUUUUUAAUAAGAAAAUUGUGUAUUGAGAUGAAUAAGAUGUUUAAUUUAAUUAAUUUCCUUACUUUCGUAUGCAUUGUCUUUCUAUCUAGAGAAAGCUUGGUGUUCAGAACGACAUGAAGUUGCGAGUUGUCGCCCAUGGCUGCUGAUUAAUAAUAAAACGAGACAAAUUAAUUGAACUCAGGCCCAUAUGUAUAUGUUAUCCUAACUUUACUUGCUCUUGUUUGUUAAUAUUCAUUCUUAGAGAGGUGAAAAAAAUUUCAAGUCUUGAAUAACGAGGAGUUAGUUGCCUCUAACUUUACUUGGCCUUCUAUAAUCUCAUUAAUAAUACAGAGAAUUAAUUAUCUUUUUAUUAUUAAACCAUCUUCAGGAAGAUUUUCCUCAAUUUGCUCCAGAAGAGUUGGAGCUGUGGUUCUGAUAAACCAAAGAAUUAGUAGCAAUAUUAAUAUUGCCCACCCAAGAAAUAUGAGUGAAUUAAAGUAUUGACAAGACUUCGCUCAGAGGAGCAUUUAAACCACUUCCUUAUCAAUUGCGGCAGCCGUCUAUUAACUAAAACGCCAAUCUAAUACAAGAAGAAAGAACAUUUACAGACUUCGCUCAGAGGUCUAUUAACUGCGGCAGCCGUCUAUUAACUAAAACGCCAAUCUAAUACAAGAAGAAAUAACAUUUCCUUUUGUUAAUAAUUUUAGUCUAAUUUCAAUUGUACUGUGACCGCUUCUCAAGGUAAGUGAAAGUUACAGAUGUGGCAAAAUAAAUAAUUAAAUUAACAAAAUGCUAACUAAUUUUCCUAAAUACCUAGGGUUGUACAAUUUCACCAACCUGGAAGAAUUGACAUUAAUGGACUGGUCUCCUCCCCAUAUAAUUAUAAUCCUUCUAGAAAGCUAAUUUUUAUUAAAUAUUUGCUUUUAAGUUCAUUUCAAUUAAAAAAUGUUUUAAGUUAUUGAGAUUCUGAAUUCCUUUCUUCCAAUAAUAAUGAAAACGUAUUAAAUUAGAAAUGAAAAAAUUGGUGUUGAUGAUUCAACCUAUUUGGAUAGAUUACGUGAAUAAAAUUGAAAUUUUGAUUUAAUUUUUGUUUAUUGUUAAUUUUCAGGCUUAGUUUCAAGAAUUUAGAAUAUUACUUUGUUCAUGGAUUCAACUCGUGAGUGUCAUAUUCUAGACUUAAUGGUACCAUUUUUGAUUGAGGACAAUGACUCUCACUCAUCUUGUAAAAAAAUAUUUUCAACUAUUUUAAUGACUUAAAAAUUGAUAGAUUUAUUGUUGUCAUGAACAAAUUAUUCAUUUUAAUGAAAUAUAAUUAAUGCAUCAAAGUUAUCAGGUUUAUGUUCUAUCUUAACGCACUUUUUUUUUUUUUUGGGUUAUCAGCUAUGCCCCUGAGGCAUUUUGUAGAGUAUAGCUUCUGCCUACCUUUGUUUCAUUUUUUUUAAUAAAAAAACAAGGGAAGGUUUUUCCGAGUCAUCCAUUAUUUGAUUACCGUCAAUCAAGAAAACGACCAAAUUAAUUUCUCUCCAAAAUUUCCAAAAGCUAGAAAAUUUUGUUAUUUGAAAAUAACAUCAUUAAUUAUAGAGUGGAUCAAACCGCGUUAUUGUCUUUCAUAAAAUUGAUGUCUUUUUAAGAGUCAAUACUUUUUAUUUACGCAAACCAGUCGACAUCAACUUAAACUUCCAUAUUUUUAUUAUUAUUAUGUUAUUUAUUUUAAUCCCCGAUUAUUUGAUUAGCCACUAUAUAUAUCAAGAAAGCGACAAAAUUUAUUUCUCAUGACUUCCAAAAACUAGAAAAACGACAUCAUUUAUUAUUUUUUUGCAACCCUAAUUGACAUCAACUUUAACUUUAUUAUGUCAUUAUUUCAAUCCCCCAUUAUGACCUUUCUAAUCCUCCAUUAUGCAUCUUUUAUAGUGCAAAUUUAAUUGCACAUAUAAAUAAAUUGAUUAUUGUUACUCCACCACCAAUAUUUCAAAUAGUCACUAGACCAUUUCUGCCUUUAAUUUUCCCUUAAGUUUAACUAUUGACUGCUUUUAGCAUCUUAAAAUAUACAUUUAUUCCUCGAUUAUGUGAUAAAAUUAUGAAAAUAUCCAUUUUAGCUUAAAUUAAUUGGAAUAACCAUAAACAUAACUUAAAUUAAUAGAACAAAAUUAUCAAGUGUAUGUUCUAUCUUACUUUUUGAAGAAUUUAACAUAUAUAAUGCUAUACUAUUAAUAAAUUUAUCAUUUAAUAUAUAUGUUCAAAUAUUUUAUAUAUUUAUUAAUUGUUAUAUACUCAAAGGAUGAAUGAUUUUUCAGGUCUACAUGAGUUGGUGCAUCUGCAAGACUCAAUUUUGACAACAAUGAUCUAAGGGGUAAUUUACCUUGGUGUUUGACAAAUUUAACCUCUCUUCAAGAUUUACUUCCAAUCUACUUACUGUAAAUAUCUCCUCAUCUCCUCUCAUUUAUAUGAUAACCCUUGAAGAUCUCACAUUUUCAAACAAUCAUAUUAGGGUUUUUAUUAUUAGCAUCAUUGUGUCAAUAAUAUAUGUUGCAGUAAGAUUUUUUCAGACCAGUUCCCUUCUUCAAAUAAUAAUGGAAAAGUAUCAAUUUAAAAAUAAAAUGAAUAUGCAUUGAUUAAUUAUAUCCUGAUUUUGAUCGAUUAUAGCGAGAGUUUCUCCAAAUCAACGCCCUGAUUCAAAUAAUACAGAAAAAAUAGUAAUUUAAUAGUAAAAUUAACAAGUGUUGAUUAUAUAUCCUAAGUUUCAUCGAUUAUGUGAUCAAAGUGGCAUUGUUGAUUUAUUUCUUGUUCAAUGUUAAUUUUUAGGUUAUCUAAAUUUCAAGGAUUUAAAAUCUUUGUUCAUGGAUUACACGCUUAUUAAUUUUUCUGCCAUUGACUGUCAUAUUCUAGACUUAAUGGUACCUUCCUUGAUCAAGGACAAUUACUCUCUGUUCUCCUCUUAUAAAUUCCUCUUCCAUUAACAUCACUAGGAGUAUGUUGAUCUCUCAGACGUUAACUUCAGUGGAGAGUUUUCAAAUUGAUUGUUAUAAAACAACACAAAAACUAGACACACUUGAUCUGUCUAAUAAUUCUCUUUCGGUAAAAUUGAUUAAUUUUAGGGGAAUAUUCUACCAACCUAUAUAAUUUUAGAUUGAUCAUUAAUUAAUUAGACGAAAAAAGUACUUGUGCUUUUGUGGCGACAAUUGAACCGGAGAAGUGAA
Molecule: long non-coding RNA, 129184 nt
Filed under: Citrus x clementina
Lineage: Eukaryota; Viridiplantae; Streptophyta; Magnoliopsida; Sapindales; Rutaceae
Description: Citrus clementina (C. clementina) long non-coding RNA (CCLE_LNC002873)
Source: RNAcentral